GAAAGAGAGGAAGUCAGAAGCGAUAGAAGAGAGGAAGAAAGAGGGGUCAGAAGAGACGAAGAGAGAGAUAGUAUCAAUGGAAGAGAUGAAGCAUUUCUGUGUGAUGAGGAAGCUCGUGUCGAAGCCGUAGUUGCCACAUUUGUAGACGAAGAGGAAAAUGAUGAUUAUGGAAAACAAACUCCUCCCACAUCAGAUAAUGAAGGAGAAAAGACAGAGAAAACUUGUUAUGAUAGGUGGAGAAGAGGAAGUGGAGAGCUAAAGGUUGGACAAGUCUUUGAAAGUGUCGAAGAGUUUAGAGAGGCUGUGUUGGAGUAUGCUUUAAAAGGCGGGUGGAAUAUUCAGUACACAAGAUGGGCGGCUAAAAAGUAUACAGCUAAGUGUGGUAUAGAUGAAUGCAACUGGAGAAUCUAUUGUUCAUAUGAAGAAUCUGUUUCUCAGUGGAUGGUUAAAACAUUUCAAGAGGACCAUACUUGUUACAAAGAUGGAAGGUGUAAGAUCUUGACUGAGAGUGUUAUUAGUGACAUGUUCAUCCAUGAGAUCAGAGAUGAUCCUCAACUGAAACCGAAAGUGAUGCAAGACAAGAUCCAUGAUCGGUAUAACGUAGCUCCUUCAUAUGAUCAAUGUCGAAAAGCUAAGAAGAGAGCAUUAACAUUAAUUGAAGAAGAAUAUGAUGAACAAUAUCGAAGGAUAAAAGACUACAGAGAUCAAAUCCUAGAGUAAGUAUUCAUCUGUUUUAAUGCACUUCAUCAUGUUUUCUUUAAUUUUUUGGCUUUGAUACUAAUUACUUUGCUGAUACAGGACAAACAAAGACUCGACGGUGGAGCUACGGACAGUUGCGCCUACUUCAGUACAACGUCUUGCUGUGAGGAUGCACUUAACAAUUUCUCUGAGUCGUAUAACAAAGCUAUUGAUAAGGCGCGUGCUAUGCCUGUGGUUCAGAGUUUGGAGACGAUGAGAAGACAAGCUAUGGUAAGGAUUGAGCUGAGAAGGAGAACAACUCGAAAACAUAAGGGAAAACACAGUCUGAAGGUGGGACUUGUCAUUGCAGAAGAGGAAAAAGAGGUUAAAAGGUGUAGAUCAAUUGCUGGGCGUGAUAAUGUUUUUGAAGUGAGCGAGAGAGGACAAAAUUACACAGUCAAAAUGAAGGAGAAGACAUGCAUAUGUAGGAGAUGGGAUCUGACUGGGAUUCCAUGUCGUCACGUCUUAAGGGUUGUGUUUGACAAUAAGAAGAAGUUCAAGGCCGAAGACCUGGUUUCAGAUUGGUAUUUAACUUCUAUAUGGAAGGAUCAAUACACUGAUUCCAUCGAGCCUGUCAACGGAAGUAAGUUCUGGAAAAGCAGCGGUGAAGCAUUGAUCAAAGCUCCUCCGAGAGAGAUCGUUAAGGGUCGGAAAAGAAAACCAGAGAAGAGGCUCAAGUUGAUUACGGAGUCGCCAACUAAAGGGAAAAAGCUAACCAACCAUGGGCGAACAAUGCAUUGUUACCGGUGUGGUUUGCCGGGACAUUACUCUAUCAAAUGUCCUAGAAAGCCUCGGAAGCCUAAAAAGAGCAAGACAUCAGAACAGGUUCAGGAGACUAUGACACUCGGUAGUGGAGAAGGUCCUGCUCAAACUCAACCAUCUCAGACUUAGGACAGUGAUAAGGUAUUAAUCUUCUGAUUGUUCUUUUUUGUUGACGUGAGAAUACAAAUUUGUGAUGAUAAAAAAAUUGCUAAUUUUGUAGGUGAAGAUUAAAUCAGCAGGAGAGGAGAGUAAUUUUUUGUGUGUUCAUCUCCUUGGUCUCGGGUUAUUGAUAGUCUAAACCCAUGUUUUUUUUUUGUUUUAGGCUUAAGCUGUUUUCUAUGUAAAACGAUGUUGGUUAUUCACGUUGAACCUUGUUAUGGUCACAAUGGUAUUAAUUUAUUAAGAACUAUAUUAUGGCUUUCAGUUUUUUUAAUAUUUUCAGUUGGAAUUGGUUUUUGUAAUUCCUUCUUUCGAAUAAGAAACUAACACAACAAUUUAAAAUUCCUUAAAUACAUCAUAAAAAUCUCCAACAGCUCCCCAACAAGAUUCAGUCACAAUUACAACAAUACAGUGAAAGAGUAGACGUAAUUAAGCACAAAAACGAAAAUAACCAGCAAACACAACAACUCCACACACAAUCAUACACUUCAACAAACGUAUCUCAGCUUUCAUUGUCUCCAUCUCCUUCUCAUACCCACGAUCAACCAUCUUCAAGUCUUUUAUGUCUUUCUCAAUGCAAUUGACCAUGUCUUCACAAGUUCUUGUCUUCAUCUCUAAAUUCUUCAUUGUCUCCUUCAUGAAAAACAACUCUUCCACCAUAGAUUCAUCUGUCCAUUUAAACAAAUGGUAGUUGUCCUAGCAAAAUAUACAACAUUUACAUGAAUUCAUUGUAAGAACAAAAUUUAGUUAAUCUGGGCUUUUGUUUAUCUUUUCAGAACCUUUUGGACAACAAUGAAAGAGCCUUCCAGGAUUUUUUGAAGUUCCUGAAGUUUUUAUCAAUGAACUUUCUCCACACCUACAAGCAUUGGGCAUACCCUUCUGUCCUACAGGUACACCUCGACUCAUACUGGCAGUAAAACCUGCAAAUUGUGAAAUCAAAACUAAAAUUUCUGAUUUGAUUUUUUGAAAGUAUUUAAAUAAAAUCAAAAUCAAAAUUGCAAACCUAAACCUACGUGGAAUCUCCGAAGAAGCGUUCGAAUUCGACGAUGAAGGCAUUCUGAUUUGAUUUUGAACUCCACCGCAAAACCCUAACUAUGGCUCUUCCCUGUUUUUAAUCGACGAAGAAGAGAGAAGAAGAAGACAUAGUUGCUUACUUUUUUUUAAAACUGUUUAAUACUUUAAAACACGUCGUUUUGCCAUAUUUUUUUCUCAGAUUCUUAAACUAAAAUGACGUCGUUUUUGGGUUCUAUCCACCGUAGCAUCCGACUUGGAUUCCGUUUGCUAAGUACGGAUUUGACUAACAGAAAUAAAGUCAAUGCACUAAUUGACCAUGAAAACAUUGUUAAGGUAUGUAUUUACAACUUUUAACAUGUUGAGGUACUGAUUAACCUGUCAAAAUUGUUUAGGUAUUUAUUGGUACCAAAUUAUACUGUUGAGGUACUAAUCGGCCUUUUUCCCAAACAAGUCAUCACUAUUGUCUAACUUUUCCGGUUGCACCAUCGUGCUAGUCACGUGACUUUCAACAACCUCUACUCUACCUAUCUCUUCCAUCUCAUAGGUCCUAUGAACGCCAUACAAUACAACACAUAGAACAACGUUACAAGAAAGGAAAUAUUGAUAAUUUUAGAGACAUUAUUCUUGAAUUUUUGUUUCAUAGGAAAAAUACUUUAAGUACCAAAUAAAAUUGCAGCGGUUCUAUUUUUUCAUAUACAGUAUACAUGUAUAAUAUAAAUUUACUCAACCAAAAGUAGAUCAAUAAGCACCCAAACUACUGGUGUCUAAAAUUACUUACCACUAGGUUAUAAAAACUUGUUUAAAAAUCAUACUAAUCAAUCUUUGGCCCGUUCCAAAAUACUAGGCUCUAUUAACUGUAUCAUCUUUUAUUCUUGUCCUCUUUAUCUUUCUUGUUUUGUUCACAAGUCAAGGUUUUACUAAAGAUGUAUAUACAUAUACGCAUUCGCAAAACUUAGUGUUAAUAUAUUGCAUAAGUGGGAACCAUGGACGGACUUGUGUCGAGACCACUAAUUAUAGCUUUAGAGAAAGUAAUUAGAAAAAGGGAGGGAGUGAGAGAUCAAGAGAGGAAGAGCUUAAUUAGAACGAGCAAAAGACAAGUGGAUAGUUUUGUGACCUUGUGAAGGCAUUAGAAUAUUGAAAAUUAUUAACUAACAAGUUUGACAUUUCAAUUUAGUUUUCUUCAUACAAUUAAGACUCACGUCUUAUAGUGGACUUGAUGUUUUCAAGACAGAAAGCUAAACAACAUGAUUCUGGCUUUUGGUGCAAGGAAUCUUCUUUUACAAAGAACUCUUCUUUGACUCCAUCAAACUUCCCACCAAGCCAUAUAGAUCUUUGCUCACAACGGAUUCCGAUUCACAUCUUUGUACAACAAAUACCGAGACCUAGUCUUUCCGAGUGCAGCAUACCUGAAACAACAAACAGUACCUAAGAGUGUGUGGUCGAAUGAUCUUUCAGGUUGUCAAAACACAGUACCAAGAAAUGUUCAAUUCUUGCAAAAGUUCGAAACAGAGUAGAAGAAAUUCAAGUUUAUGGGCAGUCUCUUACCAUUGAGGAACAAAAGGAGCCAUCCAUAUGACAUCACCAGCCUGAACUGGAUACCUUUUAAAGGGAAGGUCACAUAAAAGUUACUAAAACGUCUUAUAUCAUGUGGAAUGUAGCGGUGACUGCAGUUAUAUUUUGGUAAAAGUGCCUCUGAUCACAUUACAUGACCAGUGCAAAAAAUUAAUGUUCUUGGUUGUGCAUGUGAGUGUAUGUUUGUUGUGUUGCAUACCAGUUAUCGCCCAAGCGAUAAAUGCCUUGGCCCUCCAGAAGCAACAAACCAUGUUGGUUAUAAUGAACUUCCUGUUAACAUUGCAAAACUACUUGAGAAGACUGGCUGUAAACAGAAUAAGAACAGUUGGAAAAAAAAAAGAGGAAAUUGCGAGCAACAGAUGGUAUCAAGAUCCCUAUGGUAAUGAAGCUAAACAGUUCUGUACCUUAACAUUGAGAAACUCUCCAGGCUGAAAAUCCAUUAUCUGCAUAUGAUAGAAACAACAGUGAUUAAACUUUAGACGUCUCAAUAAGCGAAAGGAUUCACUAGAACAGAUGAAUUGCUUACAUGGAUGUUGAAGUCAUAAGCAAGGGAGACCGGAAGAAGUUUCCGCAGCUCAAAAACCUGUAACAAUAACAAAAUGGGUUUUCGGAGAUGAUUAAUUUAGGAUCGAGAAGUUGAAUUACUUACAAUGUAAAUUGAAAGAUUUUAGAUGCAUUGUAAGAAAAGUGGAGAAAUUUUGCACACAUACCUCACCAGGAGUCUCAAGUAGUGGUUGCUUGUCUGUGGAGCCAACUAUAAGCUCUGUUGUGAGACUUCCUAGAUGAGCAUAUCUACAGACGUAGCAGUAUAGGAGGAGUGUUGUUAAGUUAUAAACAGUUGAGAAAAAUCGAACUUUUCUUGUCAUAAUAAAGGGACGAUGAAGAACCUCCGCUCGAAGACAACAAGUGUUGCAGACUCAACACAGUCCAAGGAAUGAUAAAAGUUUGGAGGAAGGUACGCGUAUGAAUCAACCUACAGGACAAAUGGAUUAUCAGCAGAAAAUGAAGAAACCUUGGAAAUUUUUUGCAACCAUUCACCAUCUAAGCUUGGGGAGAAACAAUGUAACAAAAAGAAUACUUUGGUAAAUUGUUUUUUCAUACAACUCAUACCGUCAAUUUUUUUGAAGAACUGGAUGUGUUAGUGAGUGUCACAGCACCCUCGAUCACGAAUACAAGGCUUGAAGAAGAUCCAAGAUAUUGUAAAGAAGUUAGUACGCAGAAUGUAGAUGAUAAGUCUAAGCAUAAACUAAAGAGAGAUAGCUGAUAUAAGUAACACUACCGCUCUAUGUCUUGUGGUGGUAAACCUGAACUUGACAUUUCUGCAAGAGACAGUAAAAUCAGCCUAGAUGACAUGUAGAGAACAACAACAUUAUCGAGAUGAAGAAAAUAAGAAGGAUAAUCUCAAGAACUUGAUGUUUUCUUCACACCUUUCAUUUUCGCAAAGUACAUGACAAAUGGGAACCCAUUGCCGGUGUGAUCAAAUACGCCCCUAAUGUGUUUGUCCUGUAAAUUUGAGCAACGAUUUUGUCGAAUUUUGUAGCUAUAAAGUUAAGACGAGAGGGGAUAUUAAAAGAGAGUUAUUUACCAGUCAGGUAAAGGGCUGUAUACAUGACUUUCCGGUGUUAUUAACGCAUGAUCUCGUUUGUAUACACUUCGUGUGAAUCCCGGCAAAUCUACAAAACAACAGAUUCAUAAUUUUUCAGCUUAUUAUAAAGAUCCAAAUGCAGAAUACUCAAUCCCAAACUCGAUCAGAAAACUCAUCUAAUAUACAAAUGGACGACUAUCAGGAAGAAACGAAUCUGUAUCCAUGGAAGUUGGAACUGAACUUGAAUGAUUCCAUGUUACCACCAAAUUGAUCAAAAGUUAAGAGCUUUUUGCAAGACAAGAGCAAGAAAUCCUCUCGGAUUAAGCACUAAUCCAAGUAAUCCUAUCUCUAACUAGAAAUGUGAAUCAACCCUAUUCGAACAUAACCAGCAAAAAGUAUCGAACUUUUAAUGUCCCGAAGCUAAAAACGAGUAAAACAGAUUAAGUAUGCUACGAUUUGUGGUAAGAAAGCACUUGAACCUUGGAGGUGCGACGGAGAGAGUGUUGGAUUCGUGACUUUCCCGUAAAUGAGUUUCGACACCUCGUCCGAUUCAGCGAUCGAAGGCGCUGAACAAAACCCAUCGUCGCUUUCCGAAGCUUUAACAAGACCUUGAUAAUGAAUAAGAAGUCCUGAUUAGUUUCACCGUAUGCACAAAAACUUUAUCAAAAAUCUAAGAUUUCUUCUUACUGAUAAUGAUGAAGAUGAAUAAGUGAAGUGAGCGCAUUUUCGCUGAGGAUUAGUGGAAUGAGUCAGGUUCAAUGCUUUACACAUUUGGUGUUCAUAUAAAACAUAAGAAUUCAGAUUCAGAAUACGACAGAAGAUUCUUUGCAGUGGAAUGUUUUGUUUGGUAGUCUCGUUAAAUUGUUCCUUUUUCAAAGACGAUUAAAAAAUUCCAGGCCACUGCCACUCGGUUUAGCUAAUUAGCGGGUUCAUGUCGGUUAGUUUAACGGGUUUACGUGUAAAUAGCGAAACGGAUUUAAAAUUUCUAUGCUUUUUUCGGUUUUGAGAGUAACUAAACUAUUGGGGCUAUUAGAAGCAUAUCCGCGCAUUAUGCGCAGGUCUUUAUAUAUAUUUUUGUUAGUAAUAUAGUUUAUAUAGUUUCAUUGUUUAGCUUUGUUCAUUUUGGUAUUUUUAAUUUUAUAUUAAAAAUUCCUUGGUAAAAUAAAAUAAAAUUUUAUACUCAAACCAAAAUUAUGUAAAUUUUAGAAGAGAUUCUAACAAUAUUUUUAUGAAACUCAAACAUUUUUUCUCCCAAAAAGAUUUUUACUUCACAUUACAUACUUUCUAAUCCAGGCAAUAGCCAAAGCGAUGUAGCAAUGGGUACAAAACUCAAACACAACCACAACGGGAAAGUUGGACAUACAACGAGAAUGUUCCUUCAAUAUAUGUAAAGAACAAAGCUGAUGCGAGAAUGAUAUAGGAACCAAAUGUUGACAAGUCAUCUUCUCCAAAAUCAAAAUAAUCUUGACAAUUAGAAAUAAACAAUACCAAACUUUAGGGAAAAACCUCUGUUUAUAUAGUCUAAAAAUAGAUAAAAAAACAAAAUUCCAAAAAUCAAACGUGAAAGGACAUCUUCGUAAGAGACUUUCUGGCGCUAAGAACGCCUUCAGCGAUAAUAACACCACUGCAAUUUACAAGAGAAACAAAUCCAAUAUAGCACAAAUUGUGCUGGUGAACAGAUAGAGAAAAGAAAAUAGAAUUGUUUUACUUUGCAAAAUAUUCGAGUAACUAAUUUCUGUUUGUACUCAAGUAUAAAAACUAAUAUGUUUACAAUAUAAACGACCAUUUCCCUGCAAAAUUAAGCACAGUCAUAUGCUUACAAUAUAUAUGUAAAUAUUUUCCUUACUUAUAAUAAUUGAUGAACAAAAGAACUCUGAGUUGUAAAAUACCAGAAGCGAUGUAAACUUUGGUGACUGAUACCAAAAGAGUUUCAUGGAAAUAUAUACACAUUUAUAUAUAACUAAAUAAAUAAACCAAGACAGUUUUAUUUAAUACUCAUUACUCGCAAUACGACAAUAGAAAGCUCUCUAAGGAACUUCAUCAAACAAUUGAAUUCGAGCCGUGUUCAUCUCUUUAGACUGGUAUAACUCAAUCUAGAUGCACAGAAUAACCUCACACAAACCUCUUUUCGUCAAGAAAAGAACACCAAGCGAAAUAAUCUGAGUAUUUACACUCAGAUCUGAGCCUUUUUCAUUUGUCAACUUUCUCUUCAGACGUUCAAAUUUGAGUAAAUGAGUUACAUAUGAUAUGACUAUCACAUCCGAUCAAUCAGUUGAACGAACGAGCAUAUAUCUUUAAGUGUCGAGAAUCACCACAAUCCAAGUGGAAGCAAUGAAAUUAUAAGAGUAUCUGAUGAGAUACAACUAUGAAAGGUGAGGAGGGAACUAAUGGUUUUCCGAAACUUGGUUGUGAAGAACGAACAAUUAAUAAGAAGAUAAAUUUGCAUCGAAAAGAGCUUUGGAAUUUUUAUUGUUAAUUAAAUUCAUCUUGACCUAUGUGAUUUAAAUAGAGGAGGCUGUGAUGUACUCAGAUUAUUCAUAUUCUUUUUAAAAAAAUUAAUUUCUAAAUUAAAUUCUAGAGAGCUGAUGUGUCAAAAGAGGAGGUGCUGCUGAUGUGUCAAGUUUGUGAGAUACAACCCACUCUUUAUAUAAUAGAUUGUUUGAAUAUAUUGGAAUGUACGUCUCUGUCGUGAACAUUCCAAGGCGUGACAACUAGUAAACAUGACAUUCGUUUUCGGUUUUCUAAGCUCGAUUUUAACAAUAUCCCAAAACGAAUCAAAACAGAGGCAACACAUUGGAAUGUCAUGUUUACUUGUUGUCACGCCUGGGAGCUUCAAUAUGUUCACUACAAUAUUCUCUAGAAAAUCUUCAAAGUCCUAUCGAUAAAACCAACAAUUGAACAUCUUGGAACUUAACUCUAUGCAUUGGUAGAAAUAGGAGACUAGAAAAAGUGGCUAGAGAGGUCAAGUCCAUGAUCUACAUACAAAACCGAGAGAUCAUUGUUAGUGUAUUGAAUUGCUGUUGAUCCAUUUCAUAGAUGAUGUCAUGGAUGUUAGCUUGGCUAUAAAGUUUGUGAAUUAUCUAGAGCAAAAAUGUAAAUUCCUACCAAUUUCACAAAAAGUUGAUGGAAAAAUAUUCUCUAAAUUUGAUAAACAAAUAUGAAACUAAACAACUUUGGAUAAAGUUUAUUAUUUUGUGAAAUAUCAUUUACAUCAAAUUUUAUUUUAAAAUUGCUUUUCAUCAUUAUGCAAAAAUUAUACAAACUCAUCAUAUUUCAAAGAUAGAAACUUUCUUUGGCAUUGUCGGGUUAUCUAACAAGAAGAAACUAUCUAAUGUGGCUAUGCACAUCAUUUUGUGGUGCAGAACGAGAGCAUGAUUCAACAACCAGUAUGCUUGAGGAACCUCUACACCAUUGGCGAGUUUGUUAGAAAUUUAGCUCAUAAAAUAUAUGAUAUCACAAGCGUCGAGUAACAUCCUAUAUACGAUUCCGGCAUCUCUUUUAUUUAUGCUUCUGGCACUGAAAUAUAUAUGUCUCGACCAAAACCUCAAGAAAUGGUGAAGCUUCACCACAAUGAAGAGGAGGUUGCACAACAUUUACAUUCAGUUCUCUAUUGUGUUGUCCAACAGCAUCACGUCUUUGUGUUAUAUGUGUCUAAACAAUAGAUAAUGGACUCUUAGAACCAAUGUACUAGGUUCAAGUGAUAAUAGAUAAGAAAAUACCUGCAAAUCAUUUAAGAUUUGAUCACACUGAUCGUAACUUUAGUAGCAUACGCAAUGUUGAAAUUCAUUUGAAGUUGUAAAACUUCAUUACGAUGAUGAUUAUCCAUCUGAUAAAAGAAUAUCUAAUAAAAGAAUAUGAAACUAAACAACUUUGGAUAAAGUUUAUUAUUUUGUGAAAUAUCAUUCACAUCAAAUUUAUUUAAAAAUUGGUUUUCAUCAUUAUGCAAAAAUUGUACAAACUCAUCAUAUUUUAAAGUUAGAAACUUUCUUUGGCGUUGUCAGGUUAUCCGACAAGAAGAAACCAUUUAAUGUGGUAAUGCACAUCAUUUUGUGGCGCAGAACGAGAGCAUGAUUCGACAACCAGUAUUCUUGAGGAACCUCUACACCAUCUGUGUGUUUGAAUACAUACCAAAGAGUAUGUGGAAAACUCAUUCAACAUACUGAAAUGUGUUGGUUGCUUGUUCUCGAGUUUAUAUUCACUAUGUAGUCAGGAAUGUCUUCAAACAUCUAGCAAUGAAAUUAUCGAUUGAGCUCAUAGGAAUGUACAAUGAUUGCUUAGAAAGAAACAACGUGAUUAAGAAGGUGGUUGAGGAGAGAAAACACAUAAUCUGUAAACUAAACCAAGAAAUAGUAGUGACCAUCUUAAGCCGCUACAAAAACCAUCUAGACCCUAUUAGAUUUGCUAAAGUGUUUGUGCGAUACCUUGUUCACCAGGAGUGACUUACUACAACUCCAUUGCUCCUCGGUUUAGCUAGUUCUCUUUUAAUGUCGGUUUGAUUUUGGGUUUUCGUGUAAAAAUCAAAACUGGUAUAAAUUCUUUACCAGAGAUUAUGGGCCUAUUGUAGUCGAAAAAAAAAAGACUAUAGGCCUAUUGUUUGAAUAUAUUGGGCCCAUUAAAUCUGUAAGGAAGCCCGAUUUGGCACAGAUCGUCGUUAUCGUUUCGGGGUCUUGGAAAGUCUCUCUUUCUCUCUUUCUCUCUUUCUCUCUGCAACAAAGGAAAAAUGGAGGUAGCAGCAGCGACUGCGACGAGCUUCACAACGCUACGAGCUCGUACGUCAGCGAUAAUCCCGUCUUCAAUACGUAACCUGAGAUCGAAAGGGAGAUGUUCGUCAUCUUGUUCUCUCAGAGCUUCUCUCUCGAAUGGCUUCCUCUCUCCGUAUACCGGAGGAAGCAUCUCUAGUGACUUCUGCGGCGCCAAGCUUCGUCCGGAAUCGAUUAAUCCGUUAAAUAUGUCCAGUUCCAAGCCUAAGCGCGGAGUUGUCACUAUGGUACUUAAAUUUAUACUUCUUCACAUCGUUUCUCAAUUAACAAAGCUCUACAGUUUUAGGAUUUUUGAAAUCGAGGUUUUUCGUGGCUAUAGCUGAGAUUUAUGCUUCCGUGGUAGUGAAUUUUCAGAAAUUGUAUUGGAUGGCGCGUAUUUCACCUACUGCUGUUCCUUAAUGUUAGCGAACUAAUAGAUUAGAAAUGACUAGAUAUAGGCAGAUAGCUCACAAUGGGAAGAAUGUUUGAGGAUCUUUUAGCUGUUUGAUUGAUCGGGGAUGCUACAUGUUUAGGUAGAGGGUUGAGUAUGAAGCUUGACCCGUUGAUUUUUAGAAGAAACUAUGUGCUAUGCCAUUGCCUUCUGAGAAAGAAGUUGAGAAUGUGUCAAAAUUUUCACUUCAUUGUGUGUACCAUUUUCAUAUGCAUCACAGAGCAAAACAUUUUGAUUUUUUGCUGUCAUAGGGAAAUCGGAGACUACUAUAUUUCUUUACAUAUUUUGUCACUUGUGUUUUGUCUUAUGUAUCGUAGUUGAAUUGCAACUUUGUUGAUUGAUUUCAUGUUUGGUGAGCCUUUAUUUUUUUCCCAUUGCUCGUGCACGUCUGAAUGGGCCUCCUUCCAUUAACAGGUUAUACCUUUUUCAAAAGGAAGUGCACACGAACAACCUCCUCCAGAUUUGGCAUCAUAUUUGUUCAAAAACCGAAUUGUUUACUUGGGGAUGUCUCUUGUACCUUCAGUAACUGAGUUGAUACUUGCAGAGUUUCUUUACCUUCAGUAUGAAGAUGAGGAAAAGCCGAUUUACCUCUACAUAAACUCGACAGGGACAACCAAGGUAGGCUUCCAUAGGAAAUUCUGCCAUUUUUGAGAACGCAUGCUGAAUAGUGAACUUGAAACUGUGGUUUGUUUCAAAUGAAUGAUUAAAAAUCUGUAGAUAUUUAUCUAAUCCUUUAAAAUAUUUUAACAGGAUUUAUUUUCUUACAUUUCAGAAUGGUGAGAAGUUGGGCUAUGAUACCGAGGCUUUUGCAAUUUAUGAUGUCAUGGGGUUAGUAAUCUUUAUCCCUUCUCUUUAUUUACUCCAUUUUCUUAUAUCUUUCUUAACAAGAAUCUAUGGCUUGACGUGAAUCCUGGAACUGCUUUCCCGAGUAUCUAAACUGCACUUUAAUACGACUAUCAUAUCCAGCUUUUCUUGGCUUGUUAUUUUGGGAAACCGAACAUAUAUAUCCAUGCAAUAAUCAACUCUUAUAUUAUCUGUGACUUCAGGUAUGUCAAACCACCAAUCUUUACUCUUUGCGUUGGGAAUGCUUGGGGUGAAGCUGCUUUGCUUCUGACUGCCGGUGCAAAAGGAAAUCGUUCUGCAUUGCCCUCAUCAACUAUAAUGAUAAAGCAGGUUCUUCCUGAGCUUUCUUUUUAAAUUUAAGUGGCGUCUCUUUCUAGAAACUUAGGUUUUAUGAUUCCUAGUUUUUGUGCAUGCGUCUGUUACUCAUUCAUAUUAUUUUCUAUUAUGUAAUAACUUUGUAGCCCAUUGCUCGAUUUCAAGGCCAAGCAACCGAUGUUGAAAUUGCAAGGAAAGAAAUCAAGCACAUAAAGACAGAAAUGGUGAGAAAACCAACUUUACAUGAAAUCAUUUGUGGACUCUUGUGAUAUGCAUAGAAUAUCUUAGUUGCACCUUCAUUAUACAACAGUAUCCAGUGGUGUUUGUGAUAUGUUUAAUAUGCAGGCAAUGAUGAUGUACUAAAGGACAUCUUAAUAUGCACCAAUUAGUCAUCAAAUUAUUCUCUUCGUUAUGCAAAUAUGCAUUCUCAUUCCUUUACUCCUCACUAUUAUCUUUAAACUUAUCUGAUAAGAUUACCCGUGUGUCUCUGUUCUGCAUAAUGUUAUACUCAAGGUCAAGCUGUAUUCAAAGCAUAUUGGUAAAUCCCCGGAGCAGAUUGAAGCGGACAUGAAACGCCCAAAAUAUUUUAGUCCCAGUGAGGCUGUUGAAUACGGGAUCAUUGAUAAGGUACGUUAAAUGGCAGAAAAAUCUGUAAAUCAUAUGAGUGGUUUUGUUUUCUGUCUACAUAGAGUGCUUAUCUUCUGCAAAAUUGAAUUAUUCUCGUCCUGUAAUCUGUUUGCAGGUGGUUUACAAUGAAAGGAGCAGCCAAGACAGAGGAGUUGUGUCCGACCUUAAAAAAGCACAACUCAUUUAAAGGUCAGAGUUGUCUUCGAAAAUCCCCCAUGAUUAACAGGUAAGAGCUAAGACUUUCUCGCUAUCAUUCUGCAUAUUGAGUAUAAUGAUGAUGAAAUUGGGUUUUGCCUUUUUGGACUUUUGUCUCCUAUAAUUAUCGAGAAUAAAAUUUACACUUCUUGGGGGGACAUAUACUGGAAGAACUACUUUCGUUCUGUCAAUUUUGAACCAAUUAUUUAGGAGCAUUUACCAACAAAGAGCAACACCUGUAAAAGUUGAAAUGCUUUGCACACCCCACAAAUAGUUAAUGAUAAUUACUUUAGCAUUCAAGCAAUAGCCUAACGAAUACACGGAGACAUAUUUUUGUAAUGUAAGUGCUUAUAGUGGCCUCGUGUCUUCUCGUUUUGCAUCCCCGUUAAUUCCAAUAGUUACUUCCCAAUUUCCUCUGUUGCUCUUUUGAGACCCAUUUUCUUUUAGUGAUAUCAUUUUCAUUGCCCAUUACAAAUAUAAAUAUUGAUGGCCGACAUAUAUCCAAGGAUUGUGCUCCUUCACACACUGGAACUCGUAUCAAUUUUUGUCUUAAGCAAAUUAUUAACCGUAAACCUUUGUCCUUCUUUAAUCAUUUGCAUAUUAACACCUAGCAUCGAUAGGUCUCGAUGACUAAAAGUAAUGUUAUUCUCCUAUUUAAAAAUGACUGUUACGACAUUAUCAUUUUGUUAUGACUUCUAAUUCUAUUUGGCUUCUCCUUUUUUAAAAUAAAAUACUUUAUAGUGACAUUAUCAUUUUACUGUGAUUUUUUAGGUUGGUGAUUUGAACGCGGAUCGAAGGGGAAGUCAUGAACCGAAAGUAAAGUCUUGAAAACAUGUUAAAAAAGGUUACUUACUAAUGCUAUUAUUUUAGGGUUAUUCGAACAGAAACAAGGCCAUAUAUGUGUAGGCUUGUGAAUGCCUAGAAACAGGAUUGGUGUAUCUUCAAUAUGCUUUAUAAACUUUUAUAUGAAUCAUUUUCAUUUGAUCACUCCUUAGUCCUGAUGCUUAUCUUCAUCAGUAUGUCUAUGUGUGAAUUUGAUGGAGAGAUUAAUGAGCGAUGACAUAACGAUAAAACCCACCAACCCCAUUAUCUGUAAAGACUAAGCCCUUUUCCUAUGAAAAUCCCACACUUGUCACAAACACGCAUUGUUAUUUUCAUUGGACUUCACAUGUCAACUGUUUUGAUGGCGUCACCGGUUCCUUGCGUUCAAAACAACUAAACAAGUGUAUGUUUUUUUAAUGAAUCGGAAAUACAAAAUAUCUAAGUAAACCUGAAGAAUUUACCUGUAAUUCUGGGUUGUGUAAUUAACGAAAGAGGUCACAAUUUUGUGUUGAGCUAAUGAUUGUCUAUAAAUUUUCCUAUGAAUUGGAAUUCUCAUUCAAAAGAAUAGUAGUAUAUUUGUGACAAAGAGAAUUAAUAUCUCUAGCUAGGAAGGUGUGGGACAAGAAAUAUCAUUGAGUGGAUUACAACCAAACCAGCAACAUAAAGGGUUUAUAUUAAUAUGAAUUCUCUUUUGUUAGACUUAUAGUAAUCCUUUUUGUCUUUCUCUUCUCCUACUCUUUACAUUAUUAUAACGAUCGUUUUAUUCAAAUAAAAACCAAGGCUGCUGCUAGAGCCUACCACCUAAUGUGUUCUCUUAUCGACAUCACUAAAAUUAGGAUAUACACUGUUGUUUCUGGUGAAAAAAUAUUCUAAAGGGGUAUUGUUAGAGCCAGUUGAGGAAUAUAACGGGUCGAAGACCUCUACAGUAUGGUUUCUUUAAUGAGUUCGAUAAAUGAUUCUUUUAUCUAGUGAAUUUAGGAAUUGAGAUUUUUAGAGUAUAAAUACAUGAUAAAUAAUUUGUAAUUCAUGAUUCACAUAAUUAUUAAAAAAAUUUUAAACAGGUAUUUGCUUCAAUUUACGAUUUAUCUCUCUUUGAUUAAUGUUUUCUUUAGUUUGAUUUACAACAUGCACAUCUAAGCGCAAGUGUAAUUACCUACGUGGUAUGUUUAUCUUAAUUUGAACAUCAAAGAUAAAAACAUAUUUGAUGAAAUAUCUUGCUGCUCAAUAUUUAUGAAUUACAGAAAGUAAAAUGCUAUUUUAGUCAACGUCUGUGUGUUUUAAACGGUUUUUUCUUUCCACGUUCAAAAUCUCAUGUGUGUGCAUGGAAGAAUUAUUCACUCGUAACACAACCGGCUAGUCAGACUCAAAGAUCCUCCAUAUGUAAAUUUAGGUCUACAUUAUCCAAAUUUGAUCAACAUGCAACUGAAGAAACUCUUUCGAUAAUGAUCAAAACGGGUAAUGCUUUCUUAGAUUCUUCCAAGUCGUCUACUCGUCUCCAUAUUGGAAUUAAAUCUGGUAGCAGGUUCCAUCAAGGAGGAUGCGAACUGAAAUUCUUCCAAACCAUAUCAGAUUGGAUUUAAAUCUGCAAAACUCUUAGAUGCUCAAUUCAAUAUUCCGUGAACGUGAGCUACAUGGCUCCAUAGAUUCUUCCAAACCGUUCCAGAUCGGAUAUACUUUCUGUCCAAGUAUUGGUUACAACUUGCUAGGCCAUGUAUCUAAUAUAUGAUUAAUAUUACUAAAGUGCUAGUACUGAGGGACAAUGAAAACUUUGUGAUUCCAAAAAAAUAUAGCACGCUUGGCAUAUUCUAUUGAGUUCGUUCAUCCAGUGCACAAAACAACUAACUAAUCGUAAACCAAUCUAUUUAAGUAUUAGGUGUCAUGAACUUCUCGUUUUGGAGGCACGGCCUAUCAUUUUUUUAAUAAUUACUAGCUAUACCCAAAAACGAUAACCCCACCAUUGUAUUUUGCAUUACAUAUUCUGGAUACUUCCUCUCACUCUCACGUUUUAUUUUUCUUAUGACCAAAUAAUUUCAUACAAAAUCUACACUGAUUGUCAAAAUAUAUAAUCAAUACACAAUAUUCAGUUAUUUACAAUGGUUAAAAGCGAGAAUGCAUCAACCAAACAAUAGUAACAUAAGGGUUAUUCUAUUGGUGGAGACCAUAAAAUUUGUAAAUAAAUGUAUCGUUUCUCUGCCAAAAAAAAAAUGUAUCGUUUCUCUUUCACCGCAACACUCAUACGUACAAAAUACAAAAGUAUAAUUUCAAUAUGUGAUCCUCUCUAAAAUUAUUGUAAGAAAUUAGAGAUAAGCAUCCAUUGAUACAUGCAAAUUCAUGGUCUGGACCAACCUCUUACCUCCUCAAUAUUCCACGCCUUAUAUAUUAUUCAAAGUUAAAAGAUAGAAUGGACGAAAGAAUUAUAACUUAUAAGAAUAGCAAAUUGCACUUUAACAACAACAACAGCAACAAAAAAAAAUGAAUGUGUUUAAUACAAUUGAGCCUCCGAAGUUAAAUAUCAAAUUGGGUAAUGCAAGUACGCGUAAUAGCUAAUAUAAAUUUGAAGUAUAGCUUUUUGCCAAGUGGAAAGGAAAAAUAGUACCGAUGCUCGAUCAAAUGCAUACAUUAUUAUAAUUAACACUCUAGCUACCUUCAUCUAUAAAUACCGUAUUAAACGUAUCAUCUAUCUUCACAUAUCUGUUGUACCACUAAUCUAUUUUCGCAAAUCACUUGUUAAAAUAGUCUCUUACAAUAGUUAUAGAUAAAAAUAUGAAGAGAUCUCACGUUUUGCAUCUUCUGCUUGUUCAAGUCAUUUUCCUUUUGCCUCUCCUUUGUUUAUCUGAUGACUAUGUUAGCUCUAGAGCUACUUUUUAUGGCAGCCCCGAUUGCAAAGCAAAUCCUCGUACGUAUUUGAAUUUUUUGUGUCAUAUAUCAAGUACAUUAAUUAUGUCAUUUUUAGUAUUAUUUAGCAUGAUUGGUAAAGCUACAUUAACAGGAACAUCUCAACAUAUAGAGUCAAUAUCAUUAUCACGUUAACUAUUUAAUCUAUGUAUAACAAUAUCAUUAUCUACGUAUAAGUACAUGUAGAUGAACACGAUUCCAUUAAGUGUCCGUAUCUUUGAUUCGAGUAUGACAUUACGUUUAAUAGUGAGAUUUUUCCAAGAAUCCGUUGGUAUGGAUAAAAUGCAUAGAACUUUCUAAUAUGAAAAAGGAUGUAAUAAAUUUAUUACUGGUUAUGUAUGCAGGAGGAGCAUGUGGGUAUGGAGAAUUCGGAAGAGAUAUCAAUAAUGGUGAAGUGAGUGGUGUUUCAUCCCGACUAUGGAACAAUGGAACUGGCUGUGGUGCUUGUUAUCAGGUUUGUUUUUUACAUAUAUUUUAUCUAGUCCAAUAUUUUAUCAAUAACAUUAUGCUAUAUACUAUAAUUUCUCGUUCGAUUAUCAUUACUAAACGAAUAUCAUCAAUUAUUAUCGAUUAUAAAAAAAGGUGAGGUGCAAAAUACCUCCACACUGCAACGAGGAAGGAGUAUACGUGGUGGCUACGGACUACGGAGGAGCUGGUGGUGACUUCAUAUUUAGCCUUGAGGCGUACGGACGUAUGGCAAGACCAGGCACAGAGGAUCAGCUCUAUUCCUUUGGUGUGGUCGACGUCGAGUACAAGAGAGUCCCUUGCCGGUACGGAGGGUCCAAUCUGGUGUAUAAGGUCCAUGAAAAAAGCUACAAUCCUCAUUAUCUUGCCGUCCUUAUCUUGUACGUUGGUGGUGUCAAUGACAUCCUCGCCGUUGAAGUCUGGCAGGUAAAUUUCAUCAAAAAGAUUUCAACAAACAAAUAUUUGUAUGUCUGUUUUUGAGGAUCAAAAUAGUUUUAUUAUAAUCUAUAAGUUUUUGAACCUAGACUUUUUGGCUUUUCAAAAAAACUACAUACCUAUGCCAAAUUUAUUUGGCUAUUCGUGGUAAUUACAUCAUUUCUACGUCGCCAUUUAAUUAGUAGUGCAAGUUAAUCCGGCUGGUCAUUGUCGAUUUACUAAUGACCACUAAAGACAUGUUUAUCAAUUUAUCAUUAGUGGUGACGACGCACUGAUAUGUUACAUAAUCUUAUCUAAUUGCAUGGAUUAGCUAGAGUUAGUGAAGAUCCUAGCUAUUGUCAAAGAUGAAACCCAUCAUUAAUCUUUCUUAAAAAUCAACACAGUGCCAAUAUCUCUACGUAGGAAAUAUUUCAUACAAAAUGAAAAAAAAAAUUGUAAUGUUUUGAAUUUCUUGUUCCAGGACUCCUUUUAGCUCUAGUUUCAACGCUUUUCUUAAAUUAAACACAAUGUAUUCUACAACACUCAUCAUUAAGACAAUAUAUUUCUUAAAGAUUAAUAACAUAGUUGUAAGCAAAAAACGGUUCGAUGUUUUUUGAGUAAAUAAAAACAUGAAUAUAUGAUUCAGGAGGAUUGCAAAGAGUGGCGACGUAUGAGAAGAGUGUUUGGAGCUGUACACGACUUGGAGAAUCCACCAAGAGGCACUCUCUCUUUGAGGUUCUUAGUCUACGGAAGCGCCGGAAUCAAUUGGGUCCAAUCUCCGAACGCUCUUCCCGCCGAUUGGACCGCCGGAGCCACUUACAACUCCAACAUUCUACUUACUUGAUCCCCUAACAUUUUGCAUCUUUCUCUCUAUCUAUUGUGUGGUUUCUCUAUACAUAUGUAAAAUGGAGAUAUAUUUAAAUAACGCCCUCUAGAACCAUAUAAUAAUUAUCAUAGUAUAUUCUUAUAGUUAUAUUUCUUGUGUCUAUUUAAGAAUAUUGUAAUGAUUUGUAAGGUUUUGAUUAGUAAUGGAAUCAUCAAAAUAAUGAUAAAGUUUUACAAAUAACUAUAACUUCUUCUCAAUCAAAUAGUUUUCAUGCUGCCAGAACAAAUGGGCCCGAAUAUUUUAUACACGCAGGCCCAUUAGUAUUCUUUAGGCCCAUUAGAUUUAAAUAGAAUUUCAUACGUCGUCGUAUCCAAAAUAGACAAAACUUCCGCAGAUUCUUUGCGAAAAUCCAAUUAAAACCAGAGAAGAAAUCGGUGGCUUAAUUCGAUCUUCGAAUCCUGCUCAUGCUCAUCCUCUUCCUCAGUCUUGUUCGAUUCUGGGUGAUAAUUAGCGAUUCUAGGAUUCUUCGAGGCAAAAUUUAACCGCAACUCUAUAUUCUACUCUGUUUUGUCUCCAACUUUAACUGAAGGUCACUAUUCGACUCUGGAGUUUGUUUUACAGUCCUGUUUUGGAUUUGGGUUGAUGUGGAGAUGCUUUAAUUAUCUAUCUGUUGCGUCGAGCUGAUCGCUGUGAGGAAGAAAUCCUAUUUUCGUUGAAACUGUGGAGUCGCAGAGUUCGUACAACACUUUCCGAACAGGUCUAGUGAGUAGGAAUCCCCAUUAGCGAAAUAUGCCGCAGGUUAAGAUCAUCGCGAAAAAUUUCAUGGACAUGGUGGCGUCUCUUACUGCCAUCAAGCUCGAUAAACUCUACAACAAUGUCUUCAUCUGCGAGGCCAUUCUCAGGUUGAUUUUAUGUUUUCUUUUAUUCAUAGAUGAUUUGUAUGAUUUGAAGAAACUAGUAGACCUAGUAAUGAAAUAUAUUCUUGGAGGAUUUUGUGGAUUUUACUUACCUGGUUGAAAAUAUUGUGGUUGUAUCAGGUCUUUGCCACCUCUCGCCAAGAAAUAUGUAUUGCAGUUGUUGUACACUGAUGUUCCUGUACCUGCCACGAUGUUGGAAGAAUGGGUGCUUGCAGAUGGCGUCUCUAAGCACAGAGCUGCUAUAGAUCGAAUGAUUCAAUUAAGGAUUUUCAUGGAAACGACAGAUAGGUAUGCGCAUUAUUGCUUCUUUUAUCCUAUCUGAAAUCUCUAGAGUUCAUUUUAAGAGUGAAUCACGAGUUUGUAGUUGGUUCGUUACUUCAGUACAUGUAGUGUGGAGAAAUAUUGAUGUUGAGUUCUUAGUUUUGAAAUUGUUUUGAGAAAGAUGUUGUCAUUCUCUUGACGGUUUGGAAAUUAACUUGGACACUCAAACACUCUAAGCUUAUACUUAUGCACUGUGCUUGGAUUGGUUAUGAUUGAUAUAUGGCAAGAUGAUAAUUUUUCAGGAAAAAGGGAACCAGUUACAGCCUAAAUCCUACAUUUCAAAAGAAUCUUCAGAAACAUAUAAUUUCUGGGUAAAGACAUCUUUACGUUGAUGGUACAGUCCCUUUUCGUUUUUCUCUAGGUCUGGAAAAGAUGCUGAUGAGCUAAGCUUUAAUUUUGCAGUGGAGUUUUGCCUAGGGAGCCUAUGAACUCUAACAAUGCCAUUAAGCUUCCAAGUCUACAAGAACUCGAAACCUAUGCACUUCAGCAAUGGGAGGUGUGUAGUUUCUAAUUACAAAUUGAUAAUGCUAGUAAAAUGGUAAUAACGUGUAAGAGAAAUAUCUUUUUAAGUAUGGAUUUGGUUAGUAACUUAGUAUCUGGUGAUUUGUAAUUAUGUUCGUCAGUGUUUCUUGCUACAACUCAUAAAUUCGGGUCAAGGUGAGAAGCUAACUGGUAUCAGUUCGUCCAUGAUGAAAAUCUUCCAGAGAGGUUUAUUGAGUCAGAGGUAUUGUUGCUAUAUUUGUCUGUAAAUUCAUAACGGUGGCAUAUGAUAUAGUCAUUUAAUACCGUUUAUGUGAUUUUACAGAGACAGAGAUGGCCCGAGAUUAACUGAGAGUGGCUUUCAGUUUUUGGUAUGCUAGACGUUAGUCAUUGAUCUCCUAUUACUAGUAUUCAUAUAACUAACCUUAUUGACCCUAAAUUUCAGCUGAUGGAUACAAAUGCCCAGCUUUGGUAUAUUAUCCGAGAAUACAUAUCGAAUGCCGAGGUUUGUAUUAUGCCUUAACAAGGUUUAGUUAAGUUGAUAUCUCUGUUUUUUCCGUAUGAAUAACCGAAUGCCAUUGGUGUUCAGGAGCGAGAUGUAGAUCCAGCAGAGUUAAUUUCGUUUUUGUUAGAGCUUAGUUUUCAUGUUACUGGUGAGGUAUAACAGAAAUUCACAAAGUCAUUCCAGACGUUCUUGUUCUUUUGUAAUGGAAGCUUGUUAAAUAAUUCGUUGAGCUCAAACAUUCGUGUACAUAUUGCAGGCGUAUAACUUAAAUACCUUGACAGAAGUUCAAAGAAAUACACUUAAAGACCUUGCAGACUUGGGAUUAGUCAAGCUUCAACAGGUUAGACCAUUUGUGAUACCUUUUUCAUUACCAAAAGAAGAUAAACUUUGCAGAAGUUAAAGAUAGAGUGAUUAUAGAAGUAUAUCAUAUGCUGAAACGAUCUUUAUGAUUAUUACAGGGAAGGAAAGACAGUUGGUUUAUUCCUACUAAACUGGCUACAAAUUUAUCAGUCAGUCUGGCAGAUUCAUCAAUCCGAAAAGAGGUUACACCUUUUUGAUUCCCCUUCUUGUCCCAUUUCAACCUACUACCAACAGUUUUCUUGAUUUUGCGUAUCCUUGUUGUUUGUUAUUCCUCAUCAGGGAUAUGUCAUGAUGGAAACAAACUUCAGGAUGUAUGCUUACUCAACAUCUAAGUUACAAUGUGAAAUUUUACGUCUGUUUGCGAGGUAGAAGCUCCUGAACACCGCUCUCAAACUCUGGUCUUCUGCAUCUGUUAAAUCCUUUAGGUGUAAGUAGUUGCUACUCCAUUUUUCCAGGAUAGAGUACCAACUUCCAAACCUUAUUGCUUGUGCAAUUACAAAGGAAAGCUUGUACAAUGCAUUUGACAAUGGCAUCACAUCAGACCAGGUAGAGUUGGUUUCAUCCGAGAAAACGUUAACAGAACAAGAUAUUAUGCUAUCUUUGACGGGGACCUUUUACUGUCCAUGAGACUGAUCAAGUUGUGAUGCUUCUCUUAAAAUUCUGAAUAUUUGUUUUUACCUUUCUUUUGGUGGUUGCAGAUUAUAACUUUUCUCCAGCAGAAUUCUCAUCCACGAUGUGCUGAUCGAGUACCAUCUAUUCCAGAAAAUGUCACUGACCAGGUCUAUACUCUCUCUCCCCACAUCUAGUGUUAAUGAUAUGAAAACGUUUAUAGGAUUGAUUUAUAGACUGAAAACGUGUAACUACCUCCACUUUCCAAUACAUUGGGUCCGUGCUAAUUGUUUACUGUUCUUUGGCAGAUACGGCUUUGGGAGUCAGAUCUGAAGAGAAUCGAGAUGACACAGGCUCACUUCUACGAUGAAUUUCCUUCAAAGGUAACAAACCUGAUUCCUCUUUAAAUAUAUAUCUCAGAACCAUUAUAGUAAAUCUGAGUAGCUGGAACUGUAUCAAAAUCAUAUGUUGGCAGGAUGUGUUUGAAGCAGCUUGUGACUUUGCUCGAGAAUGGAGAGGCCUUCUCUGGGAAGACUCUAAGAGAAUGCGACUUGUUGUGAAAUCCGAAGUUCACAAUAAGAUGCGUGAGUUUCUUCACACCCAAAGCAAGUAAAGUUUUGAAAUUCACAAGGGGGAUGAUUGGGGAUGUUUUCAAAUUUCCUCUUAUUCAUUUGAUGAUUCUCUAAAAUGUUUUAAAACCUGUCUUAAUGAAUCAUGCAAUUGUUAGAAUUAUUCGAAAUCCAAGGUUAUUGAAUCAGCCAUUUGUAAAAGUUCUUUAAAACCUCGUAUUUUUUGGAAAACUAGAGAUUUCAUUAAACGAAAAUAAAAGUCAUUUGUACAUUUGUAUGAAUAAAUUUUGCCUUCCAAGAAAAGUACGUCGCACUUUUUGGAAAAAAAUACCUUGGACAGACUACAAUCUCGGUCUUUGUUUUCUAUUCAGAGAACCAAAUUCCAAAUUAUUAAAACCCAACAAAAUGUAAGGCUACUAUUUCAGCUUGAUCAACUAAGAGAAUCUGAAGCCUUGGACUUGUUCAGACAGAGGACUAUGAAUCUAUUCUGUGUCCACAUGAUGAAUAAUACUACAACAUCUGUCUUUUACCUUGCUUGAGGUUUUUCAGUGGCUGAGGAUUCCGAAUCCUGGAUCUUCGCUCCCGUGUUUGCCUCUACAGUAGCAUUUGCAUCUCCACGUGCCCGAGCGAGUCUCUCAGCUUCUUCAAUCUUUCUUAUAGUUUCCUCUUGUGUUGCAGUCAUCAUUGUCCCCAUCGUUUUCUUUUCUGAUUCGAGCUGAACCUCCAUUAUGGUACCAGCUUGCUUGUCUAUCGGUUUGAAGUAGUCUUCAAUCUGAGACUCCUGUAUUGGUAAAGACACGAAACAAAGUUAGACAUGAAAAGCUUUCUGAAACUUGACACGGAAAGAAGUAGAACGAAAGGGAUGAAAGCUUUCUGAUUUAAGAAAGACACUCUGAAGACUGCUUUUGCUCUUCCCCCCCCCCAAAACUCUAUGCUUUAAGAAUCGCAAACACCAUGAAACUAAAAACAUUUUCCCUUCUUUAAAUGUUUCGGAACCAAGCGUUUUCCCUUCUUUGAAUGUUUCGGAACCAAAAGUACAGUACUUGAAGGACACAAAAUCUCAAACAUUUUACACUUAUUGUAGAUACAUUAUCGAUAUGACACAGGCGAUAUACUCAGUGGGGAAUAACGUAAAUCACUUGCAAACUUUGGACUGAGAAUAAAGACAAGAGACUAACCGUAUUCUCAAUCUGCUUAUUCAAAUUCCGCAUCUCGUCAACCAUACGGCGGACUUCAGAUAAUAUAAUCUUCUCUGGGAGUCUGUUUAUCUCUGCUUUCCUUUGUUGAGCCUGCAAGAACAAAGGUUACCAUCAUUUUGAUCAUUUAAAUCAGAUGAAAAAGGGCAACAAUGACCAAUCUUGCUAGAAGGUAGAAGUCACAAGUACUGCUGAACAGAUAAAAUGCCAAAUUCUAAAUGAUUAGGAAACUCUAAUGUAAGGAAGAUCAUAUUUCAUCAGUCACUUCAGUUUGAAGCCCAAUUUUACUGUUUCUAGAUACUAUUCAAUUAUCACAACACACAGAAGUACAUAUCGAAAUCAGGAACUGAUCAAAACCCAUCUUUAGUUUCACAAUGAAUAAACAUAGAUAAUCGACAUAAGAGUUUCUUCAAUUUCUCAUUUUCACAGUCAAGUAGAAAGGGUUCUUCAAAUUUAUGCAAUCGACUAAAGUCCAAUACUAAGAAAUUAAGGUUUCAUCAUCUUAUUCUACCAUUCAUUCUAAGACAAUAGAUUGAAGCAUAGUGAGGGACCAAAAAAAAAAGAAAAAACCUGCUGGAUACGCUUUUCGAGUUGCAACCUAUAAUUCCGAAUUCUCCUUUCUUCAUACCCAGAGAGUACUCUCACAUAGAACAUAGCUUUUCUCCCAUAUUCCAGCAGCUUGUUCAUCUUUCCUGCGAGCCACCUGCGAGUUUGUCGAAACGAUCAAUGAAGAACAAAACAUAUCACAAUCGAUUAGUUUUUAAUGGAUUCUGCAAAUUUAAAUUUCCGCAUAUCACAGUCAAAAGAUGCAACAAGAUGCGUGAAACUAACUAAACUUGGAAAUGAUUGUUCAAAACCCAGACUUGGCUGAGAAAUCCGAAGUACUAUCGUUCGUUUAACAUGGCGCAUCAGUUAAUCAUAAUCGAUCAAAUGGACAACGAAUAACUAUUCAAAGCUUCGAUACAAACAAUCAAACUACCGAUCUAACGAUUAAACGCCAGAAUCUAUUGCAUCGAAGACUACGAAAUGACGGAAAUCGCAGGUCCACUCCAAGAAAAUCAGAGGGAAUCGAGAUUAGAGAAGAAGCUGCAAAUGUGUAAUUAUGUAAUUAACUUCAAAUUAGGUGCUAAGUAUUGAAUGACAGAGACGUACUCUCUAGUAGAAAUCGGAGACAGCGAAGACCGGAUUGCGAAAACGGUAUAACUUCAAAGUCCUGGCUCUGCAAACGCACAAGUUGAGCGAACGACAAAACCGCAACGAAGAACAAAACUUUGGAUUACACUGACAAACUCCGGUUAACUCCGGCUCCGGCGGCAAGAUAACACCGUCACCGAUCUCUCGCUUGACUUGAAGGAUAUCCACUGCUUCCGUGUCGUUCCCGUAGUGGGCUCAAAAUAUGGGCCUUUAUAAUAUGUGGCAAGCUUUUCCGGAACUUGGCCUAGUCCGAUUUUAAGUCCUGCCAAAAACUUUUUUAUUUGAAAAUAUUUAUUUUAUUUCUAUACACAAAGCUUCAAUAUUUGCUACAAUAAAUUUUUGGACUUAAACUAUCUUGAAUUUUGUUAUAACACAUAUCAUAUAUGGACUCUUAUACCGGCCCAUUAGACCCAUCAGGGCAUUGUACUUAACCUAUAUUCCCUAUGUACUCUAUAUAUACAUUCCAGUGAUUAAUAAAGUUUCGAAGUUUUCACAACACGUUAUCAGCACGAUAAGACUCUCUGAGCGAAAAACCCUAAUAAAUCCGGCCACCACCAAAACUCUAAAAGCAAGUCGAAACUUAAAAGACGCAUAUCUUCCAAACCGUGAGGAACCAGAAGACGAUCUACAUAUCAAAUCGAAGCCCUCGACGAGACGAAUCUACUGGGGAAAACCGUUUGUCGAUCCAACGUCGGACGCGCCCUCACGCACACUUACAGUACACGACGAUCAACCGAAAAAAAAAAAACCAAAUCCAAGUUUUUCCUUCUUCAACCAGCAGCUUCUCCAGUUUUGGUGAUCAAUCCUUGGAAUUUGUAGCGGCUAACUGAGGUCUAUUAGCUCCCAGUUUCAUUAGCCUGUCAGAAAUCCAAAGGUGGAAAAGGUAUCUUCUAAAACUGAGAGCCAUAGAACCUGUUGUUUAAACACUUCAAAACCCUAUAAAAAAAAAAAAAAAAAAAAUCGAUCUCUAAUUGAUUGAAAGUGUUUGAUACUCUGAUGAUUGAUUGAUAACUUGUUGAUUGAUUGUUUAAAUUACAAGUUUAUGCAUGUUCAAAGGUUUUAAACUCGUUUUAUAAAACCCUAAUCUACAAAAACCUAACAACCGUUUUUGGCCAUGUUUAUGGCAUAAACCUAUUCGAUUUUCUUCAUGUUUAAUAAGCUUGUUGCAGCUUAUUUGAUUGUUGAUUCUCUUGCUUGAAACACUUGAUUGAAUAAACUAAAAAAAUCAACCCUAAAUCCUAAGCUUAAUUCACGAUUUUGUAAUCUUCAAAAUCGUAAAUCAUAAUGCUUAAACCCUAGUCCUUUUCACGUGAUUUCUUUGUUGUCCUUGUGAAAUUAUUAAAAUCAUAGACCAUAGAUCCUAUAGAUCUCGAAAUCACAUCCAAAAUAUGUUUUCCAAACUGUUAAAACCCUAGAUAAAACCCUAAUCAUAUUCGGCUCCCCUAGGGUUCCUCCUAAACCGCCUAAAACCGACUAAACCUGGUUCUCAUUAACCGAAAUUAUAUUCGGCUUUAACCGAUUAAAUCACAGCUAUUAAACCGACAUCAUGUUCGGGGUAACUAAAACCAUACCCUUUAAAAUUUACUAUUUCCGAGAAAGUUCCCUCUAAUAGAAAGUUUCCUCAUAUAAAAACUUUCCUCAUAUAGAAAUUUUCCCGACAUAGAAACUUUCCUCAUUUAGAAAAUUACCCAAAUUAGAAACUUUCCAAAUUUAGAAACUUUCCUAAAAUAGAAAUAUUCUCAAAAUAGAAAGUUUCAUCAUCAGCAUUCAAAAUUUUCUCAAAACAAUCCCUAACAAAAUCAAUCUCAUGUUUCUGAUGUCAAACAUUCAGAAAUGUGAAUUCGAGGCCCUUCACGUCUCCGGGGAUAACUACCUCGAGUGGGCCCUAGACAUGCGCUUGUUCCUUGCAUCGAAAGAACUCGAUACGUGUAUUACCGACGGUAACACCGCAUCCCGUAAGGGACAGUCUCAGGCGAUAUGUCACAUACGCCAUCAUCUGGCCCCGAGCCUUAAGCAGCAAUAUCUCACUCUUGAGAAUCCACUUGAAUUGUGGCAAGCGCUGAAAAAGCGAUAUGACCAUCAGAAAAUGGUCCAGUUGCCUCAGGCAGAUUUCGACUGGAAGAACCUUCGGUUCCAGGACUACAAAUCCGUAGAUGAUUACAACAACGAACUCUUUCGUAUUGUUGCCAUCCGGAAACUCUGUGGCGAGGAUGUGACAGAUAAUGAUCUCCUCGAGAAAACAUUAUCCACAUUCAGCACAGAGAAUGUUGUGCUCCAACAACAAUACCGUGCAAUGAAACACACAUUGUACGAAGACUUGUUGUCCUGUCUUCUCCUCGCUGAGAAGAAUAACCAGCUGCUUAUGAGGAACAGCGCUAUGAGGCCCCCGGGAUCGGCUCCUGUCCCAGCUUCUCGUCAAGAGUCCUACCAUGUUCAACCCGAUAGAUCCUCAGAUCACCGCCGUGGACGUGGUAAUGGACGCGGUAAUGGCCGAGGACAUGGACGUGGAAGACGUGGACGCGGACAUGGUCGUGGCAACCGACCUAACCUCAGUUAUGGUCCUGGUCGUGGUCGAGGCAUCACCAAGCCGACCCGCCACACACCCCGAUCACUCUGCUUGUACCAGAUGUGGGAUGUUCAACCACCCAACAAAGCAAUGUCGCACCCCCAAGAUCCACUGCGAUCUAUACUAGAAGUACGGAAAAGCUCCUGCUGAAGCCAACAUGACUCAGCCAGUCGAUGCUGCUAACCUGGAAGGUGACGACCUCCUUGAUGAUGAGAACACCACAAACGAGCAGACCGACCCCAUGGACUAUGAAACAGCUGAUCUCCUCGAUUAAUUCAAUCAUCUGAAACUCUGAUACAAUUUGAUUUUGUUCUUUAUUUUUUUUUCAUUUUGGGAUUUGUUUCAUUUUUUUUUCCAUUUGCCUUUAUUCUCAGACACUGCUUUACUUUAUGAUUUAUCACAUUUUUUGAAUUCCUCAAUACUGAAUUCUAUCUUCUAUUCAUAAUGAAGCACACCAGCAAAUGGAAACCAUAGUCGUAGAUAGUGGAUCCAGCCACACUAUCUUAAGAAACAAAAGUUACUUCAUAAACCUAACCUAUCAAACCGCAAAUAUUAGCACCAUCGCGGGUCCCUCAAACCUUAUCGAAGGAUAUGGCCAUGCCUAUGUGUUGCUAUCAAAUGGCACACAACUUGAAAUACCAGAUGCUCUAUAUUCUCCUAGUUCGAAGAGAAAUCUUCUGAGCUUCAAGGAUAUAAGACAGAAUGGUUUCCACAUAGAAACCCAAGGUCAAGGGAACAAAGAAUCCCUCCUAGUCACUAAAACCGUAGACGGCCAUAAACAAAUCCUCGAAACCAUACCCGCGCUCUCUACUGGACUUUACCAUGCUAAAGUCAGUAUGAUUGAAGCUAAUACCACUCUCAAAGGCCGGUUUACUGAUUAUUCUAUUUGGCACGACCGGCUCGGUCAUCCCGGUGCAAAUAUGAUGCGUAAACUAAUUCAAAACUCUCAAGGGCAUACCCUCAAAGAAAACCGAGCUUAUCCUCAACACCUCAUGUGCACAGCUUGUUCUCAAGGCAAAUUGAUCACUCGGCCUUCACCAGUUAAAAUCUCUAAACAAACACUUCAUUUCCUAGAAAGAAUCCAGGGCGAUAUCUGUGGACCUAUACAUCCAUCUUCCGGACCAUUCCGGUACUUCAUGGUCCUUAUAGACGCAUCGACCCGUUGGUCAUAUGUUUGUCUCUUGUCCUCUCGGAACCAAGCCUUCGCUAGGUUCUUGGCCCAAAUCAUAAAAUUGCGGGCCCAUUUCCCUGACUUCCCACUAAAGACUAUCCGCCUUGACAAUGCUGGUGAAUUUACCUCACAAGCGUUUAAUGACUACUGUAUGGCCAUGGGGGUAACCGUGGAAAAUCUUGUAGCACAUGUCCAUACUCAAAAUGGAUUGGCUGAAUCAUUCAUUAAACGCAUUCAAUGGAUAGCCCGACCAUUACUCAUGAGAUCAAAGCUCCCGGCCUCAGCAUGAGGACAUGCAGUAUUACAUGCUGCUGAACUCAUACGCAUCCGGCCAUCUAGUGAACACAAAUAUUCCCCAUCCCAACUACUCUCGGGUCAUGAGCCAGACAUCUCCCAUCUCAAAACAUUUGGGUGUUCAGUAUAUGUACCCAUUGCUCUACCACAUCGAACCAAAAUGGGACCUCAAAGAAGGAUGAGAAUAUAUGUUGGUUUUGACUCUCCCACCAUCAUAAGAUAUCUCGAGCCAACCACUGGAGAUCUCUUCAAGGCCAGAUAUGCGGAUUGCCAAUUCGAUGAAUCGGUAUAUCCCUCUUUAGGUGGUGAGACAAACAAGCUGGUCAAAGAUCUUUCAUGGAAUCAAACAUCAUUAAAUUGGCAAGAUCCUCGGACUCUAGAAUGUGAUUCAGAGAUCCAAAAGAUUAUUCAUUAUCAAAAGCUAGCUAAUCAAUUGCCAGAUUCCUUUGCUGAUCCGACCAAAGUAACCAAAUCGUACAUCCCAGCUUGUAAUGCACCAGUACGAAUAGCUGUCCCAACGGGACAGACCCAAGUUGCUACAGAGUCUGCACCACGUCUCAAACGGGGCAGACCUCUCGGUUCCAAAGAUAAGAAUCCCCGGAAAUCAAAGAAAGGUGCAAUAACCGAAACCGGGAUUCCUGCAAUAUCAGACAUAGCCCCGGCUGAGACUCAAUCUAAUGAACCCUCAAUGGAAGUUCGGGACGCCGAAUCUCCAGGUUCAGAAGAUAACAAUGAGAUCUCCAUCAAUUACAAUAUGUCCGGAAUACAAUGGAAUCGAAAAGAAGUCGACUUAAAUGCACUCUUUGCAUACAAAGUAGCACUUGAUGUUGCGCUCACGCAAGAGGAUCUAGAACCCACGUCAAUAACACAGUGUACACAUCGAACAGAUUGGCUAAAAUGGAAAGAUGCCAUAAACGUGGAGUUAAAGAGUCUCAAACUCAGAAACGUGUUCGGUCCGAUCAUCGGGACCCCAUCACACAUCAAGCCAGUGGGCCACAAAUGGGUCUUUGUGCGCAAAAGGAACGAACUCGGUGAAGUCGUUCGAUACAAAGCACGGCUUGUAGCACAAGGAUUCUCACAGAGACCCGGAAUCGAUUAUGAGGAGACUUAUUCUCCAGUGGUGGAUGCAACAACAUUCCGAUUCCUCAUAAGUCUGGCCAUAAGAGAAAAUCUCGUUCUGCGGUUAAUGGAUGUUGUAACCGCAUAUCUCUAUGGGCCCCUGGACAACGAAAUAUAUAUGAGACUCCCAGAUGGCAUUGAACUAAAAGACAAAAAUGCAUCUCGAGAUCAAUACUGCAUCAGGCUGAACAAAUCCUUGUAUGGACUGAAACAAAGUGGGCGUAUGUGGUACAACCGCCUCAGCGAUUACCUCAUCAAAGAAGGCUACAAAAAUGACCCCAUCAGUCCAUGCAUCUUCAUCAAGAAGUACUCAAACAAAGGAUUUGUAAUCAUAGCAGUAUACGUGGAUGAUCUAAACAUCCUCGGAACAUCUGGUGAGAUCUCCCAAACAGUCGACUGCUUAAAAGCAGAAUUCGAAAUGAAAGACCUAGGCAAAACAAAGUACUGUUUGGGAUUACAACUUGAGUACAUCAAAGGAGGAAUCCUUGUGCAUCAAUCGGCUUAUAUCGAAAAGGUACUCAAGCGAUUUAAUAUGGACCAAGCUCACCCAUUGACCAGCCCAAUGGUAGUUAGAAGCUUAAGUGAUGACCCUCUUGGUCCCAAAAAGGAUGAUGAAGAAAUCCUUGGUCCUGAAAAGCCAUACCUCAGUGCUGUAGGAGCGUUAAUGUACCUGGCUAGUCACACUAGACCAGACAUAUGUUUCGCCGUGAACCUCCUCGCUCGAUAUAGUUCAUCUCCAACUCAGAGGCACUGGAAUGGUAUAAAACAUCUCCUAAGAUACCUUCGAGGUACUCAAGACUUAGGACUCUUCUAUACUAACCAAAAUAAAGAUGGGUUAGUCGGCUUCGCCGAUGCAGGAUAUCUAUCAGAUCCGAACACUGCCAAGUCUCAAACUGGCUACGUUUUUACGCAUGGAGGAACAGCCAUCUCUUGGAGAUCAAUGAAGCAGACACUCACUGCCACUUCAUCAAACCAUACUGAAAUCCUAGCCAUUCAUGAAGCUAGUAGGGAAUGCGUCUGGCUGCGCUCCAUGACUCAGCACAUCCGCAGAGAUUGUGGUAUGGACGAAGACACACAGCCCACGGUGAUGUAUGAAGACAACGCGGCAUGCAUAGCUCAGCUCAAGGAAGGAUAUAUCAAAGGAGAUCGGACGAAGCACAUUCUACCGAAGUUCUUCUCAACCUCAGACUGGCAGAAGGACGACACUCUCAGCGUUCAGCAGGUCUGAUCCAGUGAGAAUUCAGCUGACCUCUUCACCAAAUCAUUGCCUACUUCAACACACCGGAAGCUCGUCAAACAGAUAGGAAUGUAUAGACUUAGAGAUCUGCAGUGAUGCUACAAUCAGGGGGAGUAAUGCGUGUUGUACUCUUUUUCCUUCACCAUGGUUUUGUCCCACUGGGUUUUUCCUGGUAAGGUUUUAAUGAGGCAACAUUCCCCAGCGCAUUAUCGAGAUCCCGAUUGAGUAGCUGACCCGGUUCACUCGUCCAAGGGGGAAUGUUAUAACACAUAUCAUAUAUGGACUCUUAUACCGGCCCAUUAGGCCCAUCAGGGCAUUGUACUUAACCUAGAUUCCCUAUGUACUCUAUAUAUACAUUCCAGUGAUUAAUAAAGUUUCGAAGUUUUCACAACAAAUUUUAGUAUAUUCAGAAUUAUUGGAAGACAACAAGUAGUUUUUAAUACAGCAAAAACUAUGAUUAUGUUAAAUGUAUUUUUCAUUUUAUGAAAUAAACAAACGGAUGCUUUUUUUUUUGUCAACAUACAAACCGAUUCUUAUAAACUGGCAUUUCCACAUAACUAUACAAAUAAAUAAAAAAAACUUAUAUAUUUAAUUUAUUUUUUUGUUAAAUGUUAAAUUUUAUACCAAUUUUUAGAUUUGCGACAGCGAUUACAGAAAAAAACUAAGAAAAUGGAAAGAUCAGAAACUACAUUUAUGUUGAAACCCGUUAAUGAUUCUAACGUCAGCAAUCAUUGAUGCAAGAAUAUUUUUCUUUGCAAAUCAUUGUGCUUUGUUUUCUUCGACAUAUCCGAAAUCCAUAUUCCAAAUUAGUUGAUCUAAAAAUAAUUUCCUGGGUAUGCAUUUGAUGAUCUGUCAUAUUAAAACCAUAGUUUUUUAGAACUAAUCAAAGGCAUAUUUACCUUCACUCGACUAACGGCUACUAGUGUUAGUAAAUAGUAGUGAGUAGUGACUGUGACUGUAAGCUUGAAGAGUUUUUUUUUUUUUGUCACAAACUUGAAGAGUUUUCUUAUCCAUAUUUUUAAGCUCACUGCUCAGAGUCAAAAUCACAGUAUUGACGAAAGUAACCCUGGAAAGAGAGCAUUAUUACAAGGAAGAAAAUACUCCUUUCCUCUUAACGGCUAGUUUUGUGAAGGAUCGAUCUUUUUCAUCUUGUCUGAGCUUAGACAGAUCCGACCAAAUUAGACACUACUCUCUCUCCUUUCUCUCUUUCUCUCUCAGUGAAUCUUUCUCAUUUCUGAUCAAUCUUAGUGUUAAUGGAACAAUUCGAGCACAUGAUAGUGGAGGAGUUUAACGAAGAGGAUUUCUACGAGACGAUAGAAGCACCCAAGUUUGUAGACCUUACCGCACCAGAUCAUCGCCCAGAAGGCGAUGAUCGUUACUGGUUUUGUUCCAGAGUUGGUCAGAAUCUCAUUCACUCUCUUUGACAUCAAUUUUGUUUUUUCUUUUUUUUUUCUUUUUGAAAUUUGAAUCAAUGUUCCAUAGAUCUGGGAAACAACACAUUAAUUUCUGAUGAUCCUGGGGUUAUUAUAGUAAUUUGAUCUGAAAAUUGCUAAAUUAGGGUUUCUUAGUGAAGAUUUCGCUUAAAUUAGCUUGUGUUUUUGAUCCCUUUUGGUUUCCUGGUGAAAAUGUGUAUGCAGGAUGUGAUCAGAAGCAUGAAGAAUUUAUGGAUUCGGAAGCAAUCUACCAAAAAUUCGUUCUUCGGGUUAGCUGAAAAAUUCAAACUUUUUUUGUUCUCUGUUCUUUCUUGAUUUGAUUUCGUUUAAAUAUAUUAGUCAAACUUAAGACUUUUGAUGUUGAUCAACGAUUACUAGGUCAUGGCAGCUAGGAGUCCAAGUGUUCGUCUUCGUAAAGCUCUUUACAGAAAGGAUUUCAGGUAAUGAAACUCAAACAAUGAGAAAAAAAAAAUGUGUUUUUAACUUAGAGAGAUCAAUCACUGUAAUGUGUGUUUAACAUUACAUUAUUCUACAUACUUUGGUUAUUCACAGUGUUGAUCCUAAAUGCCCCAACACGGUUCCUGCAAAGCCUUCGAGAUCACGCGUUUCUAGAUUGGCCAUGAUCUCAUCAAUCCCUCACAAGGCUAAUAAUGGUAAUAUGAGGCCAAAAGAAGUAAAAGCAAUUUCCACAAACAAGAAUGCAACUCCAAAGGCAAAAGUUAGAGGAAAGGAGCCAUCAUCAGUGAUCUCAUCAGUUCCUCGGAAGGCAUUGACUGAGCGCAAGAAGCAAAUGCAGAGUCCAGCAGCUUUUAGGAGUGUGCAGAAUCCAAGAGCUGCAAUAACUAAACUGUCGCAAAACAGAGUUGUUGCAAAGGCUUUGGUGUUUCAUUCUCCAAAGAAGUUGGUGAAACUGAAGAGAUCUGUGGAGCUUAGUUCCUCUGUGAAGAAGUUGUGUAAUGGGAUGAGGAAGCUUGAUAUUGAGAACAAAAGAAAUGGCUUGAGGGUUAAUGAUAAGGCAGGGAGUUCAGUCCCAUCUAAAAGACCACUAAAGACACGAGAAGUGAAGAGCCGAGUGUUUGAUUCUGUGCGGUCGCAGCAGAAACAGAUCGAUGAAAAGGCCAAAGGUUCUGGUACUUUGAAAAAGAGGGUCAAGGAAAAGGAAGAGCCUGUGAUUUGCUUUGAUCCUUCACAAUCUCACGAAGCUAAGGCUAAGGAACUUGAGAAUCAAUCUUUGUGCUGCGCAAGUAGUGAUAAAACUAGUGGAGAUGAAGAGUUCUUGGUCGAAAACAAAUCUGAAAAAACUUCAGACGCAUUGAAGACUAACAUGGGAGAUCAACUCCAGGCCAGAGAAGAUCCUGCUGUAGUAAAGGAGAGUGGACUGGAUACAUCGAAGCAAUGUCAAGUUGCAGAGAUUGAAGACAAGGAAAAUGCAGUACCUUUGGAGUGUGAGGAGAAAAAGAAUGCUACUAUUUCAACGGAUGUCGAAAGAGAAGACAUAUCUGUAACAAAGGAGAGUGGACAGGACAAAGCAAAGCAAUAUGAGACUACGGAGAAUGCAUUAGCAUCGGAGUGUGACGACAAAGAAAAUGCUACUGAUGCAGCGGAUGUUGAUGAAGAGAGCGAUGAUAAGGAAAAUUCUUCAGCCUUGGACAAUAACAGGUGAGCAAAAUGUUGUUUCAUUGCUUUACAUUGGAUUUUAUUUUCACACCACCUCACCAGAUACACUUGUUUUGUCUGAAUCUUGCAGGAAAGUCGACCAAUCCACCUACCCUUUGUUGAAAAAUAAAAUCUUUGGCAAGAAAGAAACUUGCAAAACGACUCAAAAGGUAGCUAGGCUUAUUCUGUAUACUUUUUCUGAUGAGAUCCUCUAUAUGUGCUCAUGUACUUUCUACUGAACCAGGCGAUGACAAUAGCCGAUAAGUGUUUCAAUGGCAAGACUGUGUCGGCUAAUACCCGUGUCAAGUAUACAAAACCUAAGCUCACGAAUCCAAAGCCUUUUCGACUAAGAACCGAUGUAUGAUGUGCAAUACAACCCACCAAAAAAAUUGUUCUCUAAUAUGCAUUUCUUUUCUUUCUUGUUUCUGAUGGAGGAAUACUUCAUGUUUUCAGGAAAGAAGAAUACUCAAGGAAGCAAACACGGAGAAGAAACAACAGUGUGCUCUUUCCAAAGAAGAAGAAACUACAACGAUUCUUGGGUUCCAUGGUGAAAACUUGGGUCCAAAACAUCAGCCAAAUAGAGUAAGUUCAAAGAAGAAAGUGGCAAGCAAAAGAACUGAAACCAUGGAGGAAGCCUCGCGGAUUAAGGGAAUCAUAAACAAACCUUCUGUUUGUGAUGUUGCUUCAGGGGAGAAAAGACCUGCAACUGUCCCAAAGGGACCAAACUUCCAUAGCAUUCAUGUCCCAAAGAGCUGUACAAAGAGAGUGGCAUCACAAUUCUAAGAUUGUUUUUCUUUUUCUUUUAGUUGCUUUAAUUCACACGAGAGCUUGUAAUUGUGGUUGAUCUUUGAAAAAGUAACAGAAUUGAGAUUGUUUUGGCGUGUAUAAACCACUUGCUCAAUUUUUUUUUUCAGAUUGAUCAAUACAGAAACAAGAUGAUGUUUCUUUGAUGCUCAUGACUAAAGCUUUAUGAUACUGGAUGAGUUCCCUCGCAUCUCGGUUUUUUAAUCUCUUGCCAUCGUUAGUAUAGUGACCUCAGAGAUAUUCUCAAUCCAAGAAGGAUCUUCUUGUGUGCUUGUAGUUAUUGAGGUCUGAGGAAAACUUGAGAGUUGACGUCUGUUUAAAGAACUUCGAGUCUUGCGCAUCCUAUCACGAGCAACUCCAUCAGUGAAGAUGGAAGCAUCACCAAACUUUUGCAAUUAGUGACAACCAAAUACUCGAGAUUCCUUUUUUCAGAUCCUGACAAAUGCAACUGAGAGUGAACAUAAGAAGCAAAAAAUGAUUGUUGUUUGCAGUUGAAGCAUGAUGUAAAUUUGAACACGUACAGAGGUUUACUGAGAGACAUCUUAACCAAACUUUUUUCUUUUCCGAACUUACUCAUCAAUUGAAUAACAUGAUCAUGUCAUUAAAUCUAAUGAAUCACCCUUCAUCUUCACCAUCUGGCUUUGACCAAAUUAUUAACCAAGCUACUUAGGAUCCGGAUUUGAAAAUUGUUUAAAUAAACCAAACCAAUUUCUCAAAUUUAACCAAACCGAACUGAAUCUAAGACUUGACAAAAAGAUAGUAUUAGCUCGUACGAUUACACCAAACGAACCUUAAUCAAUCGGUUCAGUGUUUGAAUUAAACCGGUUUAACUUAACCAGAUUCUUUUGAUCACGCUUAAACCGAAGUAAGCUAAGAUCAAACCCAAACUCGACUUGAUCAAAGCUCUAAUGAUCAUAUCAACUUAACUAAAGACAUGAUUAAACUUCUCUUGAUAACAUGCAAAUGAUUUUUGACUUUGUAAUUAAACUCAAGCUCUUUUAAUCCUUUAAACUUAAGACUACCCUCAUAACAACCUCAAGAGUACACAGUUUGAUUAGAAUAUCAGACUUUGAUCAAGGAACAAGGGCAUGACUGUUUAAAUUUUCGGAAUCAAUAGAAAAAUAGGCAGUUCUCAAUUAAUACCACUAAAAGUUUUCGUUCCUAGCAUAUUAUUACUAGUUUUUGUUUUUUCCAAAACAACCACAAACAUUGAUUUUUCCACAAAUAUCACAAAACUAAAACUAAACUUUUAACCUAAAAACUUAAUUAUAAACCCUCAAAAUUAAACCCGAAUACAAGAUACUAAAUCUAAUGUCAAAUAUUUAAAUAAUAAACUCUUACUCAUUUAUUUAGUGGUUGUGGUGUUUGUGAAAAGAAACCAUUAAUUGGUAGUUUUAGAAAACAAAACUAGUGAUGGUAUGUUUGGAGCAAAAACUUAUAUUUCAAGGUAUUAGUCUAGAAAAACAUAAUGAAGAAUGUUUUGGAUAUCAUUCACAGAGACGAUAACAAAGUAUAUAUAACCCAACAAAGUAUAUCUACUUUCUUAACUAAGAAAAUCAUAUGAGAGAUAUACAGUGCUGAUAACCAAAAUGAUUGACGACUCGAACCUAAUUACAACAAGCCUUUGAAAAUUUUCAUAUCAAGAUGAACAUCCAGAACAUGUAUACUCCAUGUUGAAGGAGGGUAUUAGAAAAUCAUAUAUACAAUCAAAUACCGUAUAUUUUGGGAUCAUAUAAUGGAUUUAAUAAGCACGGAGUUCCUCUUUUCUAAUAUAAACCUCCUGAAUUCGACACUCACUAAACUGGAUCUAAAGGGAUAGCCUUGCAAACAAACAAAUUGUUUCAGGAUUUGUGGAUUUAAUGAGAUUCCAAGGGUUGUAGAAGACCCUUGAUGAAUUGGUUUUCAAAUCAACUAAGGAUAUGACACAUCAAAGAUGAAUCGAAAGGCCUUGAAGGAUAUAACACACCAACAAGAAGAGUUUGAUCUUACUUAGAAAAGAUUUAAUUUUGAUAAAAAGAUAAGAUAGAUUCUAAAGAGAGUUUACAAGAGAAUAUAAAGAGAAAAACAGACAAGUCUACAAAGCAUUAAAGUGUCUACGAACUAGUUCUUUGAAAGCUGGCCAAGUUUGAAUUCAAACACUCUUCACACGCUCCUCUUCUUAUUCACUUGGGCUCGGCUGAAUAGGUUUAGAUGUGGGUGAUCUAAGCUAUGCCUCAUUAAAAAACCUAUCUCAAAAAAAACCCAUUGGGACAAAACUUGAGAUAGGGAAAAAGAGUACAUAGCUGGAUCUCAAGUCCAUUAGCCUUUUCGGACUUGGAUCACAACUAGUGUGGUACAAUAGUAUAGUUGUACCAAUCUCUUUUCCCUUUUGUUCCAUAAGCACUCUUUUGCUUAAGUAUAUCUCCAACAGUUUCCUUGAGCCUCUUGGUCUUUGCUCGGGUCAUAAGACCAUUUGAAAUGAGCAAACGGUCUUCUUGUUCCAUUCCUUGCUUUUUGUCUUUGCUCCUUAGCUCCUUAACUUAUUGUGGCUCUUCUUCAGGUUCAAGCUCCUUGCUGAUGCUAUCCAAGAUCAUAUCAUUUUCCAUCGGCGUUCUUCUUAUUUUCACCAUCGUUGUCGUUUGAUUCAUGUUUACCGGAAUUGUUGGAGACAUCAAGGAAUAUGUUACUAAUGCAGCGGGAUAGUGCCAUUGUCAAUAAGGACAUGAUUGUUCUUAGAUGUUCUUAGAGUAAUAUAUACUAGCACCCAAGCUGUUUAAACUAAAGUAAUACGGCAAAAACAUACACCAAUAGUAUAUCAUCAUAUAGAUCAAAACAUGCUUAUUACUCAUUGUCCCAACCUUUUCAUGAACAUGGGGAUGCGGAUGAGCCAUUAAAGCUAGAGCUUGAAUGGCACCAGUAUAAGUUGGUGCAAGCUGUCGUAAUAAUCUUACAACAGGUAACAGACAAGCCAGAAGAUCCAAUACGGCGGUAUUGAGUUCCCUAAGAGUGUAGUAGGAGAUAUUCAUUUCGUGUAAAUCAUUUUGCUUCAAGAAAUAGGAAUUACCAGUUAUAGAUAUAAUUAAAUGGUACAUCAAAGGGUUACUUACAAAAUUGAAGUUGUCACGCAUCUCCGGGAUUCUAUGCGUAGUAAGAACUAAUGUCACUCUAAUUCAGCCAAUCACUAGCUCGAUAAAUUUAUGGUUUAAGAGGAAUGAGGGUUCCUAUUGUUUUAUAUAAUCAUGUUUUGAAUGUUAUGGCCCAAAAGAACCGACCUUUUUGCCAAGGUUUCGUAUUAGAAUCACUUAACUGAACAAGUUGUCCAUUUGGCAUUUUCGAUUAUUUUCCCCGGUUUUGUAGUUGUUUGCAAUGCUGAUUUAAGUGUCAAUUGGAUUGGUAUUACUUCUAAUUAACUUAUUAGUUCCUGUAAACAAAAAAUCUGACACUAAUCUUCCAGCAUGUCAAAACUUAUGCACAUGUUACUUAAAAAAACAAUGAAUAAAUUACAUGUAUGAUUUUUAUAUAAAAAAAACAACUUGUGUAACUCAAUGGGAUGAGGUGAAAGCCCUUUUAAUCCACUGAUUGAUUAAAAGGUUUAUUAAUAAUAUUAUACCAAGAGAUUUGGAUUUCUCCCAAAUAAUGUAAUUUCUGCAGAUUAAUGAAAGCAAAUUUAUAAAGAAAUCUUAUGCACGUAGAUUUGUUCAUCAUGAUCGUGGAUCCUUGUGGAAUGAAUAACAUUAUCCAUUAUAGAAUUGUUUUUUAGUAGUUCUCUCUAAAAAAUUUCUGUGUUAAGAAAAUUAAUAGGUUGAUGAAUGAGCAACAUAGAGGUCAGAUGCAUUUAUUAUAUAUAAUGUUGUAUGGAUAAUAUUAAAAUUGCUUACGUAGAUGUAAAAUUAAUGAUAUAUAUGAUUUUAGGUGACAUCAGCAUCUGAAUGGAGGAUAUCUGUCUUUUCAUCUAAUUAAUAAAUUAUAAAUUUUAAAAUAAAAAAAAUUAAAAACUAAUUAAUACCACUACUUCUAACUUAACUAUUAUAUUUAAUGUUUAUUUCAUAUGUAUUUAUGUUCAUAACUAUUAAGUUACAUUAAUAUUAAGGCUUUUCAAAUUCUUAAUAAAAAUAAAUAAAUAACAUUUCUAACUUUUUACAGUUCUAACUUUUUGGUAUUUGUCUAAAAUUUUUAAAUAUUUUUUUAUAUUAAUUUGAUACUUUUCUUCCAUCUUAUCCUCAUUAUAAACACUUUUUUUGAAGCUUGUUGUAUGAAAAAAUAUGAAGAUGUAGCGUUAUCUUCAUUCAAAGAUUUGGCGAUUUUUAUGGGUCAAAUAUAAUAUUAUUAUAGCUGCAUUUUAUUGUGAAAUAUAAAAUAUGAGGUGGUUCUUGCAGAAUCAAGACAAUUGUACAUGUCAUAAAUUUGAGAACAUUAAAAAUCAGAAGUAAUUAUAUAUUUUCAAGCAAUUCAACCAAAAAAUAUGACUUUUAUCUACGUCUUUUUUACUCAUAUAAUGUUUAUGAUUUCUAGAAUAGUAGAAUAAUUUUCUUAAUUACCAUACUUCCAAUCUUUAAAAAAAAGUUAUUUGUUUUACAAAGAAUUUAUUUUUAAAAAACUUAAUACUAAACAGUCAAACAAAUUACCAUAUUCUUAUAAUUAACUAUAUAUAUAUAUAUAUCAACACAUAUAUAUUUUUAAAAAUAUUAUGUGAAACAAAACCUGCGCGUAUGCGCGGAUACAAGUCUAAUAUCUUAAAUACACACCAUUAUGGACUUCUUUGUGUGUGUAAUUUAGUAGUUUACCUUGGACUUCUUUGUGUGUGUAAUAUCUUAAAUACAUACCAUUAGUUUAUAUUACUAUGUAUAUUAGGAAAUCAAUAUCUCCUCUUUUUUCACUGUAAAUGUUGAUUCUCCUAUAUAACAUUUUGUGAUCAUAGACAUAGGAAUCUAGAAAAAAAAUUGUAAAAACAUCAAAAUGAUUUUUUAAUGUCUUUUAUGAAGAAAAUCCAACAGAUUUGUCUUUUUUUUGGGUUAAAGAUCCAAUGACACAAAACUUACUCUUGAACAAAAUUUGUAUAUUACCGUAUUAAACAAUGUAUCAUGUUGUAAUGUUUUCCCAUUGUUAUUACCGAUUACGUAUAAGAUUUGUCAAUGGAAGAUAGAAAGAUUCAGACAUCCCUUUUUGCAACCAAUGACUUUUCUUUUUGUUAUGACAUGAAUUAAUACAAAUAAAUUGCGGUUUGGAAAAUGGUAGGGGCAGUUGAAAAAGACAGUCAUGUGAAUGUCACUUUCUUUUUAGCUGUCCUCUUGGGUCGGGCUUAUCCUAUUCCCUACCAUAUUCACUACCCUCUUUCAUUUUCUUACAUUCUCAAAUUCAACAAUUUUGAAUUUUCUCACUUUUCAUAAAAAUUUAAAUUCUAUUCAUGUAUUCUUUCUAUAAAACAAAAAGAUAAAUAGGAGUAUAAUUUACAUAGAAAUGAAAAUUAAUUAUUCUAUAGAAAAUUCCAAGAUCAGGACCCUCUUGUCCCCUACAAAUAUGCGAUUCUUAUUACCAAUUACACCGCUUGCAAUUUUAGCUUUUUCCUAUACUAACUGACAUACAUCGUUAUCAUCGACUAACAAGGAGAGAUAUACCGUUAAUAUUGUGUUACUGUUAUCGGGACAAUAUUUAUGUCAUAUGACUAUGAAAUUAAGAAAGUAAUUAUGGUCUGUGACAAUUUGGAUGGAUAAUAUGAAUAUACGGUAUACCAUAUACAAAGUCACAUCUUCCACUAUAGUCAACGGUAAAUUUAUUAAGCAAACAGUGCAAACAAAUGUCUGAAUCGUACAUAUCAAACACAAACUCAUAUAUGAUAAAAUGAUGACACUAAUAAUUCGAAGAAAGAAAAAAAAUGAAAGUAAAUACACGAAAACGAUGCGAACCAAUUCAAGAAUAAUCUCAAACGAUGAGCAAAUGUGCUGCAGCAACUCCAACAACGAACGAAAGUGCUACGACGUUGUUUCUUACAUUGAAAGCUCCAGAAUCCUGCGAGGCCAUCCCUGGUGGCAUAGGUCCCGGAGAAGGAGCAGAUUCCAUUGCGGAUGGCGGCAUCGGCGGAGAAGCCAUAUCGGGAACUGAUAAUGGGCUUGGGCUUGGGCCCAUAGGAGUAGUUGGUUGGGCCAUUGGGCUUGAAGAUGGAGUCAUUGGCAUCAUAGGUGGUGGAGUCAUGGGCAUUGGUGGUGGAGCCAUGGGCAUAGGUGGUGGAGUCAUAGGCAUAGGUGGUGGAGCCAUAGGCAUAGGUGGUGGAGUCAUCAUUGGCAUCGGAGAGCUGCGGCCGCUAGACAUCGGCGGCAUCGACAUUGAGCCAGAAGGAGCCAUCAUGGGAGAUUGAGCUAAAGAGAAAUGAAUUAAAACCAUAGGCAAUGUGACCAAAAGGAGGGCUUGUGAAGAGGCCAUGGUUAUGUGUGUUGAAUAGUGGGUGUUAUGUAAAGUGAUAUAUAGAGAGAGGUAUGUGAGUUGUAAAAGAAUGGGAGAGAAAAGUGAAGGUUCUUUGUGCUAUUGGGGAUAUAUAUUAGAGAUUAUUUGUUUUUAUUUUUGGACCGUUGGAUAUAGUGUGUGACACGUAUCAGUCGAUAGAUAGGUAUGAGAUGCUGAUUUAUUUUCCUCCACAUGUUGAAAAAAAAAAAGAGAUAGAAGAAAAUUCCAAAGUGAAAUUUCUUUGUAGGUACAGAUAGAAUAAUCAAUACACAUGAAAAUGGGACUAUUAUGAUUAUAAUGCAUUUUAUUUUCAUUCUUUAGUGGAACCAUCAAUCGGAUUCACGGGUUGGUUUUUAAGGGGGCCAUAUAUCAAAAUUAUUAGGAAUGUCAUUUAAUGGUGUUUGUUAGUCAUUAAUAUGCUAAAACGAUGAAAUUUUGAAAUGUUAGUAGACUUUUAUAACCAAGUCAAGAUAUAAUUUCAUCAGAAAAAAACAAUUUAUAUGGAAAAGGAUAAAAGACCAUAAUGCUAUGGUACAAGAGAAAAGACAAAUAGGGACCAUUUGUGUUGCAUUUGGUCACACAGGCCUAAUAAGCUCCACGGCCAAUAUUAUGUCCGCACCCACUAACCGACAUUUUUGGUUACCCCAUACUCUUUUCUUUUUUCCUCUCACGAGUACUCUUUGUCCCUCAUUUACUAUUUAUCCAUCUUUUAAAUUAUACUUUUUAAAACAAACAUGUAACAUGUUCUAUACAUAUAUAUAUAUACUUUGAUUUCGUUGUUUUAUUGUACAUUUCUUCAGCUCGUUUGAAUUUAACCGUUAUGAUCGUCCCUUGAUCAAAUGUAUUCUCUCAACUCAUUAGUUCAGGAUCCAGGAAAAUUAGAUGAAAUAGACAAAUAGUACAUGCAUCACUUGAAGUAACUAUAAUUACUAUACCGUUAAAGUAGUUGUAUAGAGAUUUCAAUAUUAUAACGUUAGGGCUCUAAAUAUAUGGGCUCAUUAUAAAUGGGCAUGUAGUCGCAUGAGGCCGAAUCCCAGCUGGCAGAGAAAUGAGCGGGAAAUUUUAUGUACAAAAUGCUCGAAACAAUGUCACACGUAGCGCACGUGCCAUUCUCCCGCCCGUUUCUCCAUUUUCCCCAAAUCUCAAAUUCUCAAUCCCUAGUUUCUCUCUCUCCCCAGAUUCACAGCAUUUGCAUUUUGCAAUGUCUGAAGACUCGGAACCGCGUCAACUCGGGAGAUCGACCGCCGGCGGAGAGCUAAUAGGUCUUGGUCUCACUGAGUCAGACGGCGAGGAGCAUUUCUAUCACCAGAAAGCUUUGGAGUUAUGUCGUCACCUACUCUUCGUUGGCCACUCAGAACUAGUUACAGAUCUUUCUUCACAAUGUACACACUUCCAAGCUUCGCCUGAGCUCGUCAAAGUUCUUUGCUCGAUUCCUAAUUCCCCUGUCUCCCUUACCGGAGACGGCUUAUCCGUGACUCUCUCGCGCGAGUUGCUCUCCGAUCCGGCCUGUUUCGCCUGUAGUUUGGGUGUGCCGGAAAAUGUUUUGUUUGAACAGAUUACGCGUUUCUCGGAUCCGAGAGCUCCCAAGCCUAAGCGAAAUGGUCUCGGGCAUAUGGGAGGUACUAACUUAGCACUUGUUUCAUUUUAGUCGUUAUCUGGCAUCUGAUUUUGUUGUUUAGUAGUCACACUUACAUAGAGAUUCUCUUCUUGAUUAUGGAUUAUUAUGAAAAAUUUCAGAAAAUGAGGAGCAAGAAGAGCUGCAGCUCAUGCCAUUGCCCAAAAGAAGCCGAAAGGAGGAACCAGAUGUAAGUAAUCUCUUUUAACAAAAAGAUGAAUUUCUCAAGGUAUAAUUCAAUUUCAAAAAUGGGGAGUUGAUUCAUUGAUUUUUUUUUUUCUAGGUGAAUGACUACUCUGUAAUGGAUAGCAGAGCUAACGACAUGACAAAUAUUGCCAAUGGGUCCAUGCUUGAGACACUGAAAGCUUUUGAAUCCCAAGCUUCGCUUUUAGUUUUAGGUAGAGAUGGUCGAGAAAUAGGAGCAUUUGACCAAAGUCCUUGGUCUGGUCCACGGACUAGAAUUUUUGGAUGCGAGAUUUUCUCCAAUGCUUGUGUGGAUGUCGAUCCUAUGCACUGCUUGGGGGAACGCAAGCAAGAUUCGCCAUCUCCUCGAGAGGUUGGAUACUGUAAGCAAAUUGAGAUUGAAGAUUUUCAAAUUGUUGAUAACCUAAGAUUAUUCGAAGACGAUGAGGAUAAAAACGAGAAGGAUUUGUUCCAUAAGGGGGAGAUACGAACUCCCGAUGUGCAGUCCGAUCCUGCUGCCCCUUCGAUGCCAUCAGAAAAUGAGUUAAAAUCUGUAUAUAUUGUAGAGGACACUGAAGAUAUGCUUGCCUUGAGUUGUAACCCAUUAAAGCAAGAGGACAACGCUGUAGACAUCUUCAGCACCCCUGUCAAAGAGCUGCCUUUGAUGCCUUCUGCAACAAUAGCUAAUCAAGAUAGAUCCUUGGUACAGAAAACACAGGAUCUGUGCAAAUUAUCGGGAAACAGCAAAGGUUACAGCUGUUCCCCUGAGAAAAAACACACCAGGAAAUGUAAAGCUAUCCAGAGGUCAAAGCAGAAUCUUAACUCCGUUCGACCUAAAGAUCAGAAGGUAGACAUUUCUUUUUUAUCUAGAGUGAGCCCCUUGCAAUUCCGUUUUUUUAUUUAUUUAAACAGCUUUCCAUGUUGCUGAAAGUACUUUUAUACCAACAUUGAGGAUUAAUCCACUAUAUUAAGAUUUCUCAUAUCUGUUGUUUAGGAUGAGUCAAAACAGAACACUUUUCCAGUUUUUGAUUCUUACACUAUUGUAGAGGAAGAAGGCUCAGGUACAUUUUCCUUACAAUUUCAUCUAUAUUCCUGAUUUUGUUGAAACAGCUUAAUUGGUUAUCGGCUAAUGAUUGGUGAAAUCCAACUGUAGGUGGCUACGGGAUUGUUUAUAAGGCAAAGAGGAAAACCGAUGGAAAAGAGUUUGCCAUUAAAUGUAUGAAACAGAAUGAUAUGUUGCUAGAUUUUUUCACUUCGUCACAUCGUUUUUGGUUGGCAAUUUGGUCUCAUGUGUUUUCCAUACAGGUCCCCAUGCUGGUGCUCAGAAAUACUAUGUUAAUAAUGAACUCCGAAUGCUGGAGCGUUUUGGGUAAGUAACAAAGUUUGAUCCGCUAAUGAACCUCCUACAUAUUUAAACCCAAAUAUCUGAAAUUGCCUAAAUGUUGGUUCACUUAGGGGGAAAAACUUUAUAAUAAAGUUUGAAGGCUGUCUUAAGAACGGAGAUUCCGAUUGCAUGAUCCUUGAGCACCUUGAACAUGACAGACCUGAUUGUUUGAGGAGAGAAAUAGACGUGUAUCAGCUACAGUUGUACGGAUACUGCAUGUUCAAAGCUCUGUCAAGUCUUCAUAAGCAGGUAAAGCAGAUGUUGGACUAAAACUUUUGAGCAUUCAUAUUUCAAUCACGCAACUAACCAGUUAUAUUGUUUUCUUUUGCAAAUGUGAAGGGUGUUGUUCAUAGGGAUGUUAAGCCAGGCAACUUUCUUUUCUCUAGGAAGAGUAGCAAAGGCUGUCUCAUUGACUUUAACCUCGCCAUGGUUAGCAUUUUUCUGGCACCCUUCUCUUAUUAAUACUUUUCUAGCAACAUUUAUUGGUUAGUGUUUUGUAUAAUAGAAUUUGAGGUUACGAAACCUGUUUAGUGCUCUUAUAUAAUAUUUAGGUCAGUGUCUACUAGAGGCACUGAAAAGCUUGAGCUGAGCUAUCACAAACGUUUGUGUUCAUAGUUUGUGUUAUGUUCCCACCCACUGAUAUUAAUUUCACUUUCCUCUGUGGCUUAAUUUAGGAUUUGCACCAGAAGCACAGGAGAGCCGGUAAACUUCUCCCCUCAUGCAUUUGGGUUGAAUUAAGUAAAACAAAUGGAAACUAAAGCUAUCCCUUAUAUGUAUAUCAGAUAAAUCAAAAGCAGCUACAGAUCUCCCAACCGCCAGCAAGAAGCAUCAUACUUUGAUUAAAUCUCCUGACACGACCAACCGAGUGACCAACAAAUCUUCUCAGAAAACUUUAGCGCCAAAUAGUCUGAAGAAAGCAGCGGGAAAGAUAAGAGCUCAGACUGACAUGAGUAGAUGGGAGAGGUUCAAUAGCCAAGGCGCGGAAGGGUCUGGCUUAACUUCGGCCAAAGAUGUGACCAGCACAAGGAACCACCCUUCAGGUGAAAAGAGGAGAGAGCCUUUGCCAUGUCAUGGAAGGAAAGAGCUUCUAAACUUUCUGCAAGAGACAAUGUCUGGUUCAAUUCCAAACCACGAAGUAUCAUCCAAAGCUCCUACAUCUAUGAGAAAACGUGUUGCUGCUCAUCCAGGGAAAGCUGAGAAACAGCUUCUUCAUCUGACCCCAAUGCCGCUGCGCUCUAAUGGUCGGCGUGAAGCAGGUGGAUUCCUGGUGUAUAAUUUGACUCUUGUUUUUUGUUUCAGAGUUUAACUUUAACCCUAAGAAAAAAAUCUGACUUACUAGGGGAUGUAAGUAAGAAGAAAGAUGGUCCUUGCUCAGGAACGAAAGGCUACCGAGCACCAGAGGUACGUCAACUGUAACUAUCGCUCACUUUGCUUAUAUGGUAGAGAGAGAGAAUGUUAGUGGGUUUAGGCUUCCGAGUUACUAGUAAAUCCAUUUAUAUAUCAUACAAAUCUUAUGCUUUGAGCUACUUAUUAGAACAUUUUAUGAUGGGAAAGCUAAUUCUCUGGGGCGGUUCUUGGCUGAAUUGGCUUGUGCAGGUUUGCUUAAGAUCUUUGCACCAAGGACCUAAGAUCGACGUGUGGUCUGCAGGAGUUACUCUAUUAUAUCUAAUGAUGGGAAAAACACCUUUUACUGGUGACCCUGAACAGUUAAGAUUUGUAAUUGACUUACUUUGCCAUCACUUCAUUGCAUUCUGUUUUCUUUCUUUCCUUCUUACAACGGCCUCUUGAUUCUCAGGAACAUAAAGGACAUUGCGCAGCUACGAGGCAGUGAAGAAUUAUGGGAAGUAGCCAAGCUGCAUAACCGUGAAUCUUCUUUCCCUGAGGUAAUAAUCGCACCUUAUCACCCUUGUAGACUCUUCUUUGCAUCGAUUGCUGCAUUUGUGUGGCAUAAUAUGGCUAUGUACACAUGGUCGGUUCUUAAAUCUAGAGAAAGAGAAGGUUGAUCUGGCUAAUAUCGCAUGCUCUGUUCUCCUUUACCGCCAGCAUUUGGAUUUAAAUAUCAAAUACUGUAAGAGGGUUUUCAGUUAUAGCGCUUUGGGUCCUAUUGCGGAAAACGGGGUAUAUAUUAUUAUAUACAUUACAUGAUCUGAUACGUUGUAUGGAUAGAUGAUAAAAAAGAGAUGAAUUCACGUAGCAAUUUUGUUUUUGCUCCAGGAAUUAUACGAGUCAAGGUACUUGAAGAGGAUGGAGCUGAGAAAAUGGUGCGAAAUCAACACAAAACGCAGAGACUUCCUAGACGUGAUUCCACGGUCGCUGCUUGACCUUGUUGAUAAGUGUUUGACUGUUAACCCAAGGCUACGAAUCGGCGCAGAGGAUGCUCUCAAGCACGACUUCUUUUAUACAAUCCAUGAAAAUGAAACCCUUAGAAAACAAAGGCUCCUAAAGCAGCAGCAAACGGGAACGCAGCCUCCAGUGGUGGCUAAUUCAGUAGGCCAACCGCUAAGCUAGAAAUCACAAAUGUAAAUUAAGUAAUAACAAAAUAUUAUAUGAAAGCUUCACUCCACAGGCCACACCACAAAUCCCAUAGUAGUAUAUGUCUAUAUGACUAGGGAACAUAUCAUAUUUGUUAUUAGAAGCAAGUCUAACUUCACUUGGGCCUUAAAUAAAUUUCGUGUUGGGAAUUGAUAUCAUUCAGUAAAAGUCCAAAAGUCUCUCGUCUGCGAAAUGGAAGAGAGUAAUGUCAAGUUUGUUUCUCACAGACUCACCCUAUGAAUUGCCGUGCAGCGUACGGAUCUUCUUAUUUUCUCUCAAUCUCUUCCUGUGACAGGAUUCUUCAUCACUAAUCUGCAACGAAUACUGGUUCACUUCCAUGGCGUCUUCUUCUUCUCGUUCCUGGAGAUACGAUGUUUUCCCGAGUUUCAGCGGUGAAGUUGUCCGCAAAUCAUUCCUCAGCCAUCUUCUGAAGGAGCUUGACCGCAAAUCAAUCAAUGCAUUUAUAGAUGAUGGGAUCGAGAGAAGCCGCCCGAUCGGCCCUGAGCUUUUAUCGGCGAUUAGAGAAUCGAGGAUCUCAAUCGUCGUCUUCUCAAAGAGUUAUGCUUCUUCCACGUGGUACCUGAAUGAAUUGGUGGAUGGAGAUCCACAAGUGCUAUAUGGAGUUUGACCAAAUGGUGAUUCCACAGCGUUGACCCUUCGGAAGUUCGAAAACAUACCGGAGAAUUUGGAAAGGUGUUUAAAGAGACAUGCGACGGCAAAACGGAGGAUCAGAAGCAAAGGUGGAUGCAAGCUCUCGUAGAUGUAGCAAAUAUGGCCGGAGAGGAUCUUCGGAACUGGUAUAAACUAUAAACCUUGUGUUAUCAUUCCAUAGUUCGUGUCGUGCAUUGACUUCGAUUGUGCUUUUAGGGCAGCUCUUUAAUGUCACAAUUUGUUAUUAGGUGUAACGAAGCCAGCAUGAUUGAAAAGAUAGCCGAUGAUGUUUCGAAUAAACUUAUCACAACAUCGGAUUGUUAUGGCGAUUUGGUGGGGAUUGAAGCUCAUUUAGAAGCAAUGAGCUCAAUAUUGUGCUUGGAAUCCGAGGAAGCUAGAAUGGUAGGGAUUUUGGGGCCUUCUGGGAUUGGUAAGAGUACCAUAGGAAGAGCUCUUUUCAGUCAACUCGCUAGCCAAUUCCAACUUUUGUAACUUAUAAAAGAACCAACCAGGAUGACUACGGCAUGAAGUUGUGUUGGGAAGAAAAUUUUUUAUCAGAGAUUCUUGGUCAAAAGGACUUGCAGAUAUACCAAUUAGGUGCGGUGGAGCAACGGUUAAAACUCAAGAAAGUUCUCAUUGUUCUUGACGAUGUUGAUGAUAUAGAGCUCCUAAAAACCUUGGUUGGGCAAACGGAAUGGUUUGGAUCCGGGAGCAGAAUUAUUGUGAUCACUCAAGAUAGGCAACUUCUUAAGGCUCAUGAGAUUGACCUUAUAUAUGAGGUGAAGUUCCCAUCUCAAGAUUCUGCUCUCAAGAUGUUAUGCCAAUCUGCAUUUCGGCAAAACUCUCCACCUAAUGGUUUAAUGGAAUUGACAGUUGAAGCUGCCAAGCUUGCCGGUAACCUUCCUUUGUGUCUCAGUGUCUUGGGUUCGUCUUUAAGAAGAAAGGACAAAAAAGAGUGGGAGGAGAUGCUGCCUAGACUCCAAAAUGGUUUGGACGGGAAGAUUGAGAAAAUAUUAAGAGUCGGCUACGAUAGAUUAGAUGGCAAAGACCAAGAGUUAUUUCUCUUCAUUGCAUUUGCAGGUUUAUUCAAUGGUUUGCAAGUCAGUUACAUCAGAUUAAAUGAUGUCAUUGAUGUGACAAUCAGUGUCAGUGACAUCAAAUGCUUGCUCGGAGAUGGUGUUACCACUGGGCUUACAGUGUUGACUGAUAAGUCCCUCAUACGUAUAACACCGCACGAAACUAUAGAGAUGCACAAUUCGCUACAGAAGUUGGCUAGAGAAAUUGGUCGUGCAGAGUCUAUAAACAAUCCUGGAAAACGACGAUAUCUGGUGGAUGUUGAGGACAUUUGCGAUGUUUUUACGGAUAAAACCGUAAGUUUUCUCGCAUAUGCUUUUAAUGCUCGGCUUUAUAAAAUUUAAGCGUUAUUUGGUGAUUGAUAGAUAAACUUUUACGAUUGUUCCCACCUGCUUUAUUUGAGCGCGGGGCUCAGAUGUCAUAAGGAGAAAAAAAAAAUCUCGCCUGCCAUAAAUCAUUGUGUAUUGACGUUUUUAGCCUUAAUGAACUGAUUAUAAAAUUAAAUAAAAUCGUUUAUUUUUAAAAAUAAAAAUAAAAGCUGCAAAUAAGCUUCUUCUUCCCCGAGUUAGGUUUCCGUACACAUCCGCCGCCGCCGCAGAGAGCUUGAUUCGAACCACCGUCGUUUGCUGGUGCCGGCUCAUUUUUUUUGUUUAACUACUCUUUCUUAUCCUGCCAUUUGUGUGAGAAGACUUCGAAAAGGUAUGGUGGUGUGUAUUUUGGAGAUUUAUAAAUUAGAGUUUUUUUUUGUUUGUUUGGUGGUCGUUUAACUAUGUACAUUGCCUAAGUUUGUUGUUUAUUGGUUAAGUUCUCUUCGAAUCGAUGUUAAUUUGUCGAUUUUUAGUGUUGAAUCUGUUUGGUAGAUGUGAAACGAGGAUGUGAAACCAAAGAUUUUAGCCAAGAAAGUUUGGGAAUUUAGAUAACUGGUACAAAAGGUAUAAGUAAAAGAUACGGGACAAGUAGUACAAAUGGUAGAACUGAUAAUUAUGGGACAACUAGUACAAGUCUCUGUUAAGACUGAUAAUGUGGGACAACUAGUACAAAUGUUAUAGUGAGAAAUUCGGGACAACUAGUAUAAAAGGUAUAACUGUGAAACGUAAUUGGUAAUAUUAUUUUUUAUUUGCUGCGUAUACCAGGAUAUAAUGAGCAUUGGCCACACCAACAUAAAUUUUGAGUAUGGAGGAUAUUAUUCACGGAACAAACGACCAACAGGUGUAACCCAGGAGUUUAGUUCAGGAACAAACGACCAACAGGUGUAACCCACGAAGAACUGGACAACUGUGUUUUUUUCAUCUAAUCAUGUUUUAGGACAUCUAGACAGCUAUGUACGUAUGUUGUCAUUUUCAUUUUUUUCAUAUGUUUAGAUAUCGGGAAAACUGGACAACUAUUACAACUAUGUUGUAUUUGUGAAGUACAAUUGACGUUUCAUAUGUUUGAAAUUGGGACAACUGGACAACUAGUACAAUUAUGUUGUAUUUGUGAGGUACAAUUGACGAAUCAUAUGUUUGAAAUUGGGACAACUGGACAACUAGUACAACUAUGUUGUAUUUGUGAGGUACAAUUGACGAAUCAUAUGUUUGAAAUUGGGACAACUGGACAACUAGUACAACUAUGUUGUAAUCAUAUGUUUGAAAUUGGGACAACUAGACAACUAGUACAACUAUGUUGUAUUUGUGAUGUACAAUUGACGAAUCAUAUGUUUGAAAUUGGGAUAACUGGACAACUAGUACAACUAUGUUGUAUUUGUGAUGUACAAUUGACGAAUCAUAUGUUUGAAAUUGGGACAACUAGUACAACUAUGUUGUAUUUUUGAUGUACAAGUGACGAAUCAUUUGUUGGAAAUUGGGACAACUGGACAACUAGUACAACUAUGUUGGAUUUGUGAUGUACAAUUGACGUUUCAUAUGUAUGAAAUUGGGGUUUAGUACAAACCCUAGACAACUAUGAAAGACAUCUAAAAUGAGGUUUUAAAGAAGCUUCAGAAAAUGGGAUAACAAAUUAUAAGUUUAGAGUCAUAAUAUUGGUUUGACACUAAACACUCCUUAUAAAACAAGAGAGUCUUCACUAAUACUCAUCACAUGAUGAUGGAUAAAUGCAAAUGUUUGGAUUUAAUCAAAACGGAUUAAUCAGGACUUUUUAAUUGUGGUAUGAAACUUCAAACAAAUAUGAACAACUACAAUAUGUGGUAUAUGGUCAUGGGUCAACUGGAAAUAUUUGAAAAAGCUUAAAGUACAACUCUUACAAAUAUUGGACAACAAUACAAGUACGUACAACUAUAUGAUAACCCUUAUCAUAUUAUAUUUGCACGUGAAGCACAUGUGUUUACUAUGGCGGCAAAAUAAUUAAAUAGUUUUUAAAAUCUCUUUUCUUUAAAUUGUUCUUCCUCAUAUUCUACUGAGAACUUCCUCCUUUUUUAGGGUUUCAGCCGCAGAGCAAUUUCACAAGAUUAAGAUAAUGUCGAAGAAGAAAUCUUCCUAAAAAAGACUGCCUUUCCGCCGAAGGAUUACGGCAUGACCACCAGGUGGGGGCCCGAAGUUAAUGGAGUCCGCACCAUUCUUCCAUGUCCCAUACAGAUGGGAAUUCCCAAGGUUUGCCACCACGGAAUUGCUCCAAUUGGCUGUUUAACCAACCAUUCAGCGUUAGAUAGGGGACGUAGGUACUUUGGUUGUUUUUAUGGUUGCCAUAGUUGAAGAGAUUAAAAUGGUAAAAGAAACUCAAGAGGAGAUGAAGUCUUUGUUUGAUGUCAUUAUCUCGAGAAUUGAAGCUCUUGAGGCUGCUGUGACCAAGAAGAGUUGCUCGAAGGAAGUUUGAAGCUCAAGAUCGUUUGUUGAACCUUGUCCUACAUCGUUGUCUUUGUUUCUUGAACCUUGUUGUCCUUUAUUGUCCUACAUCGUUUAACUAUGUUGUCCUUUAUUGAACUACAUUGUUAUCCUUUACUGAACUACUUUGUUGAACCUUGUUGUCCUUUAUUGUACUAAUUUGUUGAACCUUGUUGUCUUUUAUUGUCCUACAUCGUUUAACUUUGUUGUCCUGUAUUGAACUAUUUUGUUGAACCUUGUUGUCCUUUAUUGUCCUACACCGUUUAACCUUGUUGUUCUUUAUUGUCCUAAAUCCCAAAGAAUUGACCAUUAUUGUCCUAAUAUGUCCCAAAUCCAAACAAAUGUCCAAAUUCGAAUAUCAAACAUAAAAUCCACAACAUAAACUAAACAUCCGCAAACAACAUAACCUGUAACUUAAAAGAAAAACAUAACAUCCAGAAAACAAGAUAAACUGCAACAUCCGACACUUCUACUUCGAUAACAUCCAGUCUUCUGCUCUUGUUCUUCACCCUCCUGCUCUUGUUCUUCAGCCUCAUCCUCUUUUUCAUCAGCCUCCUGCUCUUGUUCUUCGGCCUCCUGCUCUUCUUCUUCAGCCUCAUCAUUUCCCUCCUCUUGUUCAUCAGCCUCUUCAUUUCUCGAAUCUUGUUCAUCACCCUCCUCCUUUCCCUCCUCUUCUUCAUCACCCUCCUCCUUUCCCUCCUCUUCUUCUUCACCCUCCUUUCCCUCCUCUUCUUCUUUGCCCUCCUCCUUUCCAUCGUCUGCUUCAUCACCCUCAGCCUCGUCUUCUUCUUCCAUGGGGUUUAUCGUUUCGGUUUCAUCUUCUGUGGGGAUUUUUUGGGCUGCGGUCUCCUCGAUAGGAUUCGGAGAGGUUUCUUUCUCCAUUUCUGUUUCUGAACUACAAACAUCUUCGCUUGUCUUUGUCGCGGCUUCGGUGGGAAUAGGGUUUACAACGGCUUGAGGAAUAUUUCCUUUCUCUUUAUCGGCGGCUUCAGGAUUUACUUCAGAUUCUCUCGCUGCGGCUUGAGAAUGCGAUUCCGUUUUAGGCAACGUUUUCCGACUUUCAGUUGACUCAUACUCGACGCCUUUUUGUUUCACACGAGUCAUGGAGAAGUCGUAACGAACCGAAGAUGGAGAAAUCGAUUAAAACGGAAGUUGUAGAUGGUGGAGUGGAAAUAAAACGAACGCAAUCGGUUAGCUUCUAUCAACACUCGCCGGAUUUUACGCCGGAAAACUCUCUCAAAUCUUUUUUCGAAUUUCAAUUAACUGUGUGGAGGUUUUUUUCCAAGAACUGAUAAAAUGGUAAAGUAAAUUAGGGUAAAUAAAAAGAAAUGCGAGUCGAAUCCGAUUUUAAUUGGGUAGGUUUUCAAAUGCCCAGAUAUUGUUGUAAUUAACGAGACAUUCAUGUAUAAGGUAAUAAACAACCAUCUUUUUGCUAUUUAAAAAAAAUUAAAAAGGAAUUGAUUAUACGAACGAUGGCAUUGGGGCUCUUUCUUCAGCGAUUUAUGGCAUUUUAGCAUUUGAUUCGCUUUAUUUUAACACUGUUACAAUUGUUUUUUUUUUCCUGUUAACUAACAGUUACAAUUGUUAAGAUAAUAGUUUUCGUGUGAUUUUUUUUUUCAGGGCACAGAAGCUGUAGUAGGAAUAUAUUUCGACACAUUAGAAAUCAAAGAGCCAUUUUCAAUAGAUGAAAAAUCGUUCGAAGGCAUGCGUAAUCUCCAAUUUCUAAUAGUUCGAGGGUCUCCACGGGGUAGAUUGCGUCUACCUCAAGACCUCGUUUAUUUACCCCGUAAACUCAUAUUGCUAAAGUGGGAUGGUUAUCCAUCCAAGUGUUUGCCUUGAACUCAGAAUGGAGAAUAGUUUGCUUGAGAAGCUGUGGGAAGGAAUUCAGGUACUAUAGUUUUAAAUUUAUUUCUAAGUUUCAUACGGUGUUACUAUUAGAACAAAUAACGGUCUUAUUUUUCUAUAUAUAUUGUUGUUAAAAGUUUAUAGAAUAUGUGUUCAAAAUGAUUUUGAACCUGUGCAUUUAUUUUUAUUUUCCUGUUUGUUUUCAGCCACUUGGAAGCCUCAAGCAAUUGAUUAUGAAUUGGUCCACAUAUUUGAGAGAACUUCCAGAUCUCUCUAAGGCCAUAAACCUCGAGAAAGUGUAUCUUGAUGGAUGCAAAUCUUUGGUGACAUUUCCUUCCUCGAUUCAGAAUCUCCUGAAACUGAGAGAUUUACAUUUGGAAAAUUGCACAGAGCUAGAAAGUUUUCCAACUCUUGUCAACUUGAAAUCUCUCGAGUACCUCAAUCUCCGAGGAUGCUCCCGGUUGAGAAAUUUCCCUCAGAUUUAUAUGGACAGUUCACAUGGAAUUAGCAUCGAAGUAAAAGACUGUUUCUGGAACAACAAUCUCCCUGGACCCGAUUAUCUCGGUGGCCUUAUGAGAUGUAUGCCUUGUAAAUAUCGACCAGAACAUCUCGUUCGUCUUACAGUGAAAGGCAACAUGCUUGAGAAGCUAUGGGAAGGCGUCCAGGUACAUUGUUAAUGUUUGAAUGUCAUAUGAUUGAAACAUAACAAAAUGUUUGGUUGUUCUGUUUCAGUCGCUUGGAAGUCUCGUGAGGAUGAAUCUGUCAGGAUCUGUAAACCUGAAUGAAUUUCCAGAUCUUUCAAAGGCCACCAAUCUGGAGCGUUUAGAACUCAACUAUUGCCAUAAUUUGGUGACUGUUCCUUGUACAAUUGAGAAUCUCAAGAAAUUGGUAAAGUUGGAAAUGAAAGGAUGCAUAAGGCUGGAGGCUCUUCCAACCGAUGUCAACUUGUCAUCUCUCGAAACCCUCGAUCUCAGUUGGUGCUCAAGUUUGACAAGUUUUCCUCAAAUUUCAUGGAGUGUGAAAAAACUCUAUCUAAAUGACACUGCCAUUGAACAAGUUCCCUGCUGUAUAGAGAAAUUCUGGAGGCUCCUUGAACUAACGAUGUGUCGUUGCAAGAGGUUGAAAAACAUCUCCCCAAACAUUUUCAGUCUGAGCCGUCUUGUGAAGGCAGACUUUUCAGACUGUGAAGGAGUAGAGACGGCAUUGAGUGAUGCAACUCCAGUGGCAACAAUGUCAACGGAGGAUCAAAUUCCUUCUAUACCAUUACACACAAAUGCCUAUAGAAGGGAAUAUUUUGAGUUCAAUAAUUGCUUCAAAUUGGAUAGAAAUGCGCGGGCACUCAUCCUACGAUCAUACGUGGCGCCUACAGUCUUACCAGGUGAAGAAGUGCCUGCGUAUUUCACGGAACAAGCUUCUGGAACUACCGUAGCUGUCAAGUUACCUCAGAGCUUUCUUUCUCAAGAACACCUCGCAAUUAAGGCUUGCGUCGUGGUCGGCAAGGGUUCGCAUUCAUACUUAGGGUUACGCUGGCACUUCAGAGGCGAAGAGCAUUGGGACACAAUAUUUGAAAAUCUGCCGGGGUCUUUUAAGAGGGAUCAUCUGGUUUUGCUUUCCUUCAAGUUCCGGCCUUCACUUCGUUUGGGUUUGAGUGACUUGAGUCCAACUAAUUUUCACUUCGACGAUGUUGAGUUUGAGUCUUCCACCAUCAACCCAUCCUCUGGCACCUUCUCACCGUCGGUCCAGAGGAUAACAGGAUGUGGUAUAAGAUUCUUGAAUCGGUCUACUACACGUCGUCGUCUAUCUAAAUUGGACUACUACUACAACGAUGUUGUCUCUGAGUUCUUCUUCAACCGAACAUUAAGAGAGGAUGCUGAGUACUUCUCUGGAAGAUGAAUCUGAUGAUGGAAGCUCUGGAACAGAGUACAACCAAAAAUCUAUACAAAGUUGUUAUCAAGAAAACAAUCUGUACAAAAUGUGAUGUUGUAGGGAUUGUGAGAAGAAAGAACGGAUGCGGGUAAAGCUUUUUGAACUCAAAAUUAUAAGGGUAUCUCUUGAUCUUUUUUUUCAGGAUCAAUAUCAUAGGUCCAUAGGGAUGAACUAUUUAAUAGACUAGAUCGUUUGGUUUUAUUAUGUAGAUUACAUUAAAAGAAUACAUGUGGGAUGUGGCGAUAAAGUAGCGGACACAGGUAUUGACGCCUCCAAAUAUAGAAUUUCUUCUACAAGUAAGAUACCGUUAGUUUCUUCUAGCAACUUUCAUGUCCAUGGAGCAUCCCUGUAUCUAUCCCUUUCUCCUUCUAUUCCAUGUCUGGAGGGGCAAGUUUUGUCUGUUGAUCCCCGAGAUAACUGAACAACUAGAUAUAUACAGAAACACUCACCGUGGAUCCUUUGUCGCACCCAGAGCUUACCAACUUUUUUUUACGGUAAGUGAAACAUCUUACAGUUCUGUUUUGUUCUAUAACAUCUUGCGAAUUGCGAUCGACCGUGGCUAUGCUGAUCUUGCCAAGACGUUUUCGUAGUUUUUUACGCAAUCCAUUUUUCCCUGCAGGUGAUGGUGAACUUCUCGAGAACCAGAACCUGUUUACGCACUCUAUUCUUACUUCUUUGUGUUACUGUUUCCCUCUUUGAGAAUUUCGCUUUUCAUGAAAGAAUAAACAUCUUUCAAAUAGCCACAAUUCAGCACAUUCUGGAAAAUUUUCUUUAGCAGGUUUUGUUUUGUACCAUAAAUCUAUCGGUUUUUAGUUGGAAAUUCGUUGAAUUUGUGAGCUUGGGUUUUACAUACUUGACUCGGGUAGUUUUUCUUUCCUUCUAACAAAGCAAUGAAUAAAUCAGGAUUUGGCCAAACUAAAAAUGUAUAAAAAAAAAUUCACUAGUUCUAAAUGGCAAGACCCUCUUCAUCAUCAGCAACAUUUGGAUCGCUGUUUCCAUGACGUUUCCUACACUCGCAGUAAAAAACAGUGACUACAACAUAACUCAGCACCACCUCAGCACCAUACAUACAAAUCAACUUCCACCCGUCUAAGCCACCGCUCACCACCACCGACCUCCACCACGACCCUGAGCUCGAGUCUACAUCUAGCUCCUUGGCCAGCUUCUCCAUCCCAUGACCAAUGAAACUCGAAAGAAACACAAAUACACCCGCCAAAGCCAAUCCAGUUAUCCUCCUCCCUUUCAUCAGAGAAUUUCCUUCCUUAAUCGCAUCAAAACCGUAUCUUUCUUCUAUCACAGAGACGACAAGGCCAAGCCCUGUUAUAGCCAUUAUGUAUACCUCAACGCCGAGACUGAGAACCGUGAUGAGGUAACGCAAUGUGGGUGUAUAACCCAAGAGAGCUGAUAGAAACAUGGGAAUCGGAGAGUAGAGGAAGAGCAGACCAUAGACAACAAUGGAAGUUGCAGUUACUCGCAUCCACGAGGACUUCACUGAUGCAAACGAUGACUUCAGAGACGUGUUUAGGCCGUUGUGUGAGAAGGAAGUUGAUGUGAUGACGGUUAUGGAUGCGAUACAGGAGAGGAUGAAGGACGGGACGAAAUAUCUGGAUUUGAGGUGUAGAAGCGAGACAGCGUCUUCUCUAGACUCUUGCCAGAUCUGUCUAGCUUCGAACCUUGUGUGCACGACGUUGGCCAGGGCUUCUAGACGGAAGACAUGGUUUUUAAGACGAAAGGAGGAGAGAGUUAGGGAGAGGUGUAAGGCUGCGAGAGGGAUUGCUACAAAGGCAAAGACUGGGAAUAAUAUGUGUUUGUUUCUCAAGAGAAUCAUGAAGGAGUCUAGGAGUGUUGUGGUGAUCCGCGUGGAAGAACCAGGUCGCUUUACUUCAAUCAUGAUAUCAAAAGGCACAUAGAAGCCUGCUGCUUAAAGCUUCAACCAAUGUUGGGACAACUCGAAACAGAGUAGAUACACUAUGCUUCUAGAGAAUGUCUUGUAUGAGGCCUGUGUAAACAAGAAAGCACAAAGCUUUUAGCAACUCAGAGAAUCAAUACAAGACUAAGUGCAUUGCAAAACCACAGUUUUCUCAGCAAAAAGAAUCACACUUAUCAGGUGGAAAUCACAGUUCCAUAUGAAAGAAUGACACUUUUAGCGAUUAUUCUAAUGACACUUAAACAAGGUUUGGUUCAAACAACAACUCCAGAGAUCAUACAUAGUUGACCGAAAUGUUAAGACUUUUUCUACACACCCCGGAGUUUUCGGAGUUCCAACAAGUUCGAGUUCAUUGAAGAAUAUAAACCAUAAUAUGAGUACGAAUUGAUGCUAUGUCGUCAAAUUAGAUCAAAUUCUGUGAUCUUGUGGACCAAACGUGUAUGAAGAAAUCAAACAAUCGACCGAGAUCAACUAGAAAUAACGAAUCCAGAACUAGAUUCUAUUUCCCAAACAACAGUCUCUAGAAAAAGGGUGAAUUUCGAUUCCCGAUCUAAAACUUGACGACUAAAUCCCAACUUUUAACAUUAGAACGGAAACAAUUAGGUUUAAUCCAAUCUUUUUUGCUUGAUUACGGUCUAUCUGAGAUCGAGACAAACCUGAAAGAUGCGAAAACACCGAUUGGUGUAAGAGGAAAUCCGAAGAAGUAUUGCUUGGAAGGAGAAUUCAUUGAUUUGAGAGACAGAACAAGUCAAUAAGCUUUGGGUUUUAAAGUUUAACCACUGUUUUAUAACUCAGUAAUUCUGUCCUUUGCGAAAAAAAAAGAAAAAAAAAACUCAGUAAUUCUGUCCUGAUUUGGGACAAUUUUGGAUGCCAAUUGCUUUUAUAAUGUUUUCGACCAAUAGAGUUACUUUACUAUUGGAUUACUAAUUAAUCAUUACUUAAUAAUGUUUUUUUGGUUAAUUGAGUUGUGAUGUUGAAUUAGUUAUUUAUCCACUAGAAAUUUCACAUUUUUUUAGUUUUUUUUAAUCAAAGACUCUAGAGUGAGGUAUCAAACAACAUUUUAUUGUAAAAUAUCAAAAUAGACAACUUUUUCAGACAAUCCUCUAUGAGGCUAUGAUUAUGAAUGUGUGUGACUGCGUGUAAUGAAAAAAAAAAACAAAAUACAGUAUACGAGGUAUAAAAAGAAAGAAUUGUCUCGACAACACAACAAAGAGUUUGCUUGCGGCACCAAAUCAUUGGAGUCUUCUUGGUAGUGAAAAGUUGUUUCCUUUCCCCAAAACUGAUUCAACCCGCAAAUGUGUUCCCUUCUCAUUGGAGCCAACAUUUUGCUUCUUGAACUCAGCUUCUUAACGCUGCUGACAAAUUCCAAAUCCAUCUCCGGUUUAGUAUUGUGACUAUUACUUGAGCAAAUCGAAACCGCAAUUGAACACAAGAUUCUAACAUUGCAGAGACAACUCAAUGCUCAUAUCCAGCAAGGUCUUUGGUAAUUCCUAAGUUUCACAAACCAAUGGAUUCAUAGACUGAGAGUCAAUUUCUGCAUCUAUAGAUGAAAUCGAAAACCAUCAAAAAAAUCAACCAAGAUGGUUUUUUCCAAUUUCCUCGGUUUACCUGAAUGAGAGAAGAGCCAGAGGAUUACGCCGCAGAGAAGAAGAAUGAGAGGAAUGAAAUGGAUGACGUUUUCUGCAGAUCUGAAUCGGGACUUCUCUCUCUUCCCCGGUUGAGAAUUCGGGUCGUACCUUGGCAAAAGCAGCUCCACAUCAUCUUCCAUAGCUGUAACGCUCUGAGAUCGAGGCGGAGACAGUGACGGCGUUGAAAGAUUCGCCGGAAACUGAUCCGAAACUCUUGAGCCACUUGCUGAUCUACGCAUCUCUCUCUCCCUAACGUAACUUCUCAAGUCAAAGGUCGAAACUUUUUUCACACAAUAACGCAUAUAAAUACUGUCGUCACGUCAGAUUUGACCAAUAGAGAAGAGUCAAAGCUCUUCUCUUUUUCACCAGUAAUCGCCACAAGAACAAGACCCAUCUUUGAAAUGGUGAAACCUUGUGGUGUCUCUCACCAUGAUCUCUCGUCUCUCUAUCUCCGAGAUAAAUUUGAUUGCUUUAUGGCAAUCACCACAGAUUCUCAGGUUCUUGAAAACUUGUAUCCGUGAACCUUCAGGGAGUUUUAAGCACCCAAAAGCAACAGCUAACUUCUCGCUAUGCCAUAACAAUAGUUUCUUUUUCUGCUCUUCCUCUACAUCGUGUAAAUCAAACUCCAGCUCUGGUAUGUAUCCAGCCAGCUCCAUCUUUUUCUCCAACUCCUUCAGUUUCUUGUGUAUUGACUCUAAUUCCGGGUGGAUCCGAUCACUUGAUCUGAAAUGGUGAACCUUGUUUCGAAUCUCGAUCCAACUGUAUCCUGGUACCUGAAACAAUCGAUUGAACACAUAAAAAGUCUUGUAAAGCGAAUAAAUAAUCACACCUUUUGCAAUCACCAUACCUUCACAACAUUGCUCUGCUUCAUUCUCUUACGAACCCUUGCAACGUCCUCCCAACGACUCAUCGAUGCGUAGAUAUUCGCGAGCUGCACAUACCCAGCUGCAUUACUCGGGUCAAGCUCAAGCAGCUUCUCGGCUGCGAAUUCAGCCAAUUCCACAUUCUUAUGCACCCUACAAGCCCCUAAGAGCGUCCCAAAGACUGCAGCGUGUGGUCUAAACGGCAUCGAUCGUAUCAGUUUCAACGCCUCGUCCAGCUUCCCAGCCCGACUCAGAAGAUCAACCAUACACGUGUAGUGAUCAGGCCGCGGUUCUACCCUGUAAUCUCUCACCAUCGACUCGAAAUGCUGCAUCCCAGUAUCCACUAAUCCAGAAUGGUUGCAAGCUAGCAAAACCGCUACAAACGUUAUCCAAUCCGGUCUGAUAUUGUCAUCUCUCAUCUCACUGAACAAACGCAGAGCCUUUUCUGCUCUACCAUGCUGUGCAUACCCGCAUAUCAUCGCGUUCCACGCGACGACAUCUUUCUUCCUCAUACCCUGAAAGAGCUUCCAGGCAUCACCAAGUUCACCACAUUUGCAGUACAUACUGAUCAGCGACGUCAAUGCGGUUAUCUCACUACACAAUAUAGAUUUACACACUAUCUGAUGGAUCUGCCUCCCUAACCGUAACGCAGAUAACUCGCUGCAUCCAAGCAAUACGCUGCUUAGACCUGACGGGUUAGGCCUAAUUCCAUCAAAAAGCAUUACUUUGAAAAGCUUCAAUCCAUCUCCUGGCCGAGAAUUUUCGACAUAACCAGAGAUCAUAGCAUUCCAUGUAACGAGAUUUUUCUUCACAGUCAUGUCUUUGAACACUGCCUCAGCUAAUUCAACCUUCUUGGCUUUCAUGUACCCUGUGAUCAUCGCCGUCCAGGCCACCACUCCUCUAACAGGAGCCGCUUUGAAGAAACGUGAUGCCAUUUCCAAAUCUCCGCAUUCUACGUAACCAGAGAUCAUCGCGUUCCAAGAAACCUCGUUCUUCUCCGUCAUGGCGUAGAACAAUUCCCGCGCUUUUUCCAUUUCCCUUCUCCGUGCAUACCCUGUGAUCAUCGUGUUCCACGACGCCGCGUCCUUGAAUGGAGCCCGAUCGAAAAAGCUCUGAGCUUUCUCGAAGUCUCCGUUACGAACGUAGCAAGACAACAUGAUGUUGUAGGAGAAAGUAUCUGGUUCAGGGAUUUCGUCGAACAGUUGGUGUGCUUCCUUCAAUCUGCUUGGAUCUUUUGAAAUCCCAACGAGCAGGGUGUUCCAGGUGACUGUGUUCUUAGCUCUCAUCCCGUGAAACACUCGGAGAGCUUCGUCUAUAUCUCCGGAACGUACAAAUCUGGCUAUAAUCUUGUUCAACGGGAAGAUUCGGUCUUGGUCACAAGGUUUAGUCGUCGUUUGAAGCGUCAAGUUAUCGGAGCGAACCAGAGAUGGCUCUGGCGAUGAACAAGAGGAAGACAAACAUGAUCCCACCAAAAUGGCAUCUGGGUUUUCUACGGAGCGCAAAAAGAAUCGAAAUUUCCAGCGUUUGAACGUCCGGUGAAUGUUGAACCGAGAAAGCAUUUUUCAUGGUUUAUGACAGAACAAGGAUGAAAAUGUUUAUAAAUCAUACCAAACAAAAAAAACCUAAAUUUGGAAUUUAACACCUAACAAUUGGGAGAAUCUGAGACAGAACUGAGUUCACUCUCAUUGUAAUAAACUGUUGAAUCAUCUUAUUGUUGAGUUAUUUCUAAUAAGAGACUUAUGUUUUAGAUUAAGUCAAUUGUUGUUUGCUAUUUUCUCGUUAGUGGUGGAACUAGUUGAACUAGUUGAGUCAUGUCCUUGUUUUACGGUUGUUUCAGUUAUUGUACUUUCUUUAUAAGGCAUUAAGGCCGAUGGAAUAAGAUCAGAUCAUUCUGAUGCAAUUUGUGAAUCCUUGAAACCAACUUUACAAUUGGUAUCAGAGCAAAAACACAAACGAGUGAUCAAAGAGAGAGCAAAAAAAAGGAGAGAGAGAAGAUGAGCGACGAUAAAACUCUUACCAAAAUUCCUUCAUUCAAUGGUCAUUACAAUCAUUGGAGUGAACUGAUGGAAAAUCUUUUGCGUGCCAAAGGAUUAUGGAAUCUGGUGGAAGAGGGAUUCACAAAACCGUCGGAGGGAGCCGAGAUGACCGCAGCGCAGCGGAAACAAAUCGAGGAACUCAAGGUGAAAGACCAUCAAGUGAAGCACUACCUGUUUCAAGCCAUUGAUCGGGUGGUAUUUCAACAGAUCUUAGAUCGCAGAACAUCCAAGAUCAUCUGGGAGUCAAUGAAGAAAAAGUUCGGAGGCAAUGAACGAGUGAAGAGAUCUCUCCUCCAAACCUUAAGAAGAGACUUUGAGAUUCUUGCAAUGAAGGCUGAUGAAAGCGUGGACGAUUACUUUGGCAGAGUAAUGUCCGUCUCGAACAAAAUGAGAAGUAAUGGAGAGGAUAUGCCAGAUUCGAAGAUUGUGGAGAAGAUACUUCGAACGCUCACUGACAAAUUCACAUACGUGGUGGUGUCAAUUGAGGAGUCCAAAGACACAAGCAGCAUCACCAUCGACAAACUGCAGAGCUCUUUGUCAGUCCAUGAGAAAAAGUUCAAAAGGACCAGCUAUGAGGAAGAUGAUCAAGCUUUCAAUGUCAAAGGCAGAGGAAGGGGAUCCUCCAGGGGUCGAGGCAGAGGGAGAGGUCGCUCCUUCAACAAAGCAUUGAUUGAAUGUUACAAGGGCCACAACCUUGGGCACUUUCAGUAUGAAUGUCCGCAGACAAACAAUGGUGCAAAUUACGCUGAGAUUGAAGAAGAAGAUGAAGUAUUACUGAUGGCGUUUGUUGAACUUCAAGGCACAAGAAGAGAAGAUGCUUGGUUUGUUGACUCUGGAUGCUCAAACCAUAUGUGCGGAGAAAAGGGUAUGUUCUCAAGUCUGGACACUGAUUUUACGCGUAACGUCAAGCUGGGCAACAAUCACAAGCUGAUGGUUGGUGGGAAAGGAGUAGUGAAGAUAACACUUAAAGGCAUCAGCUAUGUGGUUAACGACGUGUAUUAUGUCCCUGAAUUGAAGAAUAAUCUGUUGAGUGUUGGGCAGCUUCAAGAGAAGAGUCUGGAUGUGCUAUUCAAGGGAGGAGAACACAAAACCUGCAGCAUAUUUCAUCCAACAAGGGGAAAGAUAGCUGAGUCUGUCAUGAGUGCUAAUCGGAUGUUCAUUCUGCUGGGAGAAACAAGUGAGAAAAUGAAGGAAGAAAGAUGCCUGCAAGUUAACAUCUCAGACAAAGCUGAACUGUGGCACCAUCGAUAUGGGCAUCUCAGCCACAAAGGACUUCAUACCCUUCACAGCAAAGAGAUGGUUGUGGGUCUACCUGAACUUGCAGAGAUGAAGACCAUUUGUGAAGCCUGUGUCAAAGGGAAGAAGCAUCGUGUACCAUUUCCUAAGCAAAGCAAGUGGAGAGCAACUGAGAAAUUACAGCUUGUCCACUCAGACCUCUGUGGUCCGAUCAUCCCUCCAUCAAACAGUCAUAAGAGGUACCUGAUAAGCUUCAUUGAUGAUUUUUCCAGAAAAACUUGGAUAUACUUUGUGCAAGAGAAGUCCGAAGCAUUUCAAAUGUUCAAGAUAUUCAAAGCACUCGUGGAGAAGCAAACAAGGUUGUUUAUCAAGUGUUUAAGGACAGACAGAGGUGGAGAAUAUAAUUCCAGCGAGUUCAAAGAAUUCUGUAAGGAGAAUGGGAUCAGAAGGCAGCUAACCACAGCUUACACUCCCCAGCAAAAUGGGGUUGCAGAGCGCAAAAACCGAACCAUUAUGAAUAUGGUGAGAGCAGUCUUGAUGGAAAAGGAGGUGCCUAAAUCUUUCUGGCCGGAUGCUGUGCAGUGGGUAAACCAUGUUUUGAACAGGUCUCCCACCUUGAUUGUUAAAGAUGUGACUCCUGAAGAGGCAUGGAGCGGAAGAAAGCCUUCGGUCGAGCACUUCAGAAUCUUCGGAUGCAUCGGGUAUGUUCAUAUCUCCGAUGUAAAAAGGACCAAACUUGAUGAUAAAAGCGCAAAGUGUGUCUUGCUAGGCUUCAGCAGCGAAUCCAAAGCAUACAAGAUGUAUGAUCCAGUGGAGAAAAAGGUUCACAUUAGCCGAGAUGUGCUAUUUCAAGAAGACAAGGGCUGGAAUUGGGAUGUUGCUUAUUCGGGUGAACAGAACAUGGAGCUUGCGUGGGAUGAUCAGUACGAGUGCAGUGAAAAUCAAGAAAUAGAAGAAGAAGAAGCAGAGGUAGCUGAAGAUGAAGCAGAAGAAAGAACUAAUGUUCCUGUGCCAAACAAUCUAACUGCAGACACAUCAACGUCUGCAGGCAGAACAAGGAGACCACCUGUUUGGGCUGCCGACUUUACCUCAGGAGAGGAGCUGUCAGAUAUGGAGGAAGAAGCAAAUAUGGUCAGGGUUGAUAGUCUCGACAGCACAAUCUGACAUUUAUGGCAUUGAUAGUCAGAGGUAGCUGAAGAUGAAGCAGAAGAAAAAACUGAUGUUCUUGUGCCAAACAAUCUAACUGCAGACACAUCAACGUCUGCAGGCAGAACAAGGAGACCACCUGUCUGGGCUGCCGACUUUACCUCAGGAGAGGAGCUGCCGACUUUACCUCAGGAGAGGAGCUAUCAGAUAUAGAAGAAGAAGCAAAUAUGGUCAGGGUUGAUAGUCUCGACAGCACAAAUCUGGCAUUUAUGGCCAUCUCAGAUCCUACGAGCUUUGGAGAAGCAAGUUAUAAAAUGAUUACUUUUAUAACAUCUCAGAAUACGAACAGAAACGAGAAAGGAAGUGAAACUCACUGAAGACUCGAAACCGAUGAUAACAUUAGAAUUGUCUGUCUGAAACAAGUAUCAUAAAUAAGAAAACAACAAACGACUAAAGACUAAAUGGUAGGUAAACAAAGGAAAAAAAGAGUGUAUUGUUGUUUCAAAAGUAAAAAAAAAAACCGGUCAGGCAUAAGCUUGCAUAAAAUCUAAGAAACUGACGACAACUAAAAAUUUACACCUGACAACAAAAGACCGGUAAACAGUAAAUCAUUCAGACUCGAUUUCAGCAGCGGAGGAAAACUGGAACGAGUUUCGAUGUUUUCAUUGGAUGGAUCUUACUUGCCCCCAAGAGAUGGGAACUGAGCAGUAUCUCCAAUGACAGGCGCAGCUUCACUACGGUGGCCACCAAAUCCGCCGCUAGAAGCACCUCCACGGCCACGACCACGACCACCACGUUCACGGCCACCACGACCUCCUCCUCGGUAGUAGUUCUCACCCUCAGCUGGCUUCAGAAACUCAUUGAUGCUCACAGCCUGCAAAUCAGAAACACACAUUCAUAAGCAAAAAAGCUUAUUGACUUCUACAAAAUAUUUUUGAUUCAGAAAACGAUUUGAACCUUUUUGGCCUUCUCUUCUUUGUCAUCUUUGCGUUUGUCCUUGUCAGAACCCUGUGAAAUAGAUCAAAGCAAGGGUCAGAAUCGUCUAAGCAAGUAGAUUCUAUACACGAUAUUGUCUUACCAACUUGAUGAAGAUUUCAUCGUUAGACUUCUUGUUUGAGAGUUGUUGCAUUGAUUCAAACACUUUAGUAUCAACUUUCCUCUCGGAGGUGGUCUGAGAUUGAAGGGCCUUUUUCUUCUCCUCAAGGAUUUUCUCAUACUCAUCCAGAGUCAUUUCCUAAUUCGAAACACAAGCCAAAACACAAUCAAUGUGAAUAACAAGUAAAUACUGGUGAAAGGGCCUAAUAACUACAACACUGAUUUCAAGUUCCAUCAUCUAUUCUCGGCUUACCUUGUUCUCAGGCUCUUUCUCCUCCUCAGCUUCAGCAGUGUUCUCCUUGUUAGCAUCAGCAGCUACAUCAUCACCAGCAGGCUUCUCCACAGCAUUCUUUUCAGUCUCAGCACCAGCUACUUCCUCAGUCUCACUAAAAGAGACAAGAGAAUCUUCUUUUAGUCCAAAUUCCAAAUUCUUAUCACAUAAACCAACACAAAUGUUUUUACAAAAUGCAAUCAAUCCCAAAAACAAAUGCUUACCCAGCAAAGACUUCUUCUCCUGGUGUUCCCCAAUUUCCACGACCAGAUCCUUCACGUUUGAAGUCACCCCUAACCAAAAGAUAAACUUAAGCUCAUGAGAAUUUCAAUUGCAGAACAUGCCACAACAACAAUAAAAGUUGAGCGAGAGUAAGACUAACCCCCUGCCAGUUCCACUGCGACGCUCGUGCGUCCUUCGAGGACGUUCGCCUUCACCAUCUUCACGUCGACCACCACGGAAAGAACCACGAGGAGCACCUCCACCACCACCACGCCUCUCAUAAGAAGACUUUGACACGUCUCCUUCCUCUGAGGGCUUACUGUAUCCCCCUGAGUAUCCAUUGUUACCUCCGGGACCAUCACCACGUCCAAAAUCACGGUUGUAACCACCAGGACCUCCACGACCACGGCUAAACCCUCCGCUGCCUCUACCACCACCACGUGGAGCUUCACUCCUAGCCUCUUUCACUAAUUAACAACAUUAAGGUACCAACCUCAAUCAACUAAAACAACGAUACAAAACUCCAAAAAUAAAUUCAAUGAAUCAAUCUAGAGAAUCUAAUAUAACAACACAUACAGUCUACUAAAUAAGGAAAUCGAAUAGAUGAGAAGUUUUAUAGUUUGCUAAUCGUGUUUAAGAGAAUCUCACCAGCUUGAGCAGGAGGAAGUGGCUUCGACGGAAGCUUCCCAGCAGCUGAAAUGGGACCAGACUUCUUGGACUUAUCAGUUUUCUCCGGUGGAGCGAUGGAGACGGCGAGCUGGCUUGGAUCCUCAGCGUCGUUACCCAACAGAUCAAAAGGGUUCAAAGUUGCCAUAUCUUAAAAUCAAUCGAAGUGAUUAAAACACACAAACUUUUUUCCUCCCCAAAAGUAUCACACAGAGUCACAGAGACAACUAACAGUAGUAAUAAAGUGAAGCCAUGGAUUAAUAGAUCUAAAGAGUAGAAAAGAAACGUCGGAAUGAAAGAGACGAAAUGGGAAUUAGGACAGGAACUAAUUUGAGUUUGGUAAGAGAAAUGAAAAGAAAGAAAAUGUGGCAAUUUUUGGAGUGGCCGAAAAGCGGCGUAGACAAACCUAAUCGCUUAAAACACCCAGCUUUUCUCACUGAUUGAGUGUGGUCGACCGCAUGGUAAGAUUGAAAUGACCGGCAAGAUCUAACCGUACGAUGCAGCGAUCCUGAAAUCGACAAGAAAACAAUACAUAACUCAACAAGUCAUUAUUUGAGCAAACAUGUUAUUCUUCCAUGGGCCAUUUUUAGUAUUGUUUGAUCAUAUAGGCCCACGAAAAAUUGAUACUUUUUAUUUUAUUAUAUUUUUGCAUUAUCAAAUGAUCUUUAUACGAUCUUGAUAUGUCUAGGACUCUCAAAUCAAUGUCGACAAAAAAAGAUAUGUCUAGGGCUCUAGAGUCUACAAAAGUUUUUGUGAUUUGAAUAACUUCUUAUCUUCUUAUCUAACAUAUACACAACAAACAAAAAAUAUUGUGAUAUUCAAAGAAGUCUUAUGUUUGUAAAUUAGUAAUACUACGAUCGUUUACCUUCUUGGCUUCCAUGCAACGCCAAAUUUCUAUUUAUAACAAAUGUCAAAAGACUCCAAAAUAUUACACAGUAACACAACUUCUAUCAUUUGCAUUUAACAUGCCAAUGGCGAUAAAUAAAAAGCUUUUAUUCCAAAUAGGAACAAACAAAAUAGUCGGCAAACUAAUAAUAACAAUUAGGCUUGUCGGCAAAAAAAAAUACAUUUUUUCAAAAGUGCAUAAAGAAAAAGAAAAUUAGAGCUCUGUCAUGACGACGGACUAGGCAAAACAUCUCCGUUAUCAGGAACAGUAGUAAUACGGCUAAGUCUCAAAGACUUUCCAGUGUACAAAGCCUUGACGUUUGACCGUUGCUCAUCCAAAAGCUUCCUCAAACUACGUUUCGCGUUUGCCCUAAACGGACAGUUCGACGCUAAAAAACCGUCGACCAAAUGCAAAUACGCCUCCAAGUCAUGACAGCACGCCACGUCAGCAUUCGGUUUCAAGUACGGAGACAUCUUCAUAUCUACGCGCAGCUCCGCUCCCACGUGCGAGUAAGCCCAUGGAUUGUUCUUCUCCACCAUCUCCAUUAUUAUACCCCCUUGACUUCUCCCGUUAUUACGAUUCUGCCCUUGCUUAUCGUUAUCGGAGAAUAUCCCGGGGACUUUCGUCACCACGUCCUGGCUGUUCACUACGCGGAGGACUUUCACUCCCUUCGAAUCCAACCGAUCGGCGAACUCCCGGUUUCCGACUCGAGGCCCGCCGAAUGAAAACACCGACACCGGAGGCGCGUGUGGAACACGCUCGGCUAUGUCGUCGGCGGCGAGGAGCGCAAUGGCGGCGCCGAGGCUAUGUCCGGUGACGCUGAUGCUCAGCUCCUCUCCGGCGUAUAGAUCGACGAGCCGGCUGAUUUCUCCGAUUAAUGACUCGGCGAGGCUCGGCGCUUGGUGGCUACCCGUCGUGUAGAGGCUGUUGAAUCCGCAUUCCACUUUGGGCCGGGUCGGGUCAGAUGGAUCGGGUUUGGGUUCGGGCAUGGAGACGAGAUUCGGCCUGAAAUUUUCUGACCACUCGAGCAACGUGGCGGUUCCACGGAGCGCGAUGACGAUCUCCCUCCUCCCCAUCCGUCGGAUCUCACUCGGAUCAUCGCAGACCGCCACGUACCCAACCCAGCUCGUCUGCUUAGUCAUCCACCGUAGAUCUGGUGCCACCUCAUCAAUCCACUUAGGCAAACGAACGGAUGACGUGGCGUAAAGACUUUUUGUCACUUUAUAAGACCCGUCAGGUAACGCCACGUGUCUCGGCGAACCUUCCGGGUCAGAGUGAAACGCUUGGUAAGCCGCCUGCACGAACUCUCCGUACCGGACAAGCUCUCGCCGGAGAUUCUCGUCUAGCGGAUCCAGUAACCCGGCCCAGUUAUUCGACCCGUGUAGUUCCCGCCAUUUAGACCCGAGUUUAUUCUUCGGCGAACGCUCCUCCGAUGACUUGGAGAGAAGCCUUUGGAGACGCUUGAGAUUCUUCGGCGACAUUUCGUCGACGGCUGCUUUCAUCUGAGGCCAGAUUCGCGCCAAAUUCAAACCUUUGAGUAAUGUCGACGUCGACGUCUUCGUUUUAUCUUGACGAGAAGAGACACUGUCGAGAUUAUCUGUAAAGGUCGAUGAGGUCUUGAGAACAUUCUCAAGGUUCAUGAGAUGUUCUCUGUUGGUUUUUCUCGCCGGAAAAACCGAAAGUGUCUUCGUCGGGAUCAAAGUCGAUGUUUGUGUGCUGCAAGUGAAACGACGGCGUUUUGCAUGGAAUAAGUCGGUGUUCGGCGUAAGUGUCUGCAUGAGAAAACUGUGGAGAGAGGUCUUGGCUCAAGUUUUGAUGAGACAAGAACAGAGAUGCUUAAGAAAGUAAAAGGUCUGGUAUUUAUAUGGAAACAUGUCGAUGGUGGCUGUGACGUCAUUUGAAUUAGGAUUGAGCCUUGAAUAUUGAAUGUUAUUACCAUUUUGACCCUCUGUUUUGACUUGACUUUGUUUUUAUUUGAUUUGUUUAUUUCCUUUCUGAUUGUAAGGAAUAUUGAAAUUCUUAUUUAGGACCGUAUUGGCUGGCCAUUGUUUAUAUUUUGGACCGUUUCCAUUAUAAGUCUCCGUGUGUUUUCAAGAAAAGUCCUGCUAUUUUUUCUUUGCACAUGCAAUCAAGCUACCAAAGGGCCGGGUACUUCGAUGGCAGUACGUAUUGUGUAUUCAAUAAUGUAAUUUUAACUAUUAAAAAAAAACCUCAAACUAAUUUCAGGAUAUACAAUUACGGUUUGAAUUGUUAUUAGUUACUUGUGGAUACUGUUGUUUUGCCGUUUUGAUGGACGAGUCUGACUUAAAAGUAGUUACUAGAUACGUGAAAUAGAUAGACAGUAGAAACAUGUUUUGGUCUAUUGUGCCGUCUUCCUAGUUACUAUGAUCGUUGGAUAUAUUGUUCUAUAAAAGGUACAGUCCGAAUAGUAUAGAAAGGAACCCUCUUUUCUUGAUAUAAGAGAUGGCAAAACUCAAUUGGUUUUAUGCUGUGUGCUUAAAGUUAACGCAGUAUAUUCUGACACGCCACUUCUAAAUAUCAAUUUCGAAGACCGGUUUCCGAAUUUUAAGAUUUUUAAGUUUGAUUUGCUAUGAUUUUUAGGUCACUCUCCAAUUAUAUGUAAUAAAAGAAUGUGUGUUUUAAAAACUGAUGAAUUUAAAGAUUGUGAAAAAAAUAUUAAAUUCAACCAAAUCCACCUAAUAUAUAUCCUCUUGUAUAGAUUGUUUAUGAAUCGGUUAUAACUUAAUAAUAAAGAAUGCCUCAGAUUUUUGGUCUACCAUAACAUUCUAACAACUAAUAAUAUAACAGAUUAAAACAAUUGUAAACCAAACAAUAAAUACACCGCGUAAAGCAAAUAGCGUAGGAUGUAAAGUAUAUAUAAAUUUUGACGAAAUAAAAGGACUAUAAGUUCUGAGUUGGUCAAUCUCAAUUCAGUUUAUAAUUUAUUUCUUUACCAUCGGUUAUUGUCGGUAUGUACGAACUAUAGGUGUGUGCAUUUGAAAAACAACAAGUUUAUGUGUGAAAGUGAUAAAGUUAGUGCAGUACCGUUAGAUAACCUUGUACCAACUUACCUUGCGGUCAUGGUUUUAAGAUUAUUGCAUUUCAAACAAUUAUAGUUAUUUACGUUCCCCGUUUGGAGACGGGAUCAAAAAGUUAUAUAUAUACAUAAAAAAAUCUUUAACAAAAUUAUAUUACUUAUGAUAGAGUUUCCAUUUUCCAUAUGAAUUGUUUUUAACUUUGCAAAUACUGCUUUACAAAAUAAAAUUUAAUUUGCAAGGACUUUGAAGUAUGAUCAAUCAUCGAUGUACUUUAUCUUGUCAAAUGCCUGAUAAAAAAAAACAAUAGAUUGCAAGACCACAUGACAGUACCUAUUACAAACGAUGAGUGAUGAACAGAAAUGGAUCAAGCUCAAUCGAUCAUGGAGAAGAUGAGCUCGAGAGAGAAAGAUGAGAAGAAGAUAUUUUGGGAAAAUUUCUGUUAUUUCAUUAAAGGAAAUGUACAAGAGUUAUAUACAAUUGUUGUGUGAUACCCGGGACAAACCGGUUAACUAUUUACAGAUAGUAUUUACAAUAACCAACUAAACCAAGGCCUAAUAUCCCCUCUCAAGAUGGCGCAUAUAUGUUAAUCACAGACAUCUUGCUUAGUAGAGACUCGAACUGAGUUGGAAAUAAUGGUUUAGUGAGGAGAUCAGCGAGUUGGUUACCUGUACGAACAUGCAGAGUUUUAAUUAAGCCCUUGUCAAUCUUUCCUCUAAUACUGUGACAAUCGCGUUCAAUGUGUUUGGUACGUUUGUGAUAAACGGUAUUGUUAGCGAUGUGGAUAGCUGAAGUGUUGUCACAAUAAAGAGAAGAAGCUUCUGAAACAUCGACCCAUAGAUCUUCCAGGAGAUAGCGUAGCCAAAUCAUCUCCUUUGCUGCAUAAGCUAAUGAUCGAUAUUCAGCCUCACUGGUGGACAUGGCAACAACAUCUUGCUUAUUCGAUUUCCAUGAGACCAGAGAAGUACCAACGAACAUGCAGAAGCCUGAAACUGAUCUGCGUGUGUCUGGACAAGUUGACCAAUCAGAGUCGGCAAAACCAGAUAGUUUCAAGUCAGACGUAGCAGAGUAAAAGAGACUCUGUCCUACGGUACCCUUCAAGUAAUGCAAGACCUUGUAAGCUGCAUUAAGAUGAGGAACACGAGGAGAGGACGUGUAUUGACAGAGUUUAUGGACUGCAAAGGUAAUAUCCGGGCGAGUAAAUGUCAGGUAAAGUAAUUUACCGACCAGUGUUCUGUAUUGUUCUGCGUUCUCCAGAAGAUCACCAUCAAUUUUGGACAGUUUGAGAUUUGGCUCCAUCGGAAUAGAAGAGGGUUUACAACCAAGAAGGCCAGUCUCAUCCAACAACUCAAGAGUGUAUUUUCGUUGACAAAGAGAGAUGCCAGAAGAGUUACGAGCAAUCUCUAAACCAAGAAAAUAACGCAAUUCUCCCAAAUCACGCAGCUUGAAAGAGCAUUGUAGAGCAUCCUUGAGAAGUGCAGUGGCGAUGAUAAUAUCGUCCACGUACACAAGAACAGCCAUAUAAACGUUACCCGCAUUUCUGAGGAACAGAGUGUGAUCACCUGAAGACUUAUGAAAACCAAGGUCGAGCAAAGCUUCUGAAAACUUCAAGAACCACUGACGGGAAGCCUGUUUAAGACCGUACAGGGAUUUUUGGAGCUUGCAGACAGCAUUAGGUGGCAGCUCUUCUCCUCCACGAGGAACAUAACCAGGAGGUAAAGACAUGUAAAUCUCUUCUUUUAAAUCUCCAUUCAAGAAGGCGUUAGAAAUAUCCAACUGAGUAAGAGACCAACCCUUUGCAGCAGCAACAGCAAUCAAGAGUUUAACAGUAGAAAGCUUGGCAACUGGUGAAAAGGUAUCGACAUAGUCAAGGCCUUCCUGUUGGGUAUAACCCUUAGCAACCAAACGAGCCUUGUAGCGCUCAAGACUCCCAUCAGCAUUCAACUUGACUUUGAAAACCCAUUUACAACCAACAGGCUUUUUACCUUCAGGUAAAGAACAGAUAAUCCAUGUUCCAUUGUCUUCAAGCGCAGUUAACUCGAUUCCCAUAGCAUCACACCACUCCUUAAGAUCCUUAGCCUGUUUAUAAGACGUUGGUUAUAGGAUCUUAUUCACAGCAUUAAUGAAGAUCAGAUAAGGGUCAGACAACGCAGAGUAGCAAAGGACCUCAGAGAGUGGAUGUUGAGUGGAAGAAUCAAGAGAAUAGCAAUGAUAGUCUUUAAGAUAAGAAGGAGGUUUAGAAGCUCUCGUACGUGUAGUAUCAGGUACAGCGUCUGAAGAUGUACCAGGUGAGGAAUUCUCCGUAUGAUCAGGGUGGACCACAGGAAAGAAAUCCAAAACAUCAGGAGAGAGACUUCCCCUCUGUCUAAAAGGAAACAAGUCCUCGUAGAAGACUACAUUGCGAGAGACAAAGACUGAAUUACUCUGAAGAUCAAGCAGCUUGUAACCUUUGUAUCCCGGUGGAUAUCCAAUGAAAACGCAGGCACAAGCUCGAUCUUGGAACUUGUGGCGAUGUUUAGGUGAAGUACUGACAUAGCAGAGACACCCAAACGUUUUCAGAUGAGUAUAUUCAGGCUUUUUGUGAAGAAGCAUCUCAAAUGGAGUUCUGUUGGAAAGGACCUUGGAAGGAGUCCGAUUGAUGAGAAAAACAGCUGUGAGAACACAUUCACCCCAUAGAGAGAGAGGCACUUGAGACUGAAACAACAAAGAUCUAGCAACAUUCAGGAUAUGCUGAUGCUUCCGCUCAACAACCGAGUUUUGUUCAGGCGUCUCUGGACAAGAAUGGUAGGAAACGAUGCCCUUUUUUUUGUACAAAGAAUCAAAUUUUAAUUCAGGUGCAUUAUCAGAUCGAACACCUUUUAUCUGUGCAUCAAAUUGUUUCUCAACCAUUGCUAUGUACUCAGGAAAGACUGUAAGAACAUCACUCUUUAAGCGCAUCAAGUAAAUCCAAGUGACCCUUGUGUGGUCAUCUACUAUUGUCAAAAAAAUCUUAAUCCCUCCUGUGUUGGUUCUGAGAAAGGCCCCCAAACAUCAAUGUGAAGCAAUUCAAAUGGAGAAGAACAGAAGUUGUGACGAGUAGGAAAAGACAAUUUCUUUUGCUUAGCACGAUGACAAAUAUCACAAUGCAGUAAACCCUUAUUUUUGGCUUUGGAAAUACCAAGUUCAUCCAUACGAAGGUCUAAACGUUCAAAAGAAGUAUGGCCAAGCCUUUGAUGCCAAACAGAUGCAUCAAUUACAGAGUUGUAAGAAAAGAAGUAGAAACAGGUUCUGCAGGUGCUGAAUCAUCCACAUCCAACACGUACAGAUUAGCUACCCGUCUACCGCUUCCAAUCGUCGAGCCCUUGAUACGAUCCUGUAUCAGACAAGAGUCAGGAUCAAAUAUCACUCGAGAGCCCAUAGCCGAUGUCAAAGCACUGAUACUCAACAAAUUCAGGCAAAACUCAGGUAUAUACAGAACAUUCUUCAAGACAAUAUCAGCAUUGAUUACAACACCACUGACUUUAACUGUAGCUCCAUUAGGUAAGUUCACAUGAUGCUGAACAGCAGUAUUAAUAUCACAGAACAGCGAGAUAUCGUGUGAAACAUUAUGAGUUGCACCAGAGUCAAUAAUCCAGGUUUUAACAGCAGUCACACAUUCAGUAACAUUAAGAAUACCGAUGAAACUGAAUGUGAAGGAUGAGAAAGUAAUACCAGAUGGGUUAUUGGCUUGAGAACUCGUACUUGCAGAAGACACAUUAGUGGAAGGAGUAUGUGGUUUCGGCUGUAGCUGAGAACUGAAGAAAGCAAUGAAAUUAUGUAUCUGAUCCUUAGUCAUGCUUCCAACAAGGCUAUCCAAACCUGGCUCUGAUACCAUAUUACAAACGAUGAGUGAUGAACAGAAAUGGAUCAAGCUCAAUCGAUCAUGGAGAAGAUGAGCUCGAGAGAGAAAGAUGAGAAGAAGAUAUUUUGGGAAAAUUUCUGUUAUUUCAUUAAGGGAAAUAUACAAGAGUUAUAUACAAUUGUUGUGUGAUACCCGGGACAAACCGGUUAACUAUUUACAGAUAGUAUUUACAAUAACCAACUAAACCAAGGCCUAAUAGUACCAGACUAGACUUUCUUUAUAAGAAAUCUUUGUACAAUUUAUCUAACAAUACAAACAGAAACAACAAGUUUAGUGAAAUUUUCUUACAUGAUAUUGCAGAGUUAUAUAAGUGACAUCUACCGUCCAAACUUAACAACCUUUCAAGUUUCAACAUACAAGAACUUCCAGAGUCGUAGAUUUAUAUACUUCGUGUAUUUCUAAAGUUUAAUCACAAAAGUGCAACUCUUAUUAGCAAUAGUAAUUCAAUCGUUCGUCUACAAAUGCGAAACAUUAAUACAAACUCAAAUUAGAGUUUCAUGGACUACAUAUAAUGUAUACAGUAAAACCUCUAUAAAUUAAUAAUGUUGGGACCAUGAUAUUUUAUUAAUUUAUCGUGAUAUUAAUUUAUCUAUAAAUUAAUAAUUAUUAAUUUAUAGAAAAAAUUGUUUUUUGCAUAUAAUUUUCUAAAAAUUUAUUUAGAAUAAUGUUAUAUUUUAUAAUUUUAACAAAUAUCAUAAUAUACAUUAUGAUUAAAAAUCAUAACUAUCACAAUAAAAUAAUUUUCAGUAUAUUAGAUUGUCCAUAAAAAAUAUACAUGUUCAUAAGUUUAAAAUUUAUAAAAAAAACUAUGGUUACUAUCAGUAUUAUUGAUGAUAAAAUUGAAGAUAAUACUACAAUACAUUUACAAAUAUUUACAUGUAAGAAAAUCAGUUAUCACAUCAAAAAAUCAUCAUAAAUUUUGAAUGUAUAUAGUAAAACAGCAAUAAAAGUUACUAAUAUAAUAAUUAGAGAGAUGACUUUAACUAAAAACAAACACAUUAGUCAUAUUUUAAAAUAUUAAAUUUAUAUAUAUUUGCAUAAAAUUAUAUAAUUAUUAAUUUAUGUUUUUGUUGGGACCAUGUAUUUACAUAAGGGUUUCAAAAAAAAUUAUUAUCUUCUUAUUUUAUCUAAUUUGAUGGAUUUUUACAUUGACCCGACUUGAAACCAGCAAAAUUUAUUAAUUUAUAGUGAUUAUUAAUUUAUCGAGUAUUAAUUUAUAGAGGUUCUAAUGUAUUUAAGGUAUGGAUCCCACGUACUAUUUUUAUAAGUUUACAAAAAUCAAUUCUUCGUAAACGUAUGACUCACAACUACAACAACCUGGCGUCACGCCUCAGUACGUAGUUUAUUAAAUAAACAGGUCAAAUAUUUAUGUUGCAUUCAAUACCAACUGCACAGGAAAAUAUUCCCAUAUUCAUGCAUGGUAACUCGUUCAACAAAUAAGAAUAAACUUACGUAAGCAUUACCACCCAACCAACAAAUUAAAUCUGGAAACAUGUUUGAAGUUUUCAAAUCACAUACUAGACAUUUCAAAUAUAUGAUCACCUUUUCAACAACUGUAGUGAAGUACUGAAAUAAAUAUAUACUUUAUUUUACAUGUCCUGUUAUUUUACAAUAUUUAGAUUUACAUUGUCAAGAAAAAAAUAACGUUCUUUGUUCUUUUGUUGGGCAUGGCUCGAUGCCUCGAUGGCUAGAGGAACUCUCAACUAAGCGUGUUGAACCGUUAAGGUUUGCCAUCCAGCUCAGCUGUAUUAACGACACGUGGAAAAGUCAGACCCAUUGAUUCAACAUUUGACUAAACUUCUACAGUUCUACUGUUCCGACUUACGAAUGUAUAGAGAAUCGCAGCCGCUUAAUGGGCCUCAUUGACUUAUUAGCCCAUAAAUGUCUUCGUGUAAAAUAUAUGUGCACAAAAAAAUGAAAAAGACGUUGUCAAGAAAGAAAAAAUGAAAAAGACUAUACAAUCUUUUUAACUAAGAAAUCUCAUUCUUUGUAUACAUCGAAACAGAGACAGAAAACACAACAAUAUUUGCUUUUGAGUUAUAGAAUGAUUUAAGAAAUUAUUAUUGUUUUGGGAUAGUUUUUUAUAUGACUUUAUAUAUAGAUAAAUAUCACAUUUAUGUUCAAAAUCUGUUUAUAUUAACAAACUGGUUUAAGAAAGAUAAUCUAAAAUAUAUAGCAUAAAAUAAAUUUGAAUUACCCUUAAUUUUUUUUGGGGUAAAAUUUACCCAUAGUUAUAGAAAAGUAAAUACUAUGGAUAAACUCGAAACUAGUAAACUUAUCAGGUAAGUAGUCUUCAAUCACGUGUCUAUUCACUAGAGAUUUCUCGGAAAAAAAAAAUUCUUGCAUCGGCCUAUGAUAUCGGACUGUGAGAACUGAGAAUCAUCAAAAUGCAAGGAGGAAUAGUGCAUCUCACCACUCCAGUCUUCACUGAAUGUCGUCAACAUGUGAUGGGAGCAUACACACAAACGGAAAAAAGGCCGAUUCGUACCUCAACACUAUAACUUGUACCAAUAAAUAUCCAUACAAUUUUAAUAGGUUAAUCAGUACCUGAACUUAUUAAAAUUGGUAAAUACAUACCUCAACAAUGUUUUUGUGGCCAAUUAGUACAUUGACUUACUGUUAGUCAAAUCUGUUAAUUUGCAAACAGAAUCCGACUCAGAUGCCACGGUGGAUGUUGUGUUCGAAUGAAACCAAUACAACGUCGUUUAAGGUUAAAAAUUUGGAAAAAGAGGCAAAAACAACGUCGUUUUAAAUUUAUUAUUCAUUAAAAAAAUAAACCAUCUAUAUCUUUUUUCAUCUUCGUCGUCCCUCUUCUUCGUCAACUUAAAACGGGGAAGAACAUCGAUAGUUAGGGUUUGGGUAGUGUUCGAAAAAAUCGGAAUGACUUCAUUGUCGAACUCUUACGCUUCCUCGAAGAUUCCAGGUAGGUUUAAGUUUGCAAUUUUGAUUUUGAUUUUGAUUCAAACACUUUCAGAAAAUCAAAUCGGAAAUUUCAAUUUUGAUUUUUUAAAAAUGUAUAAUAAAUUUAAAACGACGUCGUUUUUGCCUCUUUUUCCAGAUAUUUAACCUUAAACGACGUCGUAUUGGUUUCAUUCGAACACAGCAUCCACUAUGGCAUCUGAGUCGGAUUCCGUUUACAAAUUAACAGAUUUGACUGACAGAGAGGAAGUCAAUAUACUAAUUGGCCACAAAAAUAUUAUUGAGGUAUGUAUUUACCAAUUUUAAUAAGUUCAGGUACUGAUUUACCUAUCAAAUUUUUUUGGGUAUUUAUUGAUACUAAAUUAUGGUGUUGAGGUACUAAUCGGCAUUUUUCCCACACACAAACUAGGAAGACAUUCACUGGCCAAACCUAACUAACGUUCAUGCUUUGAUGGUGUAUUGUAGGAACGCCCCGAACCUACUUAACACAUGACACAUGCAUACUAUCGACAAACGGAAAACAUAUUAGUCCCAUAGAAUAGUGAGUGAUGGAUGCUGUAUCCGAAGUCCGAACCCGAUUAAAAUAUAUAUCACAUAGAUACCUAGCUAGACGCCUAAUACAAAGUGAUAUAUAUAUAUAUAAGAGAUAUUGACUCUCGAGUCUCGACCAAUAUAUAUCUUAAAAUAUUCAAAAUGUACCCUAAACACCUAAAAUCUUAGAACAACCAUAUACUAUCUCAAGCGGUUGCUUCCUCGUUUAACCUCUUUACGAGCCUUUUGUCACUCUAGCGUAAGAGGGCCUUUGAAAUAUCCCACAUUGGUGUCUCGAGUGAUUUGAUCGCUUCUUUCGUGGUGUACAAGUUUAUUUACUCUUCACUGAAUCACGUAUUAAAAUAUGUUUUAGCGUAAUCCUUGAAACAUUAUGAACUCCUUGGAUUCUCUAUUAAUGAGAACACAAUAUAUGUAGAAAUCGAUCUCACGCAACUAAUAAUCUACAUACUAUUUUUACUUACAAUUUAUGUAACUCAUAAUAUUUAUGUUAUUUUCAUAUGUUUAUCUUUCUCUACGCAAACAACACAACAAAUGUGGAAAUAUAUAUGGUCCAAUGGCUGACUGAUGAGAAUGACAAACAUUAUGAAUUUUUGCAGAUCAAGAGAGACAAACCCUUACUAGAGGUGCAAGGUAAAGUAUAAAAUGGUUAUUCAUAAAUAUGAUGCAAGUAAAAUCGUUUAUCGUAAAUCUCUGUAAUACAAGUAUAAUGGUACGCUGUUGUAGAAUUAUUUUAUUGUAUUUCUAAUUUACAAUUACUGUAAAAAAUUAGUUUUGCGUAAAUUAAUAAAUCAUCAUAAUAUGGUGGUAAAAAAUAAAAACUGAAAAGUUAUAUAAGGUUAUUAAAACUUUUAACAAAAAAAUAUAAGGUUAUCAAAAAACUGCAGAUUAACUGUAUAAUGUGAGCUGUGUUUUGAUAGAUAUACACUCCAUAUAAGAUAAGAAAAGAUUAUAGGGGUAGGGAACAAAAGGAAAGUUGGUAAAGGUGAAAAAGAAAUAAAAAAUACCAUAGAAGAAAGCUCGGUACAGAUAAAUAGAGAAAUAGACAAUCGAGGUCCAAAAAAAAAAAAAAAAAAAAAGAGAAAUAGACAAUCUACACACACUGAUUUUAAAUCUUCCUCCUCAUCCUCCUCGGUUUCCGGCGAGUGUUUAUCUUCUUCUCCGGCACAUCGACUCGUCUUUCCGAUCAGGUCUCAGCUUCGUUUCCGCACCUGUCCUAAAAACUUAAUGUUUAUCUUAUAUUUUAGCUUCCACAUUACUAUAGCAUGAAUUCACUUCGUAAUCUGAGAUCUUUUGUUUCUCUUUGGUCUCACCUCUAGCUCAAAAUCGAAGCUAUACUAUAGUAUAAUGAUUAUUAUAAUUUGUCUUUUUAGUUUCCUCGAUCUACUCCUUCGAUUUUACUCUCAAGACCAUUGAUAAUCCCAAUUGCUCUAUUGCAGAAUCCUUUCCCAGAAGAUUUGAGGGAUCUAAUUGUUGCAUCGACGAGUUGAUUGCUGUGAAGUAGAAACCCUAGAGGCCUCAGGAUUUUGCAUAAAUCGGCUGAUUGUAAUUUGAAACCGAGGAUGUGUAGGCAAAAUUGUCGCGCGAAAUCCUCACCGGAGGAGGUGAUUUCAGCUGAUGAGAAUCUCUUGAUAUAUUGUAAACCUGUUCAGCUUUACAACAUUCUUCACAUUCGCUCUCGAUCCAACGUAUGAUUUGCUUCUCUCUCUCUCUCUCUCUCUGUCUCUCAUCAGUUUUUGUUUUUAGCUCAAUCUCACAUGUGAGACAGUAGUUUGGGUUUUAGGUUUAGCUGAUUCUGGUCUGUGACUCACUCAUGGUGGCGAGUUUGUGCUUCUUUUGCCUCUUAUGUUUAUCUUCACUUUGUUCUUUGUUUAUGCAGCCAUCGUUUCUUCCAAGAAGCUUGAACUACAGAAUUCGAGCAAAGGGCCUAAGAAGGUAUGAGAUUUCUUCUUGGAUUGAAUAGUCACUAAAGUGAUUAUGGAAACAGAUUAUAUAUACAUUAUACCUAGGUUGAGUAGAUAUGUUGAGUAGAUAUGGACAUGUUGAGAGGUUUCUUCUCUGUUCAUGCUAAUGCUCUUAUAAUUCUCUAUUGUGUUUCGAUUAGGUCCAGAUCUGCUGGGAUGGUAGUUUUCAACUAUAGGGAUUGCGAUAACACAUCUCAGAAAACUGAAGGUGAGUUCUUUCUCUGUUCUUGGGCAUUUCGAUGUAUGUGUCUCUCUCUCUAUGUUUCUCUAGUUUACUUUUUAUUAUAAAAAAUUCUGUAUUGUCAUGCAGUUAUGGAGAAUUGUUCUUGUCCAUUUUGCGAUAUGCUAUGUGGUAGCUUCAAGGUGCGAAACUAUUACUACUGAGAUUUCUUCCGAGGCCUUCCAUAUUUGUGAAAUGGUGCUGCUGUUUCAUGUCGUAUACUUGCAUAUUUUGUGUUUCGUUGAUCUUCUCACUCUUUUUAACUGACGAGUGUGGUUAUCCGGGAAAACGUGUUCCACUUGAAGCUUACAAUCCAUUGUCUUGUGUCUGUGCAGGGGCUGCAACUUCAUUUAAAUUCAUUUCAUGACUUAUUUGAAUUUGAGUUCGUGGUAUGUGCUUUUUAAUGGAUUUCCUUGUUUUGCUAUGUCUUGUUGUUUUUAUAUGAAAUCAUAGUUAAUAAGGGUCUUUCCUAUUAUAGGUUUCAGAAGAAUACCAGACAGUUAAUGUCUCUGUAAAACUUGAUGCAUUCGGAUUUGAGGUCAGCUACGUUUAAUUUGGUAACUUAGUAAAACCUUCAGGUGGUCAACAUUUUAGUUGAUAUUCCUUCCUUCUUUAUUUCAGGUAGAAGGAAGUCAAGAAGAUAAGUUUGAACCGUUCUCUUUUUGGUAACUUAUCAAAAGCCAACUUUUCAAAACCCCUUAAAUAUCAGCAAAUUCUUUGCUUUUCUUUUCAGUACAUCUCCAUGAACCCAAACAAAAUGUCUUGCAGUUCGAAGCCUCGUCAGCGUACACAAAGAGGUGGUAGAAAAAGGCGACUUAAUGUACGCUUUUUACCAAUGGAUUCACCCAGUUUAGCUAAUGAGACAGAAAAUGGAAACGCACUGCUGAAUGAUGGUAAAAUCUCCUCUUCUCCUUUUGGCUUUGCGCUUCGAAUUUUGGGAGAAGAUAUAGUGUCUUGAUUAUUCGGUUAUUGUACUUCUCCUCUCAUUCUUUUCUCGAGGGAAAUAUUACCAUAACUGAUAUACAAAAUUAAUGGCAUGCUGCAGGAAACCGUGGUUUAGGAAAUCCUGAGUCAACUAAUCUCGCUGGACAAUUUGGGAUGACUAGCAACACUCCACCAGCCAUAGCUCAAUCUUCUCUGGACUCCGAUGGUAAAGCUAUGUUAACAAGCGAAGCUGUGGUGGCCCCUCCUGCUAAGACAAGAAAGUUAUCUGCUGAGCGCUCAGAGGCUAGAAGGUUUGUUCAUCAUGACAGUCAGUUUUAGUAGUUUACCAUUCCUGUUUUUACAACCUGUUCUUCCUAUUAUGAAUUGCUGUUUCCUUAACUGCCAUAUUAACCGGAAAUUUUUCUUUCAGCAACCUACUUCUCCAGAAACGCCAGUUCUAUCAUUCUCACGGAGGUCAGGUGAUUCAAGUUCCUUCACCGACUUAUUUUGCAUGUUAUUUGAAUUGCACCGUUAUCAUAUCCUACCAAAGUAGACUUGUUCCCAAUCCAAGUUACUCUUUCUCAUUAAUAGUUUGUAUCUAUAUCCACGCGAAUAAUGAGAUGUCCAUGUUACUGUUAUAUUGUCACUAACCAAAAACUGCAUGUUUUUGUGACAAAGCCAAUGUCACUUGAGCAAGUGAUGUCUGGUGGAGAUAGUGAAGAUGAAGUUGAUGAUGACGUUGCAGAUCUCGAAGAUCGCCAGGUAUUCCAUGAUUUCUUUCUGAAUUUCAUUUGAUAAACAACGAACAAUGGUGUAUAUGAUGUAGCUUGCUAAUGGCUUUUGAAACUUACAAAAAAGCUGCAGAUGCUUGAUGACUUUGUGGAUGUGAAUAAAGUCGAAAAGAGACUCAUGCACCUCUGGAACACAUUUGUAAGGAAGCAAAGGUAAUACACAUUAAUACACACAUAUGCACAGGUUUACGUGAGAUUCAUGGUAACGAUAUACUGUACAGUAGAAUUGCUUUUGCUAUAGAAUAGGUUAUCUAAUAAUAUAUAGAUGUUGAAUAGAUUGAUCGAUCCACCACUAUUGAUUUUUCUUAUGGAACAUUUUGCUCAAAUCAAAAUAUGAUUAUUUGUUGCAGGAUUCUCGCGGAUGGUCAUGUUCCUUGGGCUUGUGAAGCGUUUUCAAAGUUUCACAAGAGCGAAUUGCUCCAAUGCUUAUCACUCUGCUGGUAAAUCUCUCCAGAAUUAUAUAUGUAUUUAUAUAAUACACCAAGAACAUUUUGUAUACACAAUAACAACAACAUUUGUAUGUUGUUCAGGUGUUGGAGAACAUUUUUGGUCAAACUAUGGAACCAUGGACUUGUCGACGCGAACACCAUCAACAACUGCAAUCUCAUCCUCGAGACUUGCGAUAAUAACUCAGACAACACCAACAAUAACUCAGGCAACACCAACAACACCAACAACACCAACAACAAUGACUCAGACAACACCAACAAAAAUAACAGUGUGGAUCAUCGCGAGGAUAUGGAUGUUGACGACGGUGACAAAAACAGCAAAGACAAGUAAUAGGAAGAUCUCCGAUUCAAAACGACUCCGUUUAUCGAAUUGCAACUUCCAUCUUUUACCAAACAGAGAGAUAUUUAACCUUUUUAGUCUGCUAAUGAUUGCAAUUUUUACUUGGGAAAAUGUAUUCUGCUCAACUUUUAUCAGUUAGAACUUAGAAUGUUAUUCUUCUUGUUUUCUUCUCAUUAAUUCAUAUUUUCUUGUUUAUUCAUUUUAUUUCUCUCAAUGCACUAAUCCUUAGUAGAAAUUCUUAUUUGUGUAGUGAUUUGCUUAGAUGUCAGCUCCACAGCGAGUUUCAGAAUGUUUUGCUUACGUGUCAGCUUUAAAAAAAAAUUUGGCUAUAAAAACACUUACCUUAUUUUUCAAUUAUAUGGCAUUUUUAUUUAUUUUUUAUGAUGUAUUAAAAUAACUUAAAACAAAACGCUCUAAAUUAUUAUGGUUUAAUGUCAAUCAAACCGUUUCUAAAAAUUUUUAAAACCGAAAUUUUGUAAACUAAUGAAAAAAGUAAAAAAAAUAAUAAUAACGGUAUUUAUGAUGUUUAGAUUAGAGUUUUUGAUUUCAAAUCUUUUAGUAUAAAUAUAUACACGAUUUUUCUUUAAUAUUCUCACACCCUUUUAAAUUUUUAAACAUCUUCGUUUUUUGUUGAAUAAAUCCGUACAGUACUUCAGUACUUCAAAUCAUUAUAUUUUUGUUCUAUGAUUGUGAGUAUAUAUAUAGUUUGUAUCCUCGUUCAAAAACCGUAUCAGCCCAAUAGACAAAAAAAAUAUUUAUAGUCAGCAUCAUGUCUUCAAACAUUAAAAUGCAAAAAAACUAACAAGCAAAUAUACUCAAUAAUAAAGAACAGAAACUCAAUGAAUCCAAACUAUUAUUAAAUUUUAAACAAUCAAAUAAAAAAUUAUAUCAGUCUGCGCAAAACGCGAAAAUAUUCACUAAUUCAUUUUAUUUCUCUCAAUGCACUAAUCCCUCAUAGAAAUGCUAAUUAGUGAGAAGAUUUUUAAUUAAUUAGGGUUUACAGAUUAUAGGCAUUCAAAUUAAAUUAUAAGAAAGAAAAAAUUCUAAGGUCCAAUAAGUUCUCCGCUUCCCAUAAUUUUAGGGGAAAUUAGCGCGCGAAACAAAAGAAAUUCGAAAAGUAAAAUAAAUCUCUCAAAUUGCAGAAGCCUAAGUGGUAAGAGAGAGAGAGAGAGAGAGAGAGAGAGAGAGAGAGAGAGAGAGAGAGAGAGAGAGAGAGAGAGAGAGAGAGAGAGAGAGAGAGAGAGAGAGAGAGAGAGAGAGAGAGAGAGAAACACUGACUCUUUCUCAAUUGUACAUGUUAGACCUAUGAGGUCUCCUCAGACAACGAAGAAAUGGAAAAUAAUUCAUCAGUUGGAUUGUUCAAUGACUCAAAGAAAGAAGUGAAAAAAGAAUCAAGCUUCAAGCAGGAACCAGUAUUCUGUGAACCAAGGUGUAGCCCUGGAAUUUCCCGGUACAACCCAAAACUGCAAUUUCCUUUGAAGAACGAAGCUUCUUUACAUGAGCUGACACAGCAACAUAUCCAAGAAACCAUUUCCAUGAGCUCCAGUAGACAAAAGUCUCCAAAAAAGGCCGCUCAGAAGGCUUGUCUAGAUGAAAACCUGGAGUCAGUAGACCAAGAAUCAGAUGACAAGGAAAACCACUGAAACUGGAUUUGUGACGAUGAAAAGGGCGAGAUUCAGAGAAGCAAGAGACAGAUGUUCCAUGACUAAACCAAAUAGAGGAGUUCUAAUGGGGUGUUCGAGAGGUGAAGAGUUAAAGAACAUAGCUGGGGAGGAAGACAAAGAAGAAAGAAAGAAGAAGAGAAGAGUUUUGGGGGAGAUGUCGAAUCACCAGUUCUCUGGAGUCGUGGAGAUUCCAGGAAAAUGGCAUUGCCCUCAGAGAAAUAAAUGGAAAUCAGGUCCACUAUUGAAACAGCUCCGACUUGAUGCAUGGGUACAUAAAGUCUGAGUCUUUAAGAAGGCUUCACGUUUCAUCAACAAUGUAUCAUAUUAUAUCCCUCUCUUUUUGUAGUUUUCCAUAUUAUGCUCAAACUGGUAGAUAACACAAGAGUGGAUCAGACCAAAACUACUAAUUUUCUGUAUUGGCAUGUAGUUAUGGAGAAUUGUUCUUGUCCAUUUUGCGAUAUGCUAUGUGGUAGCUUCAAGGUCGGAAACUAUUCGGAGGCCUUCCAUAUUUAACACAUUUGUGAAAUGCUGCUGCUGUUUCUUGUCGUAUACUUGCAUAUUUUGUGUUAUGUUGAUCUUCUCGCUCUUUUUAAACUGCCGAGUGUGGUUAUCCGAGCAAAAGUGUUCCAAAUGGAGCUUAUAGUUAUAGUUAAUAAGGGUCUUUCCUAUUGUAGGUUUCAAAAGACUACCAGACAGUUAGGGCUUAGAAGAUGUUAUUGGGAGGUUGAUUUAUGAAGAUUUUAAGAAUCUAAAAUUCUAUGGUUAUUGGUUUGUGGAAUUUUACAUUCUUAAUAGAUUCCACUGUUAUUCAUUUACAGAUUAUAAAAAUCUAUUGUUAUUGAUUUGAUGAUUUUUAUAAACUAUCCAAAAUCCAUUGUUAUUCAAAAAGUUUACAUUUUAAUGAUUAUCUGAUUCUGUUAUAAUCUAUUGUUACUGAAUAAUGAUUCUUUACAAUUUAAUUCAUAAAUCAUGAUUCUUAAAAUACUAUUUAUAUCCUUUGGAUUCUCAAGGUCUUGUCAUAUUACAAAUAUUUUGUGGAUUGUUUAAAUCCAAACUCUCUCCAAAUUUUACAAAUCCAACAAAACUCUAAAAAAAUUGACAAAUUUCAUGACUUUUAAAAUCAACUAAGAGGGUGUUAUUGGUUCUAUAUGUUGAAAUCAACUCCAUUAGAAUGGAGUAGAUCAGAUUUUAAAUUUUUUUAAUUUAUUUAGAAUCUAUUAUAUAUGAGUUGUUUAAAAUUUUAAAUUACUUAGUAGUGUAUUUAGAAAGUCACAUGAUAUCAUUUAAAAUAUAAUAGAAUAGAAUUCUCAAUAAAUUUUAGAUUUAAAAAGAUCAAAGAAAAAAACAACCUAUAAAACACAUACGUAACAAAAAAACCAACAUAAAAAAUGCAACCUAAGAAAAAAAAAAAACACAUUCACUCUGUAUUGGUUUGAAUCCAUCCUAAUUUUCUUCCACUGACAUACUAACAAAAACGUCUUGUAUUCUCGAAUGGAGAAGGGAAAAAGAUAUGUGCGAGGAAAAAUAGAGAAAUGGACCAGGGAAAAGUCAAAAAUGGAGAGAAAAGAAAAAAUAGAGGGAAAAGAGAGUAACAUAAGGUUAAUAAUUUUAGAAUUAUAUUUUAGAAUUAUCAAAAUCUGAAGGUAAAAUGUUAGAUUUUGAUUGCUACAUUUAACACAUAAAAAUAGUUUAACUCUUUCACCUAAAAUCAGUUGUAAGAGUCGGUUAAACUUGAAUAACAUAAGAUUUUAACUGACUUAUUCAACUCUUUUAAUUGAAUAACAAUGGAUUUUCAAACUCUAUUAAUGGAGAGAUUAUAAAUACAUGAAUCAAAAUCUUUGAAUUUUUAUAAAGAAAUAAAAUCAAUGGAUUUAGACUUUAUUAAAAACCAUGAUUGAAUAAAAAUCUUUAUAAAUCUAACUCUCAAUAACCCCACAUUAAUGUCUCUAUGCAUUCGGAUUUGAGGUCACCUACGAUAAAUUUGGUAGCUUAGUAAAAUCUACAGCUGGUCAAUUUUAGUUGAUAUCCUUCCUUUUUGAUAUCAGGUAGAAGCAAGUCAACAAGAUAAGUUUGAACCGUUCUCUUUUUGGUAACUUAUCAAAAGCCAGACUUUUCACAACCCCUUAAAUAUCAGCAACUCCUUUGCUUUUCUCUUCAACUCAUCUCCUUUGCAUUUCUUUUCAAUUCAUCUCCUUUGCUUUUCUUUUCAACUCAUCUCCUUGAACCCAAACAUAAUGUCUUCCAGUUCCAACCCUCAUCAGCAUACACAAAGAGGUGGUAGAAAAAGGCGUCUUAAUGUACGCUUUUUACCGAUGGAUUCACCCAGUUUAGCUAAUGAGACAGAAAAUGGAAACGCACUGCUGAAUGAUGGUAAAUUCUCCUCUUCUCCUUUUGGCUUUGCGCUUCAAAAAUUUUAGGAGAAGAUAUACAGUGUCUGAAUUAUUCGGUUAUUUUAAUGGCAUGCUGCAGGAAACCGUGGUUUAGGAAAUCCUGAGUCAAGUAAUCUCGCUGGACAAUUUGGGAUGACUAGCAACACUCCACCAGCCAUUGCUCAAUCUUCUCUGGACUCUGAUGGUAAAGCUAUGUUAACAAGCGAAGCUGUGGUGGCCUCUCCUGCUAAGACAAGAAAGUUAUCUGCUGAGCGAUCAGAGGCUACAAGGUUUGUUCAUCAUGACACUCAGUUUACCAUUCCUGUUUAUAAAUCAAAAGCUGUUCUUCCUAUUAUGAAUUACUUAACUGCCAUAUUAACCGGGAACUUUUCUUCCAGCCACCAACUUCUCCAGAAACGCCAGUUCUAUCAUUCUCGCACAGGCCAGGUGAUUCAAGUUCCUUGGACGACUUAUUUUGCAUGUUAUUUGAAUUGCACGUUAUAAAAUACUAUCAAAGUAGACUUGGUCCCAAUUCCAUGUUACUCUUUCUCAUUAAUAGUUUGUAUUUAUGCUACUGUUUGUAUCCACGCGAAUAAUUUCGAUGUCCAUGUUGUCACUGUUAUAUUGCCACUAACCAAAAAAACUGUUGCAUGUUUUUGUGACAAAGCCAAUGUCACUUGAGCUGGCAAUGGCUGAAGAAGAUAGUGAAGAUGAAGUUGAUGAUGAGGUUGCAGAUCUCGAAGAUAGCCAGGUAUUCCAUGAUUUCAUUCUGAAUUUCAUUUAAUAAAUAAUGAACAAUGAUGUAUGAUGUAGCUUGCUAAUGGCUUUUGAAACAGAUGCUUGAUAAUUCUGCGGAUAACACUAAAGUGCAGAAAAGGUUCAUGUACAUUUGGAACACAUUUGUAAAGAAGCAAAGGUAAGACACUUUAAUACAAACAUAUGCACAGGUUUACGUGAGAGUCAUGCUAACUAUAUACAAUAGAAGAAUUGCUUUUGCUAUAGAAUAGGUUAUCUAAUAUAUAGAUAUUGAAUAGAUUGAUCGACGAUCCACCACUAAUGAUUUUGGUUAUGGAACUUUUGCUUAAAUCAAAAUAUGAUUUUUGUUAUGGAACAUUUUAUGCUCAAAUCAAAAUAUGAUUUUUUGUUGCAGGAUUCUCGCAGAUUGUCAUGUUCCUUGGGCUUGUGAAGCGUUUACAAAGUUUCACAAGAUCGAAUUGCUCCAAUGCACAUCACUCUGCUGGUAAAUCUCUCCAGAAUUAUAUAUGUAUUUAUAUAGUACACCAAGAACAUUUUGUAUACACAAUAACAACAACAUUUGUAUGUUGUUCAGGUGUUGGAGAACAUUUUUGGUUAGACUAUGGAACUAUGGACUUGUUGACGCGACCACCAUCAACAACUGCAAUACGUUCCUCGAGACCUGCAGAAAUAACUCACGCAACACCAAAAACAAGAACAGUGUGGAUCAUCGCGAGGAUAAGGAUGCUGACGUAAACAUUAAUAACGAUAUGGAGGUUGACGACGGUGACAAGAACAGCAAAGACAAGUAAUAGGAAGAUCUCCGAUUCAAAAACGACUCCGUUUCUCGGAUUGCAACUUCCAUCUUUUACCAAACAGAGAGAUAUUUAACCUUUUUAGCCUGCAACUGAUUGCAAAUUUUACUUGGGAAAAUGUAUUAUGGUCAACUUUUUAUCAGUUAAAACCUACAAAUAAAACUUUUUAUUAGUUAUAACUUAAAAUGUUAUUCUUCUUGUUUUUUUCCAAAUUAAAUUCGUCUUUCUUGUAUAUUCAUUUUAUUUAUCUCAAUGCACUAUUCCUUAAUAGAAAUGCUAGUUAGUGAGAAGAUCUUUAAUUAGACCAUUAAUGUUUGCAUGGUUUUUAGAUUUUGGUUUUUGGUUUUUGAUUUUUCUGUAAAUUUUAGGUUUUAAGAAACUGGAAUGGUGAAUUAUUUUAGUUUUUGGAUUAGAAGGAAAAAAUUUGCAAAAAAAAAUAAAAAUAAAAAAUCUCAGCAAUUAAUGGGAAAACCCCAUAUAUGUUCUAGGCCUUGAUUGUUUGCAGUUUUUGGAACAGAUUUUUAUUUUUAUUUUUUCAAAAACCAAUUUUUCAUCCAAUCAUGAUUUUGGUUAAAGGGAUUCCCUAAUUUUUAUAAAAACUAGAUUUUCUACUGAUUUACCAAUUCCUACAUAGAUAUUUUUUUUCAUUAAUUGCUGAGAUUUUUUAUUUUUCUUUUUGCAAAUUUUUUUCCUUCUAAGCCAAAAACCAAAAUUUAAAAAUAAUUCAAACAUUCAUGACCCUAGUUUUGAUUUUUUGAUUCUAGUUUCUACGUAGGAAUUGAAAAAACUAUGGAAAAUCUAGUUUUUCUAAAACUUAGGGAAUACUUUUGAUCAGAAUCAAAAACUUGGUUUUUUUAAAAAAAAAAACAAUUACCAAAAUCUGUUCCAAAAACUGCAAAGUAGGGUUUAGAUUAAGAUUAUAGGCAUUCAAAUUAUAAGGCCCAAUGCCGUAAGAAAAAAAAAAAUUAUAAGGUCCAAUAUUAUAUUUAGUUUUCCGCUUCGCAUAAUUUGAGGGAAAAUUAGCGCGCGAAACCAAAGAAAUUCGAAAAGUAAAAUAAACCUCUCAAAUUGCAGAAGCCUGAGGGGUAAAAGAAAGAUUGAGAGAGAGAGUGUGAGACGGAGUACAGAGCUCUAAUGGAGGAAUUUAUCUCGCUGGUACUUUUGUAUAACCUACUUUCUGAUUUUUGGUGAAUUUGUUGAGAUUUCGAGUUUAUAAUUUCUUUUUAUUAACUGAAAUCUCCGAUUAAUCUUUCUGGCAGGAACCUGGAUACUCCGAUUCGCCAUCUCCCAUUUCCGGUGAGUAAUUAAUUACUGGGGUUUAAUUAUCAUACGCCUUAAUUGCAAUUCUGACAUUUCUGGGUAUUGAUUUCCUACAGAACCACCAGAUAUUACGAACUGGUUUUCCAGUUAUGUCUAUGAAUCGUUCCAAUUGAGUUCUUCAGUAAAAGAAAGUGAAAGCGAACUAAAUCAGUUUUCUGUUGGAGAAGAACAAGAAAAUCUUGGCGUUGCUGUUCCCGAAAUCAGAUCUCCUGAGAAAUUUGUCUCGAACAAAGAUCAUAAGCCUAUGUACAAGAAGAUGAAACAGGUAGUAAUAUCUCACACAUUGCAGGUUUUAGGGUAUUCGAUUUUGUUAGAACGCUUUUAAUUCAUUUUACUUUUGGGCAGAUUUCAGAUACGACUCUCAAUGAAUCACUUCCUUCUGGUAAAUCCUCUUGUUAAACUUAUGGGGAAUAUGGAAAGUCUCUUAGCUGUUGAUGAGAUUAUGUUGUAACCUAAGCUUGUUUGCUUCUCAGAACCUCUUGAUAUACGUAAUUGGUUCUCGAGCUACGUCUAUGAAUCGCCGGUGCUGGAUACAAGUGAUGGUCUUGAAUAUUCGAUUCCUGGAGAGAGUGAACGUGUAAAGGAGACGCAAACAGAAGAAGAGGCAACAAAAAUUGAUGGAAACGAUGUUUGUCCUAGGUUAUCUGAGCAAGAACUUGCCUCUUUUGCAAAGGUCUUGCUAUUAAACUCCUGACUUUUUACUUUUUAUGCCAUAGUUACAUCAGCUGGUUUUCUAAUAUAAAUAAUAAAUCUGUGUUCUCUUAGCUCUUAUUGUUUCUCAAUCUGGCUGACGAAUUAGUCUGUUUGCAGGUUUCAGAUUUCUCUCAGUCGCAGUCUGUUCUUUCGGGUGAGUAAAGCCAGUUGUUUGUUACAUAUAAUGUUACUAUCUGUUUGCUUUGAUGAAAUGUGUUAUUAAUAAGUUGUCUCAGGAUUAUAGUUAAGUACGCCAGAAGUUGAAUCUUACUUGUUUUAUCAGAGCCUCCUGAUGUCAGAAACUGGUUUCCCAGCUAUGAGUAUCAAUCUCCUCAGCUUACAGAUACUCAUGAACUUGAAUUUCAUUCUUCUGGGAAAGACCAAUUAAUCAUUAACGAGAGUGACACAGAGGAAGAAACUAGCUGUGGUAUUUUCCGAAAAACUAUGAGCAAGCAAGAGAAUGUUUCUACUAGCAAGUUAAGUUCAGAUGACUGCAAGGAAAACAUAGCUGCAGACACGGUAGGUCAUGUUCUUGAACCUUCUAGACAAAGGGAAAUCAUUGUAGUUUAAAGAAAGAUGACUCUGGGGAUCACAACAAAUUAUAUUAAACCAGUUGUCAGUUAUUAUCGCACAGUUUAGUUUUGGCUUUUAAUUCUGUGUUCUCUCGCUGACUUUUUCUCAAUUGCACAGUUUAGUUUUGGCCUUUAAUUCUGUGAGCUCUCACUGACUCUUUCUCAAUUGUACAUGUUAGACCAAUGAGGUCUCCUCAGACAACCAAGAAAUGGAAAAGAAGUCAUCAGUUGGAUUAUUCAAUGACUCAACGAAAGAAGUGAAACAAGAAUCAAGCUUAGAGCAAGAACCAGUAUUCUGUGAACCAAGGUGUAGUCCUCGAAUUUCCCGGUACAACCCAGAGCCGCAAUUUCCCUUGAAGAACGAAGCUUCUUUACAUGAGCUGAGACUGCAACAUAUCCAAGAAACCAUUUCCAUGAGCUCUAGUAGACAAAAGUCUCCAAAAAAGACCGCUCAGAAGGCUUGUCUAGAUGAAAACUUGGAGUCAGUAGACCAAGAAUCAGAUGACAAGGAAAAUGCUGACAGGAAAAGCACUGAAACUGGAUUUGUGACGAUGAAAAGGGCGAGAUUCAGAGAAGCAAGAGACCGAUGUUCCAUGACUAAGCCAAAUAGAGGAGUUCUAAUGGGGUGUUCGAGAGGUGAAGAGUUAAAGAACAUAGCUGGGGAGGAAGACAAAGAAGAAAGAAAGAAGAAGAGAAGAGUUUUGGGGGAAAUGUCGAAUCACCAGUUCUCUGGAGCCGAGGAGAUUGCAGGAAAAUGGCAUUGCCCUCAGAGAAACAAAGGGAAAUCAGGUCCACCAUUGAAACAGCUCCGACUUGAUGCAUGGGUACAUAAAGUCUGAGUCUUUAAGAAGGCUUCAGGUUUCAUCAACAAUGUAUCGCAUUCUUUCCCUCUCUUUUUGUGUUUUUCCAUAUUAUGCUCAAACUGGUAGAUAACACAGACCGGAUCAGACCAAAACUAAUUCAUUUAGAUUCCUUUUAAAUACACUAUUUGAAACCCGAACCGAAACCCCCAAAAAAACCUGAAUCAGAUCCAAGAACAUUCGUAUUUGGAUAAGCAUUGACCAUUGAGUACUAAACAAAGAAAAGACAUAAAGCCUUCUUUUUUCAAAGGGAAGGUUUUUUUACCUAAACUGCUUGCACCGGGGCAAAAAACAAAAUACAACAGUUCAUAAAUUAUUUCUGGACCCGGAGAAGUUUUUCUUCAGACUCUGCAUUUUUUAGCUAAAAAAGGAAAAAGGUUUUUAAAAAUCAAAACUUUGGAGGGUUCACGGGUCAGAUACGGUGAAGAUGAGCUUCUUCAAGUAUCUCCGCCGAGACAGUUUGCUCCAAUUAGCCGGAUUACCAUCUCUCAGCCGAAACUGCAUGCAUCAGACCUGCCGGUCUCUCAUCAUUGAAACCGCUCCGCCUGAAUCUGUCAAGCUUAACCGUCUCUCUGGUUCCGAUUCUGGUAAUUUUACUUUUCAUUUUUUCCUUAUCGAAUUGGUGUGUUUUAUGGGUUCUAUUUGUUUCAGCUUAACUGUAAUGGCUUUUGCUGAGCAAUUUGAGUAGUUCCUUGUAUCUGUUAGGGUUCAUUAAUACCCUUUUUUCCUGGGUUGAUUGUGUUCGACUUCUCUCUGUUAUGCUGUUUGUUUCUCUAGCUAAACCGUUAGUCACCAGUUCUUAUUAUUUCUGGUAAUUUGAUCUCGUCCUGAAAAUAUUUGUUCAUUUAGUUUCUUAUUUGAAGUUUGAAUGUCUGAGCAUAGUUAUUGUCUGAUCAAUGUGUCGUUUCUCUAAUGUUCUGGUGACUUUUUGAGUUUACACCUAAUCAUUGCAGAAAUAGAAAUCACAUGAAGGAAAGAUGACAAAUGCACUAGUGUGUAUAUGUAUUACAGGGAUUAUCGAGGUCAAUCUAGACAGGCCUGUGGCCAAAAAUGCCAUUAAUAAGGAGAUGCUGAAAAGUCUCCAGAACACAUUUGAGACCAUACAUCAGGAUAGUUCCGCUAGGGUUGUGAUGAUCAGAAGUCUGGUUCCAGGAGUUUUCUGUGCAGGUGCAGAUCUGAAGGUAGUUUUCCCACUGUAAUUUCUUCUGGAAUGUUGGCAUUCAAUAUGCUAGCCAUGUUUGAAAAUCUCUGUUUUUCUUUAUUUGUUGUGAUGUCAGGAACGUAGAACUAUGAGUCCAUCUGAGGUUCACACAUAUGUCAACUCGUUGCGCUACAUGUUCUCGUUCAUUGAGGUACUAUGCUCAUAUAUCCUUGUUGGUUCUCAUAGAUUAGAUUAGCUGCUACCCUCAUUCGUGAAAAGAUUGUUCGGUAAAGUUAAUUGUCAAUUUAAGUAUGUUUGGCAUUAAUCUAUACAAAGUUUCUCAUCAAAUCGUUAGGAAGAACUUCUACAUUUGUAGACUUAGCUUUACUUUCUCAGGAUUCGGAAUUUAAUUGUCUUUAAUAUUACAAAACAGAAGAGAUAUGGAUAGUGCUUUUUUAGGGAUAUAUGAAAAUUAUUUGAAGUACUUGUUUAAUUAUUCUCCGCCCGAGCUUCAUGUAUUCUUUUAUUUCCAUGUAAAAGCUUUAGGAUUUGAGUCUUCAUGAGAUUGGCAUAUGCUAUAGUGACUUUGAAGACUUUUGUUUUCUAGGCACUGAGUAUCCCUACUAUUGCUACAAUAGAAGGUGCAGCACUGGGAGGUGGACUUGAAAUGGCUCUAUCCUGUGAUCUUCGAAUCUGUGGUAAUUUUUUCAUAUCUUGUUAAUUUUUUUUAAUUGUAAUCUACAUGCCAAGAUGAGAAAUUAUUGUAAUACUCCGAAUUUUUUUCAGGCGAAAAUGCAGUAUUUGGCUUGCCUGAAACAGGGCUCGCUAUAAUCCCUGGGUACAGAAUAAGCUUCAUUACUCUUGAUAAAAAGAUUCUCUUAUCAUCACCCUUUCUAUUAGUGUUGUGAUGAUUUCUUUCUCUUGGCUAUUAAAGGGCUGGUGGGACACAGAGGCUCUCGAGGCUGGUUGGGAGAUCGGUAUCAAAGGAACUCAUAUUCACAGGUCGAAAGAUUGAUGCAAGAGAAGCUGCACACACAGGUCUUUGACUAUUAAAGUUGCAUUUCUCAUAAUGAUUCGUGAUCUUGUUUUUUGAUAUAUACUUAGAUAAAAGAUGAUUCAUAUGCUCUCUUUUGUGUGUGUGUGUGUGUGUGUGUGUGUGUGUGUGUGUGUGUAUGUUGCAGGGCUUGUGAACUUUUGUGUUACGGAGGGUGAGGCUCAUAAGAAAGCAAUUGAAAUUGCUCAGCAGAUAAAUGAAAAAGGUCCAAUGGCUAUAAAAAUGGCGAAGAAAGCGAUUGAUGAAGGAAUAGAGACGAAUAUGGCUUCAGGUUUGGAGGUAGAAGAGAUGUGUUAUCAGAAGCUUCUUAAUACCGAAGAUCGUCUUGAAGGAUUAGCUGCUUUUGCUGAGAAGCGUAAGCCUUUUUACACUGGCAAGUAAAAGAUCUUUAUCUAUUUAAUUUCAAAAAACCGGGGGAGAUUACCAUUGAAUUGGAUGUUAAUAACCGGGGAUAGUUUCGGAUCACAUAAUGUGUAUGACACAGAAAAGAAGGAAAUAAAUAUCACUGUUAGUGUUCGUGCAUUCAUGGACUUGAUAAUUGGUUAUACUUUUUGCAUAUAUUUUAAGCUAAUGGAACGUUUACUUGAACUUUGUUUCAUAAGUUUUAAUUACCCAUACGUCAUCUGAUCUCUAGUAGUUGCAGAAAUGUUAUUUGCAGUGUUAAUAUAUCUAAUAACUUUGCUAAGCAACGUUGUGCAUAAAAGUAUUAUACACACUAUUUCCUUGAAAGAUUUGAAAGUCUAAAAGUAAAAAUGGGAAAAAAUGGUUUGGAGUCAGUAAAAGUAGCCGACCAGUGAUCCACCGACCCAUCAAAGUGGUGCCAAAAUGAUGUGUUGAUGAUUAGACUCUUUUUCCAAUUUGACGUGUCAAAGUUAUCUCAGUGAUUCUUGACUAAAUCAUAAACACUGAAUUUGCAUGAAAAAACUAAUGUUUCUAUUUAUCAAAACAAAAUUAUUAAGAACCAUUAUAUUUUAGUGAUUAAAUCAACAAUGCAAAGAUUAUGGACACUCGUAACUCUAAGCGAUAGGAAUUUAUUUAUGGAAUAGUGUAGCACUUAUAAAUAACUGUUAACCUAAAAUCAAUAAAUAGCUGAGGUUUAAAAUCAGUGAAGACUAAAUUAUAAUGAAUUCAAAAACAAUAAACUUCAACAACAUAAGAAUAGGAUAAAUUCGGUUCUUGUUAUUCCUUUUAUGGAUUUUAAAGUUCAUUAUAUUCAAAAGGUAUAGAUGCUUUGUGGACAAGUUCGGUCUUGAUGAAAGAAAAAGAAUCGUUACUAGUAUUUAUUAGUCUUCUCAGGUCCGGUGAACAAAAUCAAAUGUGUUAGAUCUAGUACUUAAGUGUCUUAUUUUUUUAAAAACAUUGAUUUUGUUAGUAAUAGUUGUUUACUUUAAUGUUUUAAGACAGCUGCUACGUAAGAAGAAAGCUUUAGCGUAACCAGACCAAAAGAAGGGAAUCCAGAUUCUUCCGGGGUCAUAUGCCUACGCGACCUCUGCGAUAUUCUUUAAAUGAUCAAUUAAUUACCCCUUAAUUAUUCUACACUUAACACUUAACAAGUUUUAUAAUCUGCUCCCUUUUCUGCAUUACCCGACCAAGAUUAUCGGGUUCAUAAUUUUUGGCCUUGUUACGAAAUUGUAUUUUCGAAAUGACUGUGUUUUCAUUUUAACCAAGUCGAUAACUUUCAAGUGGGGAUUCUUGGGUUCGAAUCGCUUUGGCCACCUAACCGCAUUUUAAAUUUGGAAUAUUUUCGAACGCGUACUUGGAUGCAAGGCCUCAUACUCGGAUGCAAGGCCUCGUGAAAUUAGUCUUUGAGCCUAGAAAACCUUUGAAAUCCCAUUAUUAAAUUAAAAAAAAAAAUGACUGUGUUUUCAUACUUACGCUUAACAUUAUAGCAAAAAAACAAGAAAAAGAAUUUUAACUGAUAUAUCAGAUACUCUACUUUGCCCUAUAUACUAUAUGGAAAAUUUCUAAGUAAAUUUUGUUUUUUUUUUUUUAAGUGAAUUUAUACUUUCUAUGUCUAUCCGUCUCAUAGAUACUACACACUUUUCAACCCAAAUAUGAGUUUUAUUUAGAUUUUAAACUUCUUAUAACUAAGUAAUAUAAGUUUUAGUCUGAUUUGAAAUGAUAUAAUUCAUUAUUUGAUAAAAUUACUAAUAUGUUAUUUAAAAAAUACUCUGUUUUUAUUUGUUCCAUUAUAUUAAGUAAAGCAAUUUCUAUGGACUUUUGUGUUAAGACCAAACGAAUCUAAAUGGUAUAUAUUUUUUUUAAAGUAUCUUAAAUUUCGUCUAAUUUUUAAAAAUAGUUAUAUUUUCCAUUUUUUAAUUUUUGUAUUCAUACAUUAUGUCCAAAAUAUAUUGAAUUCCGAUAAUAAUAAUAUAACAGUAAUAUAAACACCACAAAACUACAAAUUUUCAAUGUAACAUUUGGAUCUUAAAACCGUAUCAAUUUUUAAUAGGGAUAGCGAUUCUCCAAUCGCUGUCAAUCUUCAUAAAUAACGUUAGAAUUAGGUGAUUAACUGUACUAUGUAUGAAAUAAAUAUUAAUUAUAAUUUUUUUAUUCGAAUAUAUAAAUAUAAUGUAUAUAAAUACAACUAUAGAAAUAUUAGCUGAUAUUAAAUGUCGUUUAAAUUUUAAAAAUAGUUAUACCAUCCUUUUUUUAAUUUUUGUAUUCAUACACUACAUCCAAAAAUUGAAUUCCAAUAAUGAUAUUAUAACGGCACAUAUAAACACCACAAAACUACAAACUUUCAAUGUAACAUUUGGAUCUUAAAACUAUAUCAGUUUCAAGUAGUGAUAGUGAUUCUCCAAUCGCUGUCAAUCUUCAAAAAUAACGUUAGAAUAGUAUUAGAAACCAAAACUAUUGGGAGUGAAUUCACACAUCAACUUGGAUUUCAGAUUUUGUUCUCUUCAAUCUCUUUUUUUUUCUUCUUACAUUUUCAAAAAAUAACAAAAGAAAGAAAAAAAAAAAAAAAGCAGAACUUAACCUCUAAGUCUUAGCAUUUCCACUAUUAACUUCUUCCAAAUCCUCUUUCAUCACCAAACUAAAAGAACCUUUACGACACUCACUUUCUCUCUGAUGGUGGAAGCAAGAAGCUCCAAGAAAACCCAAUUGGGUAAUAAAGAAGAUCAUAACCCUAGAAAAUUCUACUCUCGAUUCCUCUUCAAAGCUCUACUCCUCGCCGUUUUUUGCGCCAUCGUACCGAUCUUCCUUUCUCAGACGCCGGAGCUCGCUAACCAAACCGGACUCCUCGAGCUUCUCCACCUGAUUUUCGUCGGCAUCGCCGUCUCUUACGGCCUCUUCAGCAGCCGGAACUAUGACGGAGGAGGAGGAGACGGAUCAAGCAAUAACGAUCACAAAGCUGAUCAUAAUAAUACUAACUCGCAUUCCUAUGUGCCUAAGAUUCUUGAAGUAUCCUCUGUUUUCAACGUUGAUCAAGAGAGUGAAUCUGAGCCGUCCGAUGAUUCCUCCGGCGACCACCGUAAGUUUCAGACAUGGAGGAACAAGUACCACAUGAAAACCCCCGAUGUUGUUCUUUCCAAAGAUCACGAGACUCGUUUCGUCGAUCGAGUUAGUUCUGAAAUCAGAGAAAAGCCUCUGCUUUUGCCUGUUCGCAGCUUGAAUUAUUCGCGGGUUUCUGAUUCCGGCGAUCACUCCGGUCGAUGGGAGAAAGUGAGAUCAAAGAGACAACUCCUCAAGAGUCUCGUUGAUGAUAACAGUGAUGUGCUUCCUUCACCGAUUCCAUGGAGGUCAAGAUCAUCUUCAUCAUCAUCAUCUUCAAAAGAGAUCGAAUCUCAGCCGUCGGUUAAGAAGCUGGGUACAGUUGAAUCACAGCCGUUGAUCAAGACUCAGGCGAAUCUGACACCAUCUUCCUCUUUCUCUUCUUCACCGAGAAAGUCGACGCCUUUACCUAAGCCCACAUCAGAGUCUGGAGCGAAAUCGGCGGAAAUCGUGAAAAGGCAGGAAUUUCUCGAAUCACCGUCACCUCCUCCUCCACCGCCGCCUCCGCCGUUACCGGCGUUUUAUAACUCGGCGUCGAGAAAGGAUUAUCCUCACGGAAUUUACAGGACUGGAUCAAGAGAAUCAGCUCACAAGACGAAAUUUACAGGCGGUGAGUUUCAUCCUCCGCCGCCUCCGCCGCCACCACCUCCGGUGGACUAUUACAAGUCGCCUCCGACAAAAGUCAGAGUAAGCAGCAGCGAACGGAGAAAAUCGUCGGAGCAAAAGAUGAAAUUGGAUGACUAUUCAGAAAAAAGAAACUCUCCUAAAAAGGUUUGGUGGUCUGAUCCAAUCGUGGAAUCGAAGGAACAUAGAAUUAUCAGACAAGACACGGAGAAGAACGAUCGAAGAAGUUUCUUGGGAAGCAAGGCGAUUGAGGAAUCGGAGGAUGAAGAACAUAAAAGAGAAGAAAACGAAACCCACGACGAUGAUGAGAAGAAGAAGAUAGAAGAGGAAGAAGAAGUUAGUGGGAACAACAGUGACGUGGACAAGAAGGCUGAUGAGUUCAUUGCCAAGUUCAGAGAACAGAUUAGGUUACAAAGAAUCGAAUCCAUCAAGAGAUCUGCUAAUAAGAACUCUGUCAAUUCUUCGAGGUAGAACGUACGUAUUUAUAAAUAUUUAAGAACGUAAAGAGUAGAAAACAUUUUCAAUUUACUCUGGUUAUCAUCAUAAGAUUGUAAUUUUAAGGGGAAGAAGACAUAUUUUUGUUAUCUUUGUUCUUCAGACAGAACAAAAUAGGAACUUGGAACUCAGAUUGAUUACCUCUCUUUCUUGUUUCUGGAUUUUCGCAUGAAAGACUUUUUAGUGUCAUAAUAACAUUUAGUGUUGGGCUAAGUGGGUGGAUAAGAAGUGGCCCAAAUGGCAUAUAUUCAGCCCAUACUCAUGUAAAGGACAACAAGGGACUGUAUGACAGUAUGAGUAUGACCAUAUAUGGUAAUCUCCUCGUCAGUUGUAAGUUGAAAACAUACAAACACACCAGCAGAUUUGGGCCCAUACAUGUAUUUUGAUUAAUUCAACUAGUCGUUGUUAGUUGGGUGAAAGUAAGCGCCUUUGAUUAAUUCUUGUUUGUUUGGGUGAAACUGAGAUGAAUAUUAUCAGGCCCCAAGCUAUACUAGUUCAAAACCUCAAACACAAGAUUAUUUUUAGUUAGAUCCUUUUUUAACUAAAGUUGCAUUCAUUGUAAAAACAGUUUUUUUUUUGGGUUCGAAAAUACUUUUAUAUUCAAUUCAAAAAAAAAAAAUAUAUAUAUAUAUAUAUAUAUAUAUUAUCAGAUCCCAAAACUCUUGAUUUAACCAAUAACUAGAUUUUACCCCGUGCAUCCGCACGAAAUUUUUUUUAGUCAAAAAUUGUAACAUAAUUUAUGUUUUCUUUAUAGAUUUAUUUUUUCUAAUAAGUGACAGAAAUUUACUUUUGCAUUUAAUUAUAAUUUUUUUUAAUUUUUUUUAGUAUUAUUAUGAUCACUAUCAUAAAAUCAUAAUUCUAACCCGAUCAUUUUAUUAACUGAAAAAUAACUAUUAUUAUAAAAAUAUAUUUCUAAGUCGUUCAUUUAUUAAUCCGAAAAGAAUCAUGGUUAAAAGACCAUAAUUCUAACCCACCUGUUUAUAUUACUAUAUAAUAUAAAUAUUUACUAAUUUUAAAAUAAUUUUUAUCUUAAUAUUCUGCAUGUUUUGAUAACAUAAUCCGUAUAAGAGCACAAUUAUAAAAAAUACAUAACUCAUCCCAUCAAAUUACUAUAUAAUAUUAAUAUUUAUCAUUUUUCAAUGCGUGAAAUUUUAGUUUGAUUGAAUAUGAUUGGACAAAAAUAAUUUGUUAAUCAUAUAUGUGUUAUUUUGAAAUUAUUUAAAUUUUAAAUGUUAAAUCAAAUCUAACAUAUAUUAAAAAAAUUAUAGAGUAAUUUUAAUUAAUAUCUAUUUUUCAAAAAAUAAAUAGUUUAAAAUUUAAAGCAAAUAUGAUGUAUAUUUAAAGAAAUCUUUAGAUAUAUAAACUAAUAUCAAUUUUUCAGAAUAAAAUUUAUAUAUAAAAAUAUGUUUUUAAAAUAAUAUUGCAAUAAAAUAAGAUAAUCUUAAAACAGUUUCUAAACAAUUUUUUUUAAAAAAAAAACUUUGAGAGUGUUUGGAUGCAAGCACUAAAAGUGCUUCUGUUUUAAUAGAAUAUCUUUUCAUAGUAAAUACUUGAACGCUUAAAUUUAAAGGAAAAAAAAAAGAGUAAAUGUGUUAAUCAGACCCCAAGAUCAAAUACAUAAAAAUGUUUGUUAUGCACUGACCAAAGAAAUUGUUAUUCACCAAGACUAGAAUCGGCUCCUUUAACCCGUGGAGCCAUCGGGUUUGCAUUGGCCAAGAAAUACUUGGAUAAGAUAGACAUGGUAACAAGUAAAGAGCUGAAGUUAAGUUGUCGAGACACCGUAGAAAGAAAGUAGUGGUUCCAAAUAGAAGAAAUCGCGGAUGCGUCAGAAUAUACAAUAAAACUUCUAUAAAUUAAUAAUGUCGGGACCACGAUAUUUUAUUAAUUUAUCGUAAUAAUAAUUUAUCUAUAAAUUAAUAAAUUAUUAAUUUAUAGAGGAAAAUUAUUCUUCGUCCAUUUUUUUCUUAAAUUUUCUUUCAUUGGUGCUAUAUUUAAGAAUCUAAACCCAUAUGCUUAUAAAAUAAUAUGCACAAACUUAAAAUUAUGAUUAAUAAUCAUAGCAAUCGCAAUAGAAUAGUUAUUUCUAUUUGUUAAUUGUGAACUGGAUUAUCUAUGUAAGAAUAUAAAUGUUCAUUAGUACAAAAUUUAUAAAACAUUAUGGCUACUAUCCUUAACGUUGGUGCUGAAACUGAAGACAAUACCUAAUAUAUUUCAAAACAGUUACGCUAAAAAAAUCAAUAUCACAUCUAAAGUUUUAAAAAAUAACAUUAUAUAAAAGAUAUUGAUGUAAACAAGUAAAGAGAUGAUUUUCAAUAAAAUAUCAAAUUUAAAUAAAUUCAAAUAACAUAUUAAUCAUAUUUUAGUAUAUAUUAUCUUACCUAUAUAUACAUAAAUUUAUAUAAUUAUUAAUUUAUAUUUUUGUUGGGACCAUAUUUUUACAAAGGGGUUUCUAAUAAAAUUAUUAUCUUAUUAUCUUAUCGAAUUUGACGGAUUUUUACACUAGUCCCGACUCGGGACCAGAGAAAUUUAUUAAUUUAUAGUGAUUAUUAAUUUAUCGAGUAUUAAUUUAUAAAAGUUCAACUGUAUUAAGUUACAAAUUAGCAGUAUGCACAUUGCAUACAGAUGUUUUUUUUUGUCGUCCAAUGAUAACAUAUAGAUAUAUAUAUAUAUAUAAACCUGUUUUAGAAAGGCCAUAUAACUUUACAUAGAGCAGAAACAUUGUUGAUAAUGAGGUAAGUCGGUGAAAAAUUCAAGAACUUGAUUUAAGUUUAGAACUAUAUGGAGAUAAACUUUCACUACACACUUAAUGCUACCACCUAGCCGAUCAACCAUCUCGUGGGCCUCUUGGCCAUGGAAAGUCGAUCUUGAAUAGACCAACAAAGAUCUUCUCAUUUUAACUAUUAACAACAACAACAAUUGCUGAAUAUAUUAGAAAUUUCAACUAUUUUAACUUACUAUUUAAUAUUUUUAACAUUAUCGCUUAUGCCAAGUGAAAUGAUAUAAGACCAUUAUAUUUUGUUUAAAACGUACUUGUCUGUUUGUCACUAGACACUAAUCUAUUCUAUUCAACAAAUCUUAUUUUUGAUAUUCAACAAAAACAUUUAAUUCUGAUAGUUGUCGAAAAUAAAUAUGGGACAAUAAAUAUUGCAGCAAAAAAAACUAUGGAAACUCUUUCAAGCAAUAAAUGUAUAUCGGAUAAUUGGCUGUCAACAUUUGUUGUUACUUGUUAGCAUGAACACGAUGGUUUUAAGGGAGAAAAAUAAUCUGUUUUUUCUUUUUUUCUUUCUAAAAAUAGUACAUACAUGUUAACAACUACAUGCAUAUCUUGGUCCCCCUGAAAACGAGUAAAAAUGACCGAAAUGCCCUUUAGUUGCAAAACUAAAAAGACUAAGACCGAGGACGAAGAGCGUCAAACGUCAAGCCGUGAGAAAUCCUCGUAGCAGGAGCCCACGCAUUGACCUGCAAUGACCGGUGGUGGUGUGCUGACGUGGCAGCCUGAGAUGAUGGUGGUGGUGGUGGUGGUGGGACCGACACGUGUUCACACGAAGGGCACAUGGUCAAAGUGGUGGGUGGGUUCAUGUGCAUGUAGAACUGAGGAGAGAGCUUAAGCGAUCUUAACUCCGUUACUUCUUUCUGUAGCCGACGAUUCUCUUCCGUUAGAUUCUCGCAGCAUCGCCGUAAGAACUCGCAGUCAACCUCCGUUUGCUUCAGCUUUGUCCUGUUGAAAAUUACCAAUAUACCCUUAUAAGUAAUUAGGGGCAAAUCAGGGAAAUAAAAGAGAUCUGAGUGUGUGUGCGUGUGUUUUCUUUUUUCUUACCUUGCUCUUCUGUUCUGAAACCAAACUUCCACUUGUCUUGCUCUUAAUCCUAAUUGCUUAGCCAACGCUUGCUUCUGUUUCUGUUAAAAACAAAAAUUAAAUUGACCUUGAUUCAGUUAAAAAUUUUGUAAACGCAAAUUUACAAACUAAAUAUUAAUAGCUGCAUUAAUUGACUCACCAAAAAGUCAAAAACUAAUGUACUAACAGUCAUGUUAAUUGCGAAUAUUCACUAUGAGCGUUUUUUUUCCGAUUCCAGAAACCACUAUUCCAUGGCCAAUAUUUUCCCGGGAAAACCAAAAUUUUCUCCAGGUGAGAAAAUAGGUAAAAGAAAAAAAAUUUACCGGAUUGAGAGUACUGUGAUCUUUGAAGGUCUCUUCGAGAAUAGCAGAUUGAUCUUUGGAGAGUCUAAGCUUCUUCCUCGAAUUAUCACCGUCUUCAUCGUCACUGAUCCCCCUUGAUCCUUGCGGAUCUGUAUCCUCUUCUCUCUCACUCCUUUUUCCGGUGGAGCUUGAGACUGUGCUGUUAGGAGAAGAUACUCCGGCGUCUUCAUCUCCGUAUUCCGCCGUUGACGGUGGUCUGUUCACGUCGAUUCCACGGAUGAAUGUUCUUGUUUCUACACGACUUGAAUCUGAGUUGGGUACUGCAUGCAUAAGAUUGAAAGUAUAAAAAAGGUGAGGUUUUGAUUGGUUUUCCGGGAAAAUGGUUUUUUUUUUCCCUCAUAGGAAAGUGAAAACAGAGAAACUCAUAAAGCUAUGGUGUACCUGAAGAAUUAAAACUCUCGUUCAAAGAUGAUCUUCGGAGUAAUCCAAAAGAGGAAGAAGAUGGAGUAAGAGAAACAGAGGGAUUGGAUUUGAGAUUCAUCUGUUUCUUGGGAAAAUUUAAGCCGAGGCUCAGACCCAGAUCAUCUUUCUCCAACAUCAUCUUCGUUUUGCAGCAAAGUUUUCUGCUUUUCUUUUGAGAGAGAAAGAGAGGGAGAGAGAGAGAGGAGAGAUGAUGAAUGGCAAACAAGGAAGAAGACUGGUUAAUAUAGAGAGGUAGAGAGAGAGAGAUUUAUGUUAUUAAUUUUCUUUUUUCAAUCAUGAGUGUGUGACUAGCUGGGGGCAAAAUCAUUAUUAUUUAAAUCAUUUAAUUAUUGAACCUUUAGUUCGUAGAAAUAAUUUUAUAAUCACAAACAUUGCUUCUUUGUCCCCCUCUAACUCUCUAAACCCAAACAAAUGAUCAAAUCUAAGAAAAUAUGAUAAAAUAACAAUUAUAGUCGCACUAUUAAUGAUUAUGUUAAUAUAUUAAUAUUAAUGUAACAUUAAUAUUCUCAGUCAAAGAUGAUAUCAAACAAUCACUAAUAGUUCAUCUUUUAGGAUAGUCAUAUGACUUUAUAGUGGACAUCUCUUCCUCUUAAUUAAUAAACAAAUAUGACAAGAACAAAAUCUAAUAGUGAUAAAUAUCUUCAUUUUAGUUUUAUUUACUUUAUUUUAAACGAGUGUAUGUGUUACUCUCAUGUUUUCAUCAUUUGAAUGCUUAGUCGUAAGAGGAUAUGAAGUAGUCAAAAAAAUUUACAAAGUCUCUUUGAAAAGUAAUUGGAGAUUAUAUUUUUCAGUAUACUACUCCAUGUAAUUGGAGUAUUUUGUAACAACCUUGUAAAUUACCAUGUACGGCCAACAAAACUAGUCAAACUUUAAUAAUUUUCUAAGAAUCUAUUAAGUGCUCUUCACGAUUUGACUUUAUUUCAAGAGAUUUUUAAAGAAUAUGUCUGUAAGGUAGAAAAGUAGAAAUGAUAAUGCAAAUCUAUCCUUUUGAUUGCUGUUGUCGAAAAGGAGUAAAAAAUGAUUACCCUUCUUAAUGGCUCUAAAUGCCAAGAGUCACGCUUGUUGCACACUUUUAAACCUUUAACUUUUUCCACUUUUUGAUUUUUGUUUAUAUUUUAUUAGUACUAUUUUUUAACAAGUUUUUUUUCUUUGUUUUUUACUUUUAAGCAUCGCUGAUUAAAUUAAGUAAUUCACUAAUGAAAGCCAAAUAAAACGGUUGAAUAGAUUUCAAACUUCUUUUUGUGAAACAUUGAAGAAUUCAAACUUCUUUGCAGAUUUUCUUGUUCUAACGCAUGAGUCGACCGCAUGAGUUUUACUUUUGUCGUUGAACCACUUAAUGACCAGGAAAUAAUAAAUGAUGAGAGAGUGUCAUCAUAUGCAAUAAAUGUUUGUCUGUGAGGUAGUAAUUAUUAUAAUUAAACACUAUUCCUAACAUCAAAAAGCAAAAUAUUUAAAUAAAUCACUAUUUUUCUAUAGUUUUACAUUUGUAAUUUAAGUAACACUUUUUUAAUACACACAUGCUAUUGCUUUUGUAAAUUACUCAUAAGGAGGUGCAUUGAACUGAACAUUUUAGAUUUAUUUAAAUUAAAAUGACAAAUUUUAGUUUACUCAAACAUGAAUUUUAAAAAAUAUUUUAAAAUUCAGUUUUUAUUAAAUAUAAAACUUGAAAAUAUUUUUUAAAAUCUACUGUUAUUGAAUAUGUUUCAAAUACUGAGAUUUUAUUGAUUUCAAGAGAUUUGGAAGAGAUUUAUAGUUUUAUGUAAAAUUUUAAAGAAUUUUAAAACAAAUCAUGACAACUUCCUUAAAAUAAUCGAAAUCAUCUUAAUUUUUUUUAAACUUAAAUCACUUCAAAUGUUUAUUCCAAUCCCCCCCCCCCCCCCCAAUAAUCUCUAUAUUAUUAUCUAAGGAAUAAAUUGAAAAAUAAUCUUUAUUUUGUAAAUUAUUACAUAAUAAGGCCUUAUAAAUAAUUAAAAUAUAUAAUGAUAUAAUUAUCUUUUAAAAUUAUUUAAAAAAUUUUGAAAAAUAUUUUUAUUUAAUAUAAUGUUUACUAUUUGAUUUUUAAAUAUUAUAAUAUCAAAAUAUCAUAUGUUUUAAAAUAAAUAAUCAAUCUAAAUAGAUUAAAAAUAUUUGAAAUCUUACAAAAUGUUUUACUGUAAUUUAUGUUAUUGUAUUUUUUUAAUACAUAUCAAAAUAAAAAUUAAAAGAGGUUUAUAUUUAGCCCAUUUUAACAUGUAUUACAUAAAUUAAUUUAUUUUUAACAAAUUUAUCUAUAAUUAAUUAAAUAUAUAAUAAAAUUCAAAAAGAUAAAAUAUUUUUAAGAAAAAUCCUCUGCUAUAGUGCGAAUUAAAUCAUAGUAUUUUUAUAUAAUGAGUAAAACAAGAGAAUUUAUUAUUUACUAAUUCCAAAAAAUGAUACUAAUUGCAUAGAAUAAAAUAAUUUUAACGAAACAAUAUUUUUGGACUUUUCAACAAGAUUUAAGCUUUGUGUAUAUUAGAGAUGUUAAAACAUAAAAAAAAAUAUAUAAUAUACACAUAUGUUGUAAUACGUAACACUAUUUUGUUUUUAUUAAUUAUAAACGAGGUUUCAAUCAACUUUUACAAUUACAAUUAAUGACAUUAUAAAUUAAUGGUUAGAUGUUGUAAUGGGAAAUCAUUUACUCCCUCUGUUUCACAAAGAAUGUCGUUCUGACAUUCUUCACACAAAUUAAGAAAUAAGAUAAAAAGUCUCUUAUACCCUUAUUAAUUUGCAGAAAAUGACUCUUAAAAUUAUAUUUAUAAUUAAUUUUCUGAAUUUAUUGAGGUUAAAAAUUGUAUUUUAUGUUAAAAAUUACAUUGGAAUUCUAAAACGACAUUCUUUUUUAAACAAAAAAAAGUGUCAGAACGACACUCUUUGUGAAACAGAAAGAGUAAUAAUUUUAUAUCAACUGGUUACUUGUUAAAUCUUAUAAAUAUUGAAAAUUAUUUUUUAAAAAUAUUAUAUUGGCAAAUGACACAUACCACCGUUAGAUAUUUAGAAAAUAACCAUUGAACCAUUUCACAUCUAUGGUGAAUUGUGACUUGUGACUUGUGACUAUGCUAUCAUAAAGUUCGAUUAAAUCAGCAUCAAAAUUGAUUCCUUUUAUUAGUUGCAACAAAAAUUUUCUUCCCUUCAAAUCCUUAGAGGAUAUCAUUAAUCCAGCAUUAACAGUAAGGGUCCUAGUGACACGCUAAACUAAGAAAUGAUCAUAAAAUGAAAAGAAAUGAACAGCUGAGAAUAAAUCUAUUGAAAACAAAAGUUGAGAUGAGAUCGUACGGUUGAAAAAACGUUUUAACUGGUGGGAACCACUUAAUCCAGCUACAUGUUUUGACAACCAUCAAAUAUGAAUUGGAUCAAUAUGAUUGGAACCAGACACACAAACUUUUCGUCGAUCUGAUUUCAAUAAUCAAUGUGGGUCCAAUUUAUAGUCGUUUUUUGUAUGUGCAAUGACAAUGGUCACAUACUGACAUACGAGCCAGAUUUUAAAAGAAGUUUCCUUUAACUUUUUUUUGUAUAGAAAAUGUUUCCCUAUCUUUUGAUGGUAAAAAAAUGUUUUUACUAUAAUAAUAAAGCUUUCUGCAAAAAGAAGAAAAUAAAAAAGAGGAUGGAAUCAGAAAAAAAGGGAGAACAAAUAAAAUAAUUUUUUUUACCAUAUUGUUUAGUCCAUAGCUUAUUUUACAAGGAAAAUAGAUGUUUUUUGUAAGUCUUUUCGCUCGUACGUAACUAAACAAUAAUCUAACAAAAUUGAAGAAAUUUCAGUGUAACGUUUUUGUUAAUAUUUUAGAAGAGUGUGAUAUUAAUGUUCCGGUCCAUAGUUAUUUGCAACUUUGAAAAUGGAGAUUAUUAAGUCAAGAAUACUGUAUAUUAAUUCUUCCGUUUCCAAAAAAAAAAAUAUAUUAAGUCAGGUUUAAAAACAUAAGAAAAUUAUUAGGUCAAGAAAAUAUAUAUUUAUCACCCCUCAAGAUAUGUUUGUCUUUCUUUUUUAGGGUCUACGUAUUACAUCGAAAAUAUGACAAUGAUUUGUAUGAUCAUACAUGUCUGCAAUUCAAAUUAAACCCCGAUUAUUUUUGGUCAGAAUAAAAAUUGAAUAGAUAGAAUUAUCUUAAAAAUCUGACUUGCUGGCACAAAGAAAAAAAGAGUUAUCUUUACUUAUUAUAUCUCGUCAUGGUUUAUUUCCUUUGAUGAUAGGGACAUUAAGUUAUUCUCAUGUAAUAUAUAUAUAUAUAUAUAUAUAUAUAUAUAUUAGCUUAUACGCUGUGCUAAUUUUUAAUUCAAUGUGUUUUACAGUACAUACUAAAAUCAUAGUAAGCCAGAGUUGUCAUAUUAUUGCUUUCUUUAGUUGUCAUCAUAUUAUUGGCCAAAGUAAAAAUAGAUAAAUUGUUAGAAAUCUCUUUUAAUAAAAUAUAAAAGAAACUCAAAUGUAAUACUUAUAUAAAGUCACCAGGUAACUUUCAAAAUUUAGUUUAUAAAUUAGAAUAAUCCGGUUAGUGACUUAUUUGAAUGGUUAUUAUUUUAUUGUAUUAUAUAUAUAUAUAUAUAAUUGGUUACCACUUUUAAAUAAAACGAUUAGAAAUUUUUAAACGAUUGUAAAGUUCGUAAUUGGAAAAAUAACAGUUAAAAAUAAUGAUUGAAAAAAGCGGUUUGAUAACGGUAAUUUAACCACUUAUUUCAAAUUAACACUUCGAUGAUUUGAAGUCAUUAAAGUGAUUCGUUUCUAAACGCUGUAUUCUUUUUCAUUAUCAUCGCCUCUCAACAACAACUAAUAAUUCAGUAACUACUUUUAAACAAAUAGGUGUCAUCAGAGUUUAAUCUUUUACGACCGACGAGUGAUAACAAGCACUAUGAUGUAUUUUAUGUUGAUUUUUUAUAUUAAUUUAUUGUAGUAGGAAGUUUGUUGAUUAAUAGUAUUUUCUUUUAUGUCAUUACGUAUUACUGUUUUGUGCGAACUGGUUAAAACUACUCAUAUAUAUAUGUAUAUAUAUAUAUAUAUAUAUCUCUCUAAGAAUACUUAAUGUAAAUUAGUUUUGAGAUGCAACAGUACAAUUAAACCUUAUAAUUGUAUAUCUUAAAAAUGACUCUAGAUUUCACUUUUAUUGUCUAUGGACCAAAAAAAAGUGGUGGAGUACACGUGGGGAUGCAGAUAAUAAUGUGGGCAAUUUUAGAAAGGUAAACUUAAUGUAAACGAACAAACUUUAAUGGAAAAGCGCAUAACAUUAGAUAUCUAAUACAUAUUUUCUGGCUUCUUAAAAUAAGAAAAAAAAAAGUAAGUGAAGAACAAACAAAUAAGAAAAGAAACUCACGUGGACCCAAUAUGAUACGAGCCAGUGAGGACUGAGGAGGCCUCGAACCACGUGACUCGCACACACGCGAGUGUCAAAUUGUCGGUUCACGCGCCGACAGAAGAAGUCUUGACAAUCAUACGAUACUUGUUCUUCCCUAAAAACAGCAAUGUCUAUGACCAUUCUCCCAUCAUGAGCCUCUCUCAUUUUUAUCUUAUUUCGUGUUUUUGCCCAUUUUAAUAAUCAUAAUAGUAUUGCGUAAUGACUAAUGAAUAGAGGGCCUCCUUUAAUGAUACAGGUUCACUCUACACUGUUGCACGUACACUUUCGGCUUGAUUGCUAGCAUUUUAUUUUUGUUAAAAUUGGUAGCAUUUUAUUGCACUGCUGUCAACGUUUUUUUUUUUUUACUAUUUCUUUUAUGUUUUAAACUAUAUACGUAAACAGUUGAAAUUUGCUGUAUCAAAAUACGACAAUAGGUAGUAUUACAAUUUUUUUGUUGACAGAAAUGAGGUAACAUUACAAUUUAUGAAAGAUAGAGUUUUAAAAUGCGAGCUGAUUUUUUAAAAGAAAACCAAUUAUAUGCAGGGUUAGUUUAACGUAUAUACAUCAAUUUACUACUAUUCGUAAUGUAAAAACAUGAGUUAACAGGACAAUGUUUAAGAAAAAAAAAGGAGCACCUAUAAAAUUUAUGAAGAAAAUUUUCGUUUAGUUUAUUUGUAAUUACAUACAAUAACAAAUUGCUUGAAGAUUUAUGCUAGAGUGGAACAGAAUUUUUUUGUAGCAAAACUGUAAAAGUUUGUCACAUACAAUAACAAAAUUGUUUUAAUGUGGAGCAUAAUCUUUCGGUGAUGUUAUGACUGUUUAAUUUAUUGUUUGCUUUUAAGAAUUUUCUCUUUAUUUUAUUUUGAACUGUGUAUUCGUUUGUUGUAGGGUGCUAUGACAAAAAAAUCGUUGUAGAGUAAUAUAUAUUGUAAAUUCCCUAAUUUUAUUCAGUAACGAUGAUAAGUGAACGUCAUUCUCACAUUAAAAAUGAAUUUCUAUAAACUCUGUCAGUGUUUUUUAUUUGGCUUUGAUUCCUUAAAAUUGGAUGAAUUUGUGAUCCAAAUUUGAACCACCGGUAAUUCUUUAGCAACUGUUUUGUUAUAUUGUUCUGAGAUAUGAUUGAUUAUGGGAACCACAAGCUAAGCUUUGUCCACCGCAUAAAUUUACUCCCGUCUUCAACCCUUUUCUCAAAGAAAAAAGAUUAGUGUCGUCCUUAUAAUAAUUACAACAUAACAUGUGACUCCGAGUUCGAGUUUGAGAUGUCGGCUAUGGUCAUGGCCACAAAGCUAGGAGAGCUCGGAUUCAUAAAGUUAACUUUGGUGAUUGUUUAUCAUAUCUCCACGAUUCCAUGUAACUUGGUCCCCUUGUCUCGAUAAAAUGUUAAGUUACAUUAUUACCCCUAAGAGUAGUUGGUUUCAUAUUUUUGCGGGUAUUACACUGUACUUAAAAUGGUUCAAAUAUUGAGUUUCUCUUGACCAAUCUUGUUGUCGGCCGAUAUUUUUUGUUGUCUUUUUCUGUUUCUCAUAUUUAUAUGAAAAAUGUUGUUUUUUUUAAACUGUACUUAAAAGUUUUUUUAUUUAGGCUUGACAAUGAUUUAAAUACAACAACAUUUUCAUACACUGUACAUAGGGAUGUAUUCAUAAAAGAUAUAGUGAAAAUGUUUUUUUUUUGGUAAACGUAUAUGAAAAUGUUGCUGUAUUUAAAUCAUUGUCAAGCCUAAAUAAAAAAACUUUUAUGAUGUUACAAAAACCGCUAAUUAUAUUCAUAUGAGUCAUAAGAGUGUUUCUUAUGGGAAAUGCGUACCACUAUUAUGUCUCUACUUUCGCACAAAUGGAAAGUUAAUUAUAAUAUAUGAAUACAUCCCUAUACAGUAUAAUGUUCUUGUAAUAGAUUUGGAUGAUGUAAACUCCAAAAUUAUUUAGCUUUAACUAAAUGACUUAGGUAUUUGUUAAGAAAAAAUAUUUUUUUAAAUGAAUUUAAGCGAGUAUAUAUUCUUAGUAUUGUACAUAUAUGAUUCUCUUUGGUUCCUUAAUAUAUGGGUAAAAACCUUACACAUGUUUUAUGAUGGAACAAAGAAAUAUUACUUGUUUUUAUUAAUAUAAUAGUUUUUUUUUUUAAAAAAUACUUCGUAGCUUCGUUUUUAUAGCAGAAUUUGACUGAACAGCUUUUUAUGUUUUCUUGUAAGUGGUGAAAUUUAAAAGAACUCGUGAAUCGUGAUUCCAUCAUUUUUUUCAUCUCUAAAUGUACAACAGUUUGUAUGUAUAAUCGUAAACAACCGUUUGCAUAUAAACACAUAGACAGGUUUUUGUUUUUUUUUUUUGUUUUUUUGGUAUAAACACAUAAGACAAGCUUUGUUUCUGUGACAACAAGUCAACAACAACAAACUUAAUAAAAACUCUUCUUUUUUGUAUUGUCAUCCCAAUAUAUUCAUAUAUUCCAUUACUAAGGAAGCUCAAAUGAAAACUUUAGUUUGGGAAAUACAUAUUUACGAAUUUUGAGCAAUUUUUACGAAUUUACGAAUUUACGAAUUAAAUUCGUAAUUUUGAGCAAUUUUUACGAAUUUUGAAUAAAAAUACGGGAAUGAACCGAUGAGGGACUUAUAUUAAUCAUGUUGUUUGGACAAAUGUGGAUGUGACUGACUAAAACCACACAAAAUCAUUGUAGAUCUAUCCACGUGGAAUGUUGUCGUUGGAAGUGCUUAAUCAUUAACUAUGGUACAUUGCCUCCUUCAACUAAUUGACAAGUCAAUAUCCCACGUGUGAAUCGUGCGAAUCGUGCGACUCUCGCCAUUCUCCAACCUUAUUACCGUACGAGGCUCGUGUGUCCACAACCAUAACCCGCGUGACAUGCACGUGAACUCUACCCCUUAUGCUUUUGGUGUUAAACUUUUGCUUCGUAUUAGUAGCUACGAUAACUCGUAGACCGAAUAAUCAUUUUUGAGUAGACCGAAUAAGUUUAUGUAAAGGAUUUUUUUCUUAGUUAAAUUUUUUUUAUUUUAUUUUAGGAUGUUUUAUUGCUAAUAUUAUAGAUCCAUCCAGUAACUAUCAUUUUUUUAAUUAGAUAAAAAACGAUGAUUUUUUAGAAUUAUAAUUUAUAGCCAAAUAAAUAUUUCGAGCACCUCGUUGCCGAUCGAACAUGAAUGGUAAAUGCCUGUGAUAUGAAAUGGUACUAUCUUAAAAAAAAAAUUCAGCAAAGCACCUUUCUCUUUUCUGAAUAUUUUCUACGCCAACGAAAAGCCAUAAAGUGUAAAUGUAUUUUUUUUCCAAUUACACCAAUUCCAUUUGUUCGUGUUUCAAAUUUUUUUCCCUCCGUUUCAACUAUAAUAUAUAUAUAUAUAUAUUUAUAUACUCUAUAUUUUAUUAACAGGAAUGCAACAGAAUAAUACCACAUGCAUUUUCUUUAGAAAAAAAACACAUGCAUUUUGUUACGUUGGCACGUAUUAUUGACCUGGGCAUUCUAAUCUACGACCACAUGCAUAUCAAAUAAUAUCAAAUUUAGAAUACAAUAUCCCAUAUAUAACCCGGCUCAGAAGUGGGAAGCAAAAAAUAUACUCUAUAUUUGAAAUAUAGACCAUACAUGAAAAUAAUAUAAGAAAUUGAAUCCUAAAAGUAUUUCUAAUGGUUUUUCUUAUUUUUUCCUUCAAAACAAAAUAAACUCAAAAUAAAGUAGAGUUUUACUUCAAUAGUUUCUCUCAUUAUUUCCCUCAAAAAAGAAUAUUUUUAAUAUAUUAUUUUUUUAUUUUAUUGUUAAUUACGAAAAACACUCGUUAUUUCUAACUUUACAAAUAAAAUCUAAUUAUUUGAAAUUAUAAAAUUUAAACAAAAAAACUAAUAAAAAUUUAUAAGAUUACUUAUAAUAUUUUAUAAAAUUAUUUAUAAUGAUUUAUAAGAAAUAUCUAUAUUGUAUUAAAAUUAUAUUUUCAUGUUUUAUUUAUAAAAUUAAUUAAUAUUUAUUUAUAAUAUAUUUUAAAAAUUAUAAUAUUAUAUGUGUAAUAAAUAAAAAUUUAAAAUUUUGUUUAAAUAUAGAUGAGGUACAUGUAAAACUAUAAGAAUUAUUUUGUAAAUAAACAAAACUAAAAAGUAAAAUGAGAGAAUCACUACAAAAAAAAGUGUUGAUAGCAUCAAAUAAAUUAUAUCAUAAAAAUAAUUGAUACUAAUUAGAGUCAUUUAUUUAUAAGUGACAUAAAUUAUAUAUACAGUAUUAACAUCAGUUAAUACAAUUGAUAUUAUUAGUUUAUAUGGCAUCGAUAAAAUUGAUACUAAUUUAUUUUAAAUCACAUCACUUGAACAAUAUUGAUACAAUACCAAAUUUUACAUCAUUAGAUAAUCAAUGUAUAUAUUAGCAUCACUUGAAUAAAAUAAUGUAAAUUUUGUAGCAAUUAAAAAGUGAUACCAACAAAGAACUGAAUUAAACAAUUAAUAUAUUUAAUUUAAUUUAAUCAAAACUUAUCUGUCCUACAUCGGUUAGGUGAACUUAAGAGAAGAGAAUUGCUCUUCUAUAAAAUAAACUCAUCGACAUAAAAAUUAUAUUUAUAAUAAUAAUUCUAGUUAAUUAUUGUAUGAGAGUUCACAAAAUAUUUUUAUGUUAAUAAAUAAACGAAUUUUAUAUAAAUUUUAAAAAUAAAUUAAAAUUUAAACCAAAAUAGCAUUUUUAACAUCAAUUAUUUAUAAUUGAUACAAAUAUUAAUAUUAUUUAUAAUAACUGAUGUAAAAUUUAAUAUCACUUAAAACAAUUGACAUAUAUUGAUAUCAAUUAUUCUAAUUGAUGCAAAUAUUUAAAAUAUCUACAUCGGUUAUUAAUGAACUGAUAUAAAGUAUUUGCAUCACUACUUUCAGAAUUAUUUUUUAAAUGAUGUAAAAUUCUUUUGCAUCAGUUAUAAAUAAUACAAAUAAAUAAAAGAAAUGAUGUAUUAUGAUGUUUUUUUUGUAGUGGAUGAAUAAUAUUCCCUCAAAUUUGAUGUAAUAUUAUUUAUAAAUUCAUUUUUUCUCUCAAAAUAAAAUUUUAUUGGAGAAGAAUUUUUCUUAUUUUUUAAUAUUUUCCUUCAAAAUGAGAAACUAUUAGAGAUGAUGUAAUACAUUACUAUUUUUACUAAAUUAUAGUGGACCUUUUGCAAAAAUAGUCUUUACACAUGCCUAAAUACGAUCCCGCGCGAGCACCAUAGAUAUUUGCCACCGAAGCAAUAUAAUAUCCCACAUAAAAAGGACCACGAUUUGUUUUAUGGCUAAAGGAAAAAUAUGUUGCUAUAUAUAUUAUUUUUUGCAUUUCAUGUUUUGUAUAUAAUUUUACUUAAUAUUGCAAAUAGACUACUUAAGUUUGAAUCAAGGAAGAGUGGAAGACUACAAGAGUGAAAGGCGGGACCCAGAGAAUGACCAAAGGAUGCAUGGAAAGCAUGUGAAGUUCACGUGAAGCUGACCCCACAGUGUGACCAGGAUCCGAAGAAAACAAACCGUAAAAUGACCAUUGUGUCCUUUCACGUAAUAUGUCAUAUGUGCUCAAUUAUAAUAAAGGUCCCACAGAAGCUUUUGUUCGAUUUGACUUCCAAUUUUGGGUUUUCUUCAUUCUCUAAUCAUGACUCCUCUCCAAUUAUUUGUACUCCACAGAUAAGUAAAUAACGAUGACAAAGAAUAAGAGAGUAAAGAACAAAAACAUGAUAUUUUUUUUGCUGUUGCUAGUGCAAAUAUUUUUUGUUUAGGUCAAAUUUGCAGAUAUUUCUUUUUAGACAACGCAUCUUUGCUUUCUUUGAUUUUCAGCAGUCUUUUUCUUCCACGUAAAAUAUCUUCACACUGUUUUUUUCUGAUGAAUAUUUGCUUAGAUUUUUUGGUUGAUUGCUAGUUCGUCGAAUUCAUGGUGUUUACAGGAUAAUAGCACAAAAUUAACAUAUUUUGGUUAUAUAUUUUCAAGUAAAAAGAUAGUAAUUGUGUUGGUUCAUUUACCAUGUUUGUUUAUCUUUUUACUUUUUUGGUUUGGCGAAUAUUAUUAACACUUUAUUUGACGUAAUAUCAUGUUUCUUUUUUGUUAAAUCAUCCACAAAAGAACGUGUAACUUAACUACCGUUUUGCCACCAUGUUUUUUUUUUCUUUCUAAUUUUACCUAUGCAUUUGGUGACCUAACAAGAGUUUUCAAAUUUUCUACUUUUCUCUCUGAUCAAUAAAAUUAAUAUUUAAUUAUACUCUAUGUUCAUUUUAUAAGUUUGUUUUGGCUAAAAAUGCAGAAUUAAGAUGCUUAUGAAUGUUUUUGAUUUCGUACAUUAAAAGAUAAUUAUUUCAUACUCAAUUAAAGAAAUCGAACCAAGAAAACAAAUAUUUUGUAAUACUAAUGCUGAUUGAUUUUCUAGAAUUUUUCAUAAUUUUUGUUAGUUUAUUAGUUAAUGUUAAAAAAUAAUAAUCUUUAAGAGAUAUUAAUUGAGAUAGUUGAAUUAGUAUUGAUUUCUAGUUAUGGGAAAAUGUGAAAUCCUUAAACAUCAUUUUUACUAGUAACAGAGACAAUACAAGAAAACAUGUUAUAUUCCUACGAAAAUUGCUACGAAUGUAUUUAGUAGGAUUAUUUUUCACCAAUUUCUUACGGAAUUAUGACAAAAAUAAAAGUGAUAGGAAAUAUGUAAGCAAUUUCCUACGAAAAAAUGUCAAAAAGUGGUAGGAUAUAUCCAACCAAUAACCUACCAAAUUUAUAUUCGUAGAAAAUACGAUCAAAAUUUGGUAGAAAAGUUGUAGGAUACAAUUGACUGUUACACUGGUGAAAAUUUCGUAGGAAAUUGUUACGGAUUUCCUACGAAAUAUUAUUUGUAGAAAAAUCGUAGGAAUUUUGUAGGAAAAUAUGUCUUUUUGUUUGUCCCACAUCGAAAAGUUAAGAAUUUAGAUGAAGAAACUGCACUAUAAAAAGAGCAAAAUUAAAAUUUUCUACGGAUUUCCUACGAAAUUUCGUUUGUAAAAAAAAAAUCGUAGGUUUGUUUGUAAAAAAAAAUCGUAGGAAUUUCGUAGGAAACUUAUAUUUUUUGAUCUCUAGAGAGUAUUAAAUAAGUAUAGUUUUUGCAUAGAAACUUAACAAAAAGUCAUGUAGGAGUUUAUCAGGGAACAUAGAUGUUGUAGAACAUUAUAAGGGAAAAGAGGGAGUAUGUUGAAAGAUUUAUUGCUAUACAUAGGAAUUAAUUAAGUACUCGUUUACUUUUUUAUGCUUUCUAAAUAGUCGAAAGUGGCAGUUACGAUUAAAAACUUAGGAGGACAUCGACAGGUCAAUAAGAUCAAAUACCAAUGUAAUAAAUUAUCUGUGACGAUUAAAUUAGAGAUCUCAUAAGACACCACGCCUUGCGCUGAAUAUUUGAUAUCUGGACUAUUUAUUUAUCCAAUCAAGGCAAUACAUGUACUACUGUGAUUAAUUUCUCGAGUCAUUUAUUAUUUACGCGUACACGCAUGGAUGUGUACUACACAACUUCGGAUUUAAAAGUGUUACAUUACAUGAUGUGAAUGUAUAGAAUCCAACGUUUUCUCUAUAUAUUCAUAAUCUAAGACAAAAUUUCUGAUAUUUUCUACUGCGUUUGCAAGUGAAAAUUCUUAAAGUUUGAUACAAAAUUAAUAAGAACAUCCACACACACACCUUUCAAACAAAUUUUCAUAUGUUACAAUUUUAUUAAAAUAUAGUGUUAGAAAAUUGAAGUGGUUAUAUCCAACCAAAAAGUACUGAUUUUUAUAUUAAUAGUGGUAUUACACUCUAAACAUAAUUUUUUUUUAGAUAAACUUCGUGGCUUCAUAAUUUAUGUCCUUUCUACAAUAUAGUAUAUUUAAAUCAUGGAGCCAUGGAGGUUAUCUAAAAAAACAAAUAUGUUGACGCAUUUCAAAUAUAACUUUUGUGCAUAAGGUUUUCAAAUAGUGAUAUGUCUUUUUUGUGUGAACAUUACUACAAGUCCAUUUAUAAGAUGGGUCUGAUAAUACUAUUAUUAUUAUGAUAAACAUUCGCAAACCACGACGCCAUUAAAAAAGACAGACAACGUUAAAUCAUAUGUAUAAGAAGAAUAAAAAAGAACAUUAAUGUGAGAGAUGACAGGAAGGGAUUGAAAAUUUAUAAAAACAAGUUGGUUCGAGCAUUACCAACUUCACGUGGAAGGGACGUGGAGCUCAAAGUUCCACACUCGAUUCAGAAUCAUAAGACAGCGAAGCACACGUGUGCAUGUCCUCGUGUUGCCUCAUAGCGCUUCAUCUCCUCAACUGUAACAACAAAUCUCUGAAAAUUCAAUGACUUAAUUCCCAUUUCGAACUUCAUCAUGAGAUCAUUAGUAUCAUUGAUCUAUAGUUCUUGAUUUCACCGAUGUUACAAGUCGCAGUAUUACACUUAAGAGUUGACACACAUUGUACGAUAUCAAAUAGGUACAAAACGUUUCUCUUAAAGAAAUGAACGAACUCGAUGUUAUAACAGCAAGCACGAAAAAUAUGGAAAAAUACAUAGCACGAUUCAGGCUUAUCCACGGUAAUUGAUUCAUUAGUCAUUACCAUAUAUCAGACAAAAUGAACACACAAACAAAAGGAUUAUAAUUAAAUGGCAAUGUUCUUCAAUAUCACUGUUUUAUUAUAGUUUAGUACUAUUAUAUGCUUUGGUUUGGUAGAUAUUAUAUUUACAUUAUAUUAAGUUUUAUAUAUGAAAUGUAAUUUUGUAUAGUUUCUAUCUGAUGAACCAUACCAAAUAAAUUAUACUUUUACCUUAAAUAAAUUUAACACAUCAUCACAACUUUAUUUUUUUGUGGAUUCAGCUUUAAAAUAUAAGAGACUGUCAAUUAUACGGUCACUUUAAUAGAACACCCAUUAACAAAAAUAAAAAUUACAUUAUGGUACUGAAACUACCAGAGUCAUAGCCGGCCGAUGAAAGCUGCAAGAACCACCAUCAUCCAUUGAUGCCAGAAUCACUCGCACGUGCGGGUACGUGCAUUUCCAAAAAUACUAAAUAAAAAUCCCCAUAAACAAAGCAUGGCUUGGGAAUGGGUUCGGUUUGGGGAGUGGUCCCACGUGUCUCCGCCAUGUUACCGGCCGAGCUGGCACAUGCGAUUAACCGCUAAAUCAAAAUCGGCAAUAAUCAUUUGCUUCAUUAUAUCGAUAAUCACUCGUUAUUAAUCUUUUGCUUAAAAGCUGUGCCACACGUGCAACCUCGUCAUGGAUAAUCAGAGGAUCUAUUUACUUUAUUUACAUAUAUACCCUUGCUUUAGAAUGUCUUUCAAAGUGAAUUUUCAAUUUUGCAAAGGUAAUACGAAGUAUGUUGAUUGUUGGGUAAUUAUAGUAAAAAGAAAGAAAAGAAAAGUUUUGGAACUUUAGUAUCAAAGAAGUUAAAUUGGAAUACUAAUUUAAGUUAAAGAAGUUAAAAUUAUUUCUAAUGGAAAAAUCUAAAUCAAAUUGGAAUACUAAUUUAAGGAAAAAAUAUAUUUUAAUAUGUGCUAUUUUGAGAACUUUGAACUUGAUGUGUUAGUUUUAGAACAAACAACUAUUUCCUAAAACUACUUUAGAUUAUUUAAAAAAAAUAUUUUACUAUGAUGAUAAAGAAAAUAGUUUUGACGAACUAUAAAUGUUGCAGACUUGCAGUAACUCAAACCUAAUUAAUAGUAAACAGAGCAAUACGAUUUACCCCUUGGUCCAUGGAAUACCAGUAGUAUUAUUUGAUAUACUGAUUGCAAUGAGACUCCAUCCUACCAAAUAUAGCGUUUUUCCUUCUUCAAUGGGACUUCAAAUGCAACUCCAAAUUUUAAUUUUUUAGAGUUUUGUGAAUAGUGCAACUCCAAAUUUGGUGUUGCAUUAUUCACAAAACUCUAAAAAUUAUAAUAAUAUUUUAUUAUUACUUUUAGUAUAAUAUCAAUAUUAUAUUAUUCAUUAAUUAAUUAAAUUUUGUAACUAGAAUUAAUAUACCAAAUUGUAUUUUUAUCUUAUCAUUUAUAGUAAUAUAAUUUUUAAGUAUAACUAAUAUGAGAUUUGGUUGUAAUUAAUAUAAAUACAUAAAAUAUUUAAAUUAAUACACACUAUCUUGAAAUUAAUACACACUAUUUUUAAAUUAAUAUUUUUAAACUAAAUCUCAAAAUAUCUUAAAUUAAUAUACACUAUUUUAAAACUAAUAUUUUUAUUUUAUUGAUUGUAAUUUUUUUCGUCAUCGAAUAUAAUGUUAUAAAUAAUUAGUUGUUAAUCUAUUAUAUGAAUAAUUAGUAUUUAUCAAAACAUUAAAAGAUAAAGAGAAUUUUAAAUUAAAUAUAAUAAUAAAAAGAUUUUUUUUGGUAUGAGAUUUGGUGUUGUGGUUGGAGAUGAAAAAAAACACUAUUCACUCAAACACCAAAUUUGUCACUAUUCACAACACAAAAAUUUGGUGUUUAGAUGAAUAGUGAUUGGAGAUGGUGUUAGAUAUUUUAUUUGGGUUAAAUUUUUACUAGUUGAUUUGCUAGGAGUAGAUUAUAUAAGAUGGUGCUAUCAAUUCAAUAAUAUCAGCCGAGAUUUUGCAAUCAAAUCUCGGACGUAAUGAUCUAUAUAUGUAAUGACUAAGGAAGCCAAAUUAUUAUUGAUUUAUGUGGCCAAGCUGUCUUUUGCUUAAAGUUGUUGUUCCCCACAUAUAUAUAUAUAUAUAUAUAUAUAUACUAAUGGCUCAUCAUAAAUAUCUAGAUAAAUAUAUAGAUAUAUAUAUAUAUAUAGUGGUCCGUAAGCCAAUUCUAUAUAAAAUUUGUUUUGUGUAUUGAAAUUAAUUUCACCACAGUCUAAUUUUAGCUUGUGUGUAUUUUGUUUUUCCCACUUUUAUCCGUGAUAGAAUCAGUUAACAGUUAAAUUACAUUAGUAGUAUAAAUCCUGGAAAAAAUAACUGGUGUAUAUGAAAUUUUUUUUUGUACUUAAGGAGUUAGGGUUAAAAAAAUUGGACGGAAAGAAACAAUGGGAUUGAUAAUUUAUAAAAAGAAUGCAUUCGGUAAAAUGUUUAAUGUGAAAAACUUUACUGAAUCUACAAAAUUUAUGGGAUACUAAUAUUUUACUAAUUCUUUGAAAUGACGAAUUGAUCGAAUCUUAAUAAGAUUUUAUGGAGAGGUCCAAUUGUCCAAUGAUGUAGAGUGGAGACCAUGUUAAUAAGGCAAAAAGCUAGGAGAAAAUGUGCUUGGGCAAUGUCUUCUCAUGUGGCCUUGGAAUCAUCAAAAUUAGAUGUAUGGUCAUUAAAAAUAUGAUCCACUUGUUGAUUAUAAUUUCCAUUAAUUAAGGAAUCACUGUCCUAAGAUCUUUUACUUUAUAAACAUUGUUUGAUUUGAAAUAUACGUACUAUGUAUUUAUGUCCAUAGCCAUUACAUCGUGUCUAUUAAUGAACAAAACAUAUUAAAAUGACACGGAUCAAAUUCAUAGAUGGAAUCAAGGUGACGUCACCAUAAUUAUGUCUAAAUACACUAUGAGUAUAAUUUAUGCAGUAAACACGUCAAAAUAUAUAUUUCUUUUCGAAAGUAACACAAAAAAUAUAUCUCUUUUUUUUUUUUAAUAUAUCAACCGUGUUAAACUGAUCAGAAUUUUUGGAAUUUUUAACUUAAAAAAUAUAGUUUGUAUUGUUGGUGAAUUUAUGGUUAUCAAUAUGAUUAACAUGUGGACAUAACACCGUCGGAAUUGCACCAAAGCAAGCUUAUUCUUGGAAGAACAAAUACAUGCGACAAAAAAAAAGAAGAACAAAUACAUGCGACAAAAUAUGACUUGACCAACAUAACAUUAUUUCGAAGAGUAGAGUCUCAAAAUUUUUUAAACGUUUUGACACACAAAUCAUUGUUCGGCUACCAUGAACCAAUAAGGCAUUUCAUGCAAAAUUACAAGAGGACAUCCACAUCACAUACAAGCAAAGUACGCUUUUCAAGUCAAAAGGCGAACAUAUUGUUGUAAGAGAGUCCGAUCACUUUGCUAGCACCGAAAAUACAGUCAUAUCGGACUCCGAAGUUGAACCUUUCAGUUUAAUUAUUUAAGAAAACUAAUCCAUAAAUGGGUCUUCAUAAGUUUUUGUAGUCGAAAUUUUAAGAUUGAUAUAGUCCAGCUCAGUCAAGUUGUGUAGACCAAGCAUUUUCAAUGCUUUGUGGAGUUGAUUUUUGGUUAUGGAUCCAUCUGCAUCAGAGUCUGCCUUCUUAAGGAGAUUUGAAAGCUCUGACAAAUUCCACGCGCGUGAUAGAACCAUCAUGGUCGCUAUCGAUUUUCUCCAAGAGCUAUGAGAUCUCCUCAUCCUUACACGUUAGAUUAGCCAAGUCCAGCUGCUGGUCUCCUUGGGUGUCAACUUCAUCGAACACGUUCUUGAGGCUCACUACCAUCCUCUCAACAACGUCCAAGUGCCUAAUACUUUAGAUCGGGUAAAAAAAAACUCAAAGAAAGAGGAGAAAAAAAGAUGAGAAGUAAAAGAGAGUUAGGGUUUCAGAUGAUACGGCGAAGGUGAAAGAGGUUUAUGGUUUCAUAGCGAUGCGAAUGUGGAAUAUAGGUAGCAUACAAAUUAGGGCUUUAGAUGUGGGCCACAAAUAUUGAUAUUCAAUUGGUGGAUUUGAGCCCAACAUCAUUUUCUUAAUCUUUCAUUUUUGUCUUUUUUGUAAAUUUUCUUAAACUAAUAAAAGUUAAAACUAUAUGUCUUUAAAGAUGUCCACGUAAAAUUUUAAAAGAGAAUUUUAUUGGUUCACAUCAACAUUCAAUAUUAAAUAAUUUUACAUAUUCUAAUAUUAUUGCUGAAUAAAGAAAUUAAAAAAAUUUACAAAUUUUAAUAUUAUUGCUGAAUAAAAAAUAAGUAUAAAUUGUUUAUUGAUCCACCUAAAAAUUAAAAAUUAAAGAACUUCCAAAUUCUAUUAUUAUUUUUAAAAAUUAUUAAAGAUAAACAUUCAAUAUUAAGAAAAAUUUAUUGAUCCACAUCAACAUUCAAUAUUACUUUUUUUUUACAAAUUCUAAUAUUAUUGCUGAAUAAAGAAAUUAAAAAAGUUUACAAAUUUUAAUAUUAUUGCUGAAUAAAAAAAUUAAGUAUAAAUUUUUUAUUGAUCCACCUAAAAAUUGAAAAUUAAAGAAUUUCCAAAUUCUAUUCUUAUUUUUAAAAAUUAUUAAAGAUAUAUAUAUAUAUAUUUAUAUAUUUAUAUUAAUUAUAAAAAACUAAAAUAAAUACUAUUAAAAUAGGGAAUUUUAAAUUUAAAAAAUUGAAACUAUAUGCCUCUAGGGAUGUCUAUAUAAAAUUUUAAAAGACAAUUUUAUUGGUCCACAUCAACAUUCAAUAUUAAGAAAAAUUUACAAAUUUUAAUACUAUUCCUGAAUAAAAAAAUUAAGAAAGUUUACAAAUUUUAUUAUUAUUGCUGAAUAAAGAAAUUAUGUAUACUUUUUUAAUUGAUCCACCUCAACAUUGAAAAUUAAAGAAUUUCCAAAUUCUAUUAUUGUUUUUAAAAUUAUUAAAGAUAAGAAAUUAUAUAUAAAUUUUAUAUUAAUUAUAAAAAACUAAAAUAAAAAAAUUAAAAUAUGAAAUUUUAAAUUUAAAUUAGAUGUAUACACACAUAUUUAGAGACUCCUACAUUAGCAUCCAAUUUUUUGUCACAUAACUAUAAUAAUUUUGAAAUUCUUUUUCUGUGUGUGCAACCAUUUCAAAAAAAAAAAAAGAGUUAAGUUUCACUAAAAAUGAGUUCUUAAACAAGUUCAAAGCACGUUUAGUUGCUAAAGGGUUUCAUCAGCAAUAAAGAAUAGACUUUCUUGAAACCUACAACCCUGUUGUUAGGACUGUAACCUUGAGAUCUAUUAUGCAUAUAGCUACCAUCAUGGAUUAGGACAUAAAGCAAAUGGAUGUUAAAAACACCUUCUUACACAGAUAGCUCACUGAGACAGUCUACAUGACUCAGCUAACUGGGUUCAUCGAUAAGACAAGCCAUACCAUGUGUGUCAACUCAACAAAGCCUUUUAUGGACUUAAACAGUCACCUAGGGCAUGAUUCGACAAAUUCAGCACCUUCUUGCUUGAAUUUGGCUUCACCUGCAGCAACAAAGAUCCCUCUCUUUUCAUCUACUCCAAGAACCGAUACAUCAUCCUUUUAUUACUCUAUAUUAACGAUAUGGUGAUCACAGGAAGUGGAACAACUGUUCUGAGCAAUCUGCUAUCUGAACUCAACAAAUACUUUAGGAUGAAGGAUAUGGGUCAGCUGCAAUAUUUUUCUUGGAAUUCAAGCCUAAUUCCAUUCAGAGGGGCUGUUCUUCUCUCAGUAGAAAUAUGCAGAGGACUUAUUAGCUGUGGCAGCCAUGAGUGAUUGCUCACCUAUGCCCACUCCUCUUCCCUUACAGCUCGACAAAGUUCCUCACCAAGAUGAACCUUUCUCCAAUCCUACGUAUUUCAGAAGCCUAGCUGGAAAACUGCAGUAUCUCACCUUGACCAGGCCAGAUAUACAGUUUGCGGUAAAUUUUGUCUGCCAAAAGAUGCAUUCACCAACCGUCUCUGAUUUCAUUCUUCUGAAGAGAAUCUUACGCUACAUCAAGGGCACAAUAACGAUGGGAAUCAACUUUAGCAAGAAGACCGACUGUACCAUCAGAGUGUAUAGUGAUAGUGACUGGGCCGGGUGUAAAGAAACACACAGGUCUACAGGUGGAUUUUACACUUUCUUAGGCUCCAACAUCAUCUCUUUGUCCUCUAAGAAGCAACCGACUAUUUCCAAAAACUUAACGGAAGCUGAGUACAGAACGAUGUUGAAAGCUGUCUCAGAGAUCACGUGGCUGAGCUCCCUUCUCAAAGAAAUUUGAGUUUUUAUUCCUACCACACCAGAACUCUUCUGCGAGCCUCACUGCAAAUCCCACUUUUCACAGCAGAAUUAAACAUUUCGAAAUCGACCACCACUAUGUCCGAGAAAGAGUGGCACUAGGGUCUCUGGUUGUCAAUCACAUACCAGCUCAUCAACAGCUAGCCGAUAUCUUCACCAAGUCCUUGCCAUGUAAAGCUUUCUGCUCGCUAAGAUUCAAACUCGGUGUAGACUUUCUGCCAACACCUCGUUUGAGAGGGGCUAUCAACACAAAGCCUCUAUCUCAAACAAAAGCUACUCAAAACAAUGUCGAGUUAAGUUCAGUGAAGGAUAUGGGCCAGUGUAAUCUGCAAUGGCUCAUUACCGAGCCCAAAUCUUCCCAACGGUCAUCUCUGUAUCACGACAAAAACAGAGCUUCUGCAGAGAGGAGCAAGACGACGAGCUGUACGGAAGAGACAAUCCCGGUGCGCAACAUUUUUGGCGUCUUGUCAAUCAUUGACUGACCCCUGGCUGAUUGGCACUUGUGAGAAGAUCUCACACUAGAGUUUAGGAGUGUUCCCUUCCUCUUUGUGUAUAAAAACACUAUCACUAUGUAAUCAUUUUCCAAGUUUUGAAUCAAUAAACAAAAACUUCAUAUUUUAGCAUAUUUCAGUUUUGCCUUUAUGUUUGUUUUUGAUAUGGUUGACAGGAUAAUCAAGAUUUCUAGUCAUCAGUGAACAAAGCAGCAGAAAAAAUGAAAGAGAAGCUAUAUUUGGCAUGUAUCGGAGUGACAGAGUUAAUGCAGAAAUUACAUACUCCAGAUGCUGAUGCCAUCCCUCUUGCCACCCGUAAAGAAUGGUUAUGGCCAGUGUAUAGAAAAGUAUGUCUUAAAUCUCUCUUCUAAGUUCUUGAGCUUUUGAUUAACCCAUUAUCAUUCUGCUUAACUUGGUUCUGGUUGGUUGUUUCUAACAGGUCAAAGAAGCUGAUCCAUUAGACAUUAUCGGUGGCCCACAUUAUUGCCCCAUACUCCAGACUACCCGAGUGGAUGCGGUUAACUUAUUGCGGGAACUACAUGCGAUGGAAAAAAUCGAUGAGUUUGGAAAUUUGAUUAGUCCAUCAACAAGUCAGUUAAAUUAGGUUCAUAAUUAUCAAGAAUUAGAUUAUACCUCUUUUUUCUUUCUUUAUUUUAAACCUUGUAAGGCCGAGGAACAAAAAACAACAGAAAAUGCUACAAGUUUAAACUCUCAGACAAAAGAAAUGUCACGAAGCCAGUGUCUGAAACAGUGAAACUUAUAAAGAGUUCACAAGAUUGUAUUGUUGUGAGCUAUUAUGAGUAGAGAAGGUAUUGUUGUGAGCUAUUAUGAGUAGAGAAGAGA
RNAcentral lists this long non-coding RNA (124188 nucleotides) under Eutrema salsugineum. Its description in RNAcentral is "long non-coding RNA (ESAL_LNC002135)". Lineage: Eukaryota; Viridiplantae; Streptophyta; Magnoliopsida; Brassicales; Brassicaceae. The record is from RNAcentral.